UCCCAAAGCACCUGAGGAACUGAUAGUUGCUUCUCAGCUUCGAAGAUUCACCUUCAAUGAGCUUAAGUCAGCAGCAAAGAAUUUUAGACCUGAGAAUCUUUUGGGGGAAGGCGGAUUUGGCUGUGUAUACAAAGGCUGGAUCAGUGAGACUGGAACGUCUCCAACAAAACCUGGUAUCGGGCUUCCCGUCGCUGUAAAGACUCUGAACCAUGAUGGACUUCAGGGCCACAAAGAAUGGAUGGUAUGGUGCCUCAUUUUCAUUUAUCUGCAUUAGCACUUAUCAGGAAUGAAAAGUAUUUUCACUCCCAUGAUUGAAGGAUAAUUUUUGUCCUGUCCACUUUUCAGGCUGAAGUUAUUUAUCUUGGUGAAUUGCUCCAUCCUAACUUAGUCAAAUUAGUUGGAUAUGGCAUCGAGGAUGAUAAAAGAUUACUUGUGUAUGAGUUUAUGCCUCGAGGGAGCUUGGAGAAUCACCUCUUUAGAAGUAUGAAAAUUUAUCUGUAUCUCAUAGAAAUUUGUUUAUCUGCAAUUUGCUCUUCCUAGUGGCAAUUUCUUUUAGUAUAUUUUUUGGGAGGUACCAUGAAAUGUGAAUUUACUCUAUGAAAGUAGAAGGUACAGAAAAGUUCCCAUAAUCACUUUGCAAUUGUUGCAGGUACAUCUGUGAUUAUUCUUUCAUGUUUUAUAUUGUUACUUAGCUAAUGCAUCACUGCAGCAUACUUUAAAUGUUCUGUUCUUCUCACCCCUAGUUAAUAGGCCUUAUAUUUUCUUGUUCUUGAAGUUUAGGUUUUUUUUUCCUUUAGAUUUGCUGUUGUAUUUGAACAGUUAUGGCCCAUAUUGUAUGUACACUAUUCUAUAAUCACUUUCCAAAACAAUGAUUAAAAUAGGCAUGAUACUUUCACCCUAUAGUUUUUUCUUAUAUUGUUUUUAUUCUUAGGGUGAUAAGUUAUGGGAUAUUAUAAUUACCUGACAAUUUUCUAGUAGAUGAUUUAAUGUUUCAGAAAUAAUGUUGUUAUCCAUUGUAGGGAACUUGCCUCUUCCUUGGUCCAUCAGAAUGAAAAUAGCUCUUGGUGCUGCAAAGGGUCUUGCAUAUCUUCAUGAGGAAUCUGAAAGACCGGUGAUUUUUCGAGAUUUUAAAACAUCUAACAUCUUAUUAGAUGCGGUGCGUAACUAAGCUUAACUUUCAAAUUUUUGUUUUGUCCUCCCCCUGUUUUCUAAUGAUUUAAUAUUAUUCCAGGACUACAACGCCAAGCUUUCUGAUUUUGGGCUCGCUAAAGAUGGUCCAGAGGGAGAAAAAACCCAUGUCUCCACCCGAGUGAUGGGCACUUACGGUUAUGCGGCACCCGAGUAUGUUAUGACAGGUUAGUAUUAUAAACUGUAUGUAUCGUCUUGUUUGCCUUGUUCUAAAAUUUUUGACUGCAUGUUGUUGAACUCUGUGUUCUUUUGUAUUGGCAUUGCUUGCACCCAAAAUCUGAUAGACCUGACACUCUUAGGUAUAUACCUACAUAGACAGGAAGUAUUGGAAUUACUUCCUGUGUAUUGGUAUAUACUACGAAGAAUAACUAUACACCACAGUCAUCACAUGCCUGCCAUUGUAUUGGAAUUACCGUCUUUUUUCCAUUGAUGCAGCUGACACAUUUUUGCUCAUGAAAGGUAUGUCUAUAAUGUAUAGCAGGUCAGCCUUUCAUGUUCUAGUUGAAUUAAAUUUAUUUUCUGAGCAUUAUGUUCGUAGCUUAUGCUUAUCAUUUUCCCAGCUCCAGUUCUGUUGUGCAUAAUACUCGACUCUAUAUGCAUGACAGUACAUCCAUAUACACUUGUUUAAAAGUGUCAAGUGUGAACUAAUUUAGUGUUCAAGGGUAUUUGCCAAUUAAUCCAAUUUUAUGUCUUCAUCUUCUAUAGGUCACCUUACUUCAAAAAGUGAUGUAUAUAGUUUUGGGGUGGUUCUGCUUGAAUUACUGAUUGGACGAAGAUCUAUGGACAAAAAUCGACCCCAAGGAGAGCACAACUUGGUGGAGUGGGCACGCCCACAUCUUGGAGAUAGGCGAAGAUACUACCGACUAAUAGAUCCUCGACUUGAAGGUCGCUUCUCAAUUAAAGGUGCUGAAAUGGCAUUUCAGUUGGCUGCCCACUGUCUUAGUCGUAACCCAAAGGCUAGACCUCUUAUGAGUGAAGUUGUUCAAGUGAUCAAGCCUCUGCUGCACCUCAAGGAUCAAGCAUAUUCCUCAUCUCACCCCCAAGGCAUGCACACAGAGCGUCCUGGUUCCAGUCCCAACUUUAGAAAUGGCCUUUGGGUUCCGGCAAGGAAUGGACAACCAUCUAGAAGUCAGUCUCUACCAAAUGGUCCCAAUGUCUCACCAUAUCACCUUAGCCAUCCUCACCGCUCUCUACCAAAUGGUCCCAAUGUCUCACCAUAUCACCUUAACCAUCCUCACCGAUCACCCAAACCAUCUACAGCUAAGUCCCCCAAAACUACACCAAAAUCACCCAAACCUGCUACUGCUUGAUUGUAAGAUUGAGUCAGAUCUAGAAGUGAUCUGUUUUUUGGAGGGGUGAUAAUAUAAGCUAGGUUUUGCCUUGGCCAUGCAGUUGCAGCUGGACUUUAGGAAUCCAUACACAACAUAGCAUAGUAUAUUAACAAAGAAAUAUAUAUCUACAGCUUUUAUUUCUAGGUCAUUGUCCUUUCGAUCAAAAUCAAAGAGAACUUUUACUUUGCAGCUGCAUGUUGUAAUGUACAGGUGAUGCUUUUUAAUUUUUAUAUGUUUUCCCUUGCAAGUUCCUAUCUUUGUAAAUAGUCUUUGAUCUGUGUAUUUCCCUUUUGAUAUGCUUGAGGGGGAAUGGUCUCUCUCCUUUUAGAGAAUCUGAACUGUUUCAUGUGGCUACUUGCAUUCCUGCAUCAUCCUCCUAGAACAGCUUUGGGAUAACAAUUUGGGUAGCUGCAAAUGAUACUAUAUAAGCUUUGUGUAUCAACUAUAUCGGAAAUGUGUUGUUUGUAGAAAAAUGAUGACUUAAAAGCUUGAACUUCAAUUUUUUGGAAAGAAAAUGUAACAGGGGCCUUGUGUUAAUAUUAAUUAAGUUCAUUGGAAUUGGAACUCGUUGUCAGAGUAUUUGUAACUUUUAUGUCUCCAUACAGUUCAAGUUUUGCUGCUGCUUGUCUAACAAAUUUUUUAUUAACAUUGACACCAGAUAAACAAAUAGGUAAGCUUGAUGUAAAGCCCAAACUUUGUCUAACAAAUUUUUUUAUUAACAUUGGCACCAGAGAAACAAAUAGGUAAGCCUGAUGUAAAACCCAAACUUUGUGAAGUUUGUAUGAAGGUCGGGGACCACAUGUCAAUUAGAUGUCUCUACUUGGAGGAUGUUCCAAACCUUGACACCGCAGUUGUUGGUGAGGGCUAUGAAAUAUGUUGCCAUCACUGCCUUGAGUCGGAUCACGGCCACCCCAAGGGAAGUUGGGCAGAAUUUGCAUAUAAAUUGAGUAAUGAUGAAGAAUGCUCAGAUGAAGACUCAGAGUCUGAAUCAGAUGUUGAGCCUUAACUUUGUGAAGGUCGUGGACCACUUGUUAUUUAUAUGUCCGAUCCCUACUUGUAUGGCAAGUUUGAUCCCUAAAGACAUACUAUGAUGUAGCGACUAACUACUUGAUUCAAGCAGUAUUUUAGAUGGGCAGAGAACUGUUAUGUGAAUAAGAACCUCUAGAAGUGUCUGUGUUGUUAAGAAUUAAACUUAUCAUUGUCCUACUGUUGUUUGCCUCUCUUUUAGAUUUGUGAAGAUAAUUUAUUGGUAUCUUUGGUUUUGUCUCACUUUCAUGUAUUUUCACUUUGAUCUCUAACAUUCGCUCAUGCUCGUGCGCUUUGAGAUUUGGUUUUAUCUUCUUAUUCUUCUUUUAUUGAAUUGUUUCUAGUUUUUUUUUUUUUUUUUUUUUUGGGACGGUGUGGUUUACAAGAUCAUGAGUUUAUAAUACGAGUGUGCUGAGUAUUUCGGUUGCCCAAUCUCAGUUGGUUUUCUGAAAUCAAUCACUAAUGCAUGAGCAAUUAAUUAUGUUAAAAGAAUUGAUAAUCUUGAUUUUUUGAGGUUUAUGAGCCUCAAGUCUCUAGAUAUUGUUAGGUUUACUGGAAUUGGAGCUCAUUGCCAGAGUAUUUGUAACUUUUAUGACUCUAUACUGCAGGUUCAGGUUUAAUUUGUUACAAGUAUGUUUUCUUAGUUUUCCGCAAAUGAUACUAUAUAAACUCUGUGGAUCAACUGUAUUGGAAAUAUGUUAAUUGUAGAAAUUAUUGAAAAAAUAAAAUAAAAUAACAGUCUUUAGAUAUUGAGGUUUCAUUAGCCUCCAAUCUCUAUCUUCAGUGAACCUAACUAGUACAGUGGUAAUUGCAUUCUUGUUUUUGGUUGUGGAAUGUCAUCAUGACCUCUUACAAUUUCCUCUAAUUUAGUACCGAAAUGUCAAGUGGGCCUAUAGAAAUCUUCUUAGCUAGUUCGGGGGUCGUGGUAGAAUUAUGGCCUCUGGGUUAUGCUAUUGUCAACUAGGCCUUAUGAAUAGUAAAGAAUCAAUAAGGUGGCAUGCCAACUUAGCUAAAUCACUUACAACAAUAGCUCUUAAGAGACUAUUUCAAGAGAUUGCGAUGGAAAAAUGCAUCUCAACCACAUGUAAUAAAUAUAAAAAUUAAAAUUAUAGAACUUAUUUUAGAUUUAUUUGUCCCUCAUAUGAGCAUGCCUUGUGAAAACUAUCCUGAAACCAGCAUGAUAGUGUUUUCUGGUUAUUAAUGAAACAAAGGCGACCAAGGUUAUUGCUAUUUGGUAUUCCCAACUAAAAGAAAAAUAUUAUAAAUCAAGGUUGUGAAAAGAAAAAAAUUAAAGUGAAUUUUUGAAAAAAGAAAUUUGAUCAUGUGUUAUUAUAUAAUCUCUUUUUAAGUAUAUAGAAAGAAACAUAAUCCUAUUCUUACCUGUAAACAUAUUAUUACAUGGAUUCGGAAAUCAUAUUCCUGUUAGCAGCAGACGAAAACGCGCACACAAAAUGAACAUCCUAAAAGGAAGGUGAGAGUGUGAGACAUAUUAAUAGAAAACUGAAAAAGUUGUAAGAAAAAAAAAAGGGAAAAUAAAACACAUAUAUUGUUCGGGCCAAGUUGCGGACCCAGGCCAGACCCGGCCUUGUUUGUCACCGGCUCACCGCAAUAUAUAGAACAAACUGAAUUCCAAUUCUAGAUCUGUAAAUUCUCCCAAACCAAAAAAAAUAAACAAGUUUUGAUCUGAGAAAUCAGGGCAAUGGAUCUGAUGCGCUACCAACCUGCUAUCGGCGGCUCCGCCCGGGCUACUCCGGCCGAGGCCGGCUGCGGGAGCUGGAAGCAGGGAGACGGAUGUCAUGACAUCAAACAUGAUUCCUCUAAGAAACGAGCGCUUUCGGGAGAAGAACUCAAACAGUUUCUCUAUGAUUCCUCUAGGAAAUCCGAGAUUUCGGAACGAGAGUUACAAGAGAUAUUUGUGAAGAUCGUCAAGGGUAUGUUUUAUAUAAAUUUAUAUAUAUAUAUUUGUGUUUUAGCGUUUCAGUUUGGUUGGUAAUGUUUAGGGUAGGAAAUUUCUAUCAUGUAUUUUGGCCGUGACUUGGAUGUUUCCUUCUCUUCAAACAGGUGCCGAUCCUAACCAUAAAUUGUCUGAAAGUGAAGCCGAAUCCACAAGGAAUCUGUUAGAUGGGUGGAGAGUUAGAGGAGAGUUGUUUAUGUUGCCGCACGAGGAAUUCGUAAAGAGGGUGUUUAUAUCUGAUGAGGAAUUUGAAAAGAUAUGCAAGGAAGCCGAGGCAGCUAGGAAACUGGAGAUAGCUGAACGUAUGCUUUUGAUCCUUAUUUUGCAGUCUGAAUCUAAUUAAGCUUGAAUCUCAUGUGUUUUUCGUUGUUUAUUUUUUUGUUCUACUUGUGGUUUUUUUUUAAAAUAAAUAAAUUAUACAAUCAGGUUAAAAUUCUUGUUACAAGUUUGUUUUCUUAGUUUUCCGCAAGUGCUAUUAUAUAAAUUUUUUGUAUUAACUGUAUUGGAAAUAUGUUGUUUGUAGAAAAAUGAUUGAUGACUUAAAAGCUUGAAAUUGAAUUUUUCAGUAAGAAAAUGUAAUAGGGGCCUUUUGUUUUUCCCAUUAGGUUCACUGGAACUCAUUGCCAAAGUAUUUUUGUUGUUACAAGUUUGUUUUCUUAGUUUUCUGCAAAUGAUACUAUAUAAGUAAGCUUUGUGUAUCAACUGUAUUGGAAAUGUGUUGUUUGUAGAAAAAUGUUGACUUAAAAGCUUGAACUUCAAUUUUUUGGUAAGAACAUGUAAUAGGGGCCUUGUGUUAUAUUAAUUUGGUUCACUGGAAUUGGAACUCAUUGCCAGAGUAUUUAUAACUUUUAUGACAACAUACCGUUCAAGUUUUGCUGCUUCUUGUCUAACAAAUUUUUAAUUGACAUUGGCACCACAAAAACAAACAGGUAAGCCUGAUGAAAAGCCUAAAUAUUGUGAAGUUUGUAUGAAGGUCGGGUACCACAUGUCAUUUCGGUGUCCUUACUUGGAAGAUAUUCCAAACCCCGACACCGCAGUUGUUGGCGAGGGCUAUGAAAUAAUUUGCCAUUGCUGCCUUGAGUCGGAUCAUGGCCACCCCAAGGGAAGCUGGGCAGGAUUUGCAUGGAAUAAGAGUUGUGAUUGGUUUGAAAAGCUGAUGCCCCGUGAUCAAGAAGACUCAGAUUCAGAAUCAGAUGAAGACUAGUCUGAAUAAGAUGAUGAGCCUUAACUUUGUGAAGGUUGUGGACCACUUGUCAUUUGAAUGUCCCUACUUGUAUGGCAAGUCUGAUCCCUGAAGACAUAAUAUGUAGCGAUUAACUACUUGAUUCAGUGUAGUAUUUUAGAUGGCCAGAGAACUGUUAUGUGAAUAAGAACCUCUAAAAGUGUCGUGUUGUUAAGAACUUAUCAUUGUCGUACUGUUGUUUGCUUCCCUUUUAGACUUUGUGAAGAUAAUUUAUUGGUAUCUUUGGUUUUGUCUCACUUUCAUGUAUUUUCGCUUUGAUCUCUUUAACAUUCGCUCAUACUCCCUCUUGAUGUGGUUUUAUCUCCCUGUUGUGCUUUGAUAUUUGGUUUGAUCUUCUUCUUAUUCUUCUUUUAUUGAAUUGUCUUCUUUUUUUAUUUUUUUGAACUUUGUGGUUUAUAAGAUCCUGAGUUUAUAAUAUCUGAGUGUGCUGAAUGUUUCGGUUGCCAAAUUUCAGUUGGUUUUCUGAAUUCGGACACCAAUGCAUGAGCAACUAAUUAUGUUAAAUCUUGAUUUCUUGAGGUUUAUGAGCCUCAAGUCCAGAUUUUGUUAGGUUCACUGGAAUUGGAACUCAUUGCCAGAGUAUUUGUAACUUUUAUGAAUACACAAUUCAAGUUUUGUUACAAGUAUGUUUUCUUAGUUUUCUGCAAGUGAAAUUAUAUAUAUACUUUGUGGAUCAAUUGUAUUGGAAAUAUGUUGAUUGUAGAAACUAUUGAAAAAUAAAAUAAAAUAAACAGUCUCUAGAGUAUUGGAAAUAUGUUGAUUGUAGAAAUUAUUGAAAAAAUAAAAUAAAAUAAACAGUCUCUAGAUAUUGAGGUUUCAUAAGCCUCUAAUCUCAAUCUUCAGUGAACCUAACUAGUACGGUAGUAAUUGCAUUCUUGUUCUUUUUUAAUCUUCAACGUUGCUCAGUGCUUUGAACAACGAUGUAAUUGCAUUCUUGUUUUUGGUCGUGGAAUUUCAAAAUGGCCUCUUACAAUUUCCUCUAAUUUAGUAUCAGAAUGUCAAGCGGGCCUAGAGAAAUCUUUCUAGUUUGGGGGUCGCGGCAGAACUCUGGGUUAUGCUAUUAUCAACUAGGCCUCGCGAAUAGUAAAGAAUCAAUAAGAUGACAUGUCAAUGUAACUGAAUCACUUACAACAAUAGCUCUUAAGAGACGGUUACAAGAGACUGAUAGAAAAAUGCAUCUCAAUCACAUGUCAUAAAUUUAAUAACUGAAAUUAUACAACUUAUUUUCCGUCGUUAGAUUUAUUUGUCCAUCAAUCUCUUAAAAAUUGUCCUUUAGAUGAGCAUACCUUGUGAAAACUAUCCUAAAACGAUAGUGUUUUUCGGUCAUCAAUGAAACAAAGCUAAAAGAAAAAUAUUAUAAAUCAAGGUUGCGAAACAAAAAAUAUAUAUCUACAUAUUUGUUUUAUUAACCAGAUGAUUCAUCAAUCUUCAGUGUUGUUAUUGAAACUCAAUGCAUCCAGAAAAUGAAGAACGAAAAGUUCUGGCCAUCCCGUUCUGCCGGAAGAGGUGCUCAAAAGGAACGACAUGCAGACUCUUAGACACAACCCACCAGUCAGUUAAUGUAUGUGAACAUACAAAGCAUCCACAACACUGACUAGAGGUCCAUUUAGCCAACACGAAUGAAUGUCCCUUUCCGUCUAAACAUGAAUGAUCUCACAAUGUCAGUUCAACGACAACAGACCAUGUCAACUAGUCAUUAGAGCCUCAUAAUCACUUAAUUUGGUCGAACUCCUCUUGAGUCUCGAAGAAAGGUUUUCAUAAGUUCCCGUGACCAGUACUAGUUUUGGAUCAUCAGCAGGAAUCUCACCUUCCAGCAAUUAGAGUAACAAAGGAAUUGCAAUUGUCCAAAACAACACAAAUGAAAAGACCCAGCUCAUUCUGAUGUACCAGUAAAGCUUAAAUGUGUAUUGAAAAAACAGGGUUUAAUGAACGCAAAAAAAAAAGGGAGUAUACUGAACUCAAAAUCAUAUCAGAGAAACCAAGAAAAAUUUCAACUACAAUUUAUUCUAACGUACGGCACUUGUGUGAGACCCAGGUUCAUAAGCAUAUGAUCAAUUUAAAUUUGAAACUACACCAUGGGACUUUGUUCUAAAUGCACCAAGUGAACAAUCCCCCAAUGCCUCUCUGUUGUGGUUUUGAACUGUGGAGUUGGAUACUGCAAGUGUUGAAAUAUGGGGUUAGAUACUGCAAGUGUCCAGUUAGACAUAGAAUGACAUCACACAAUUGUAAUAGCUGGUUCAAAUCCAUGAUGGAUUCAGACACUAUCAAGAGACAGGAAAUCUCAAUGAGCUUGCAUUGACACAUAUUCUAAAGGAUGCAAAAGUCUCAUCUAAAUGUUCUUAGUGGAAAGUUAGAAUUUGACAUUGGACUAUAAAUUUUGUGAAGAAAAAGGUGCUGCCAUUUCUAAAACUCAUAUUUCUCUGGAAAAAUUUUCUUUUGCUGCUAUGAUCCCGGCAUGAAAUCACCCCUGCAAAACAAAGAUCCAAACGUAAAUGUAGUAUCCGAACAGCAGAUAUAGCAAGAACUAUCUAACAUGGAAAGUUUAAAACCAUAUACCGGACUCAAUUCCAUAAUUGUAACUUGGUUUCUUAACACAACGCCCUAAUAUGAUAAAACCAGCAGUCAUUUGCAAGCAUCGACUUCAUUGAAGACUUGAAAUAGAACAGACACACAAAGCAAUAACACCCAAUUGACAGUGACACCAAAAGUGCUAAAGUAAAAACUGCACCAAAUUCAUUCCUACAUAUAUGCCUCCACGAAUCACCAAAGCACCAAAAUUUAUAUAAAAACGUAACCCAUUAACAGAACCAAAACAAAGUUCGCCUCAACUUAGAAAAGUCACAAAGAACAGAAGUGAUUCAGAAUUUCUUGAUAAUUCAUUCAUCCCUAAGAAUAGGGUUAAUAUACAUGAUACAUAGUAACAUAUUAGGAAAGAUACAUAGUAACUUGUUAGGAAACUAAUAUUACUAAUAUAUUUACAUUCUUAGGACCAUAUGGGCGCGUGACUCACACCAACACUCCCUCUCAAGUUGGUGCAUACAAAUCGCAAAUGCCUAACUUGUCAAAUGAGUCACGAAAGGCCUUAACUGAGAGAGUCUUUGUAAGAAUAUCAGCUAACUGCUCCUCUGUACAGACAAAAGAGAAAUAAAUGACUUCUCCAUCUAAUUUCUCCUUAAUGAAGUGUUGUUCUACCUCCACAUGCUUAGUACGAUCAUGUUGAACAUGAUUGUGUGCAAUUUUAAUUGCAGCUUUAUUAUCACAAUACAAAGCCAUAGCCUUGCUCUGUUUAAACCCCAAAUCUCUCAGCAAAUGUCUCAACCACAACAUCUCACAAAGUUCUCGAGCCAUUCCUAUAUACUCUGUUUUAGCACUAGAAACGAGCCACCACUUACUCUGCCAAGUUACCAAGUUACCACAAACAAAUGUAAAAGAAAUAGAAGUAGACCGACGAUAUGUGAUGUUACCUGUCCAAUCUGCAUCUGUGUAUCUAGAAACAUCCAAGUGACUAUGCUUGGAAAAGAUCAAUCUUUUCCCUGGAGCAGACUUCAAAUACCGCAAUAUGCAAAACACAGCGUCCAUAUGAGUCUCACUGGAAUUAUGCAUGAAUUGACUGACAACACUAACCGCAUAGGCUAAGUCUGGUCUAAUGUGAGAUAAAUAAAUCAACCGACCAACUAACCUUUAAUAUCUUGCUUUAUUCGUAGGAACUUGAUCUAAAUACUCUGCUAACCGAUAGUUCUACUUAAUAGGAGUAUCAGCAGGUUUGCAGUCAAGCAUACUUGUUUCUGCUAACAAGUCUAGAACAUACUUUCGUUGACUCAAAACAAUGCAAUUUUUUUCACAAGCAACUUCAAUUCCCAAGAAGUACUUUAAACUACCCAAAUCAUUCAUCUCAAAUUCAGAAGACAACUAUACUUGUAAUCUCUGUAUCUCCUCACUAUCAUCACCUGUCAUAACCAUAUCAUCUACAUAAAUAAUUGAGGCUGUCACCUUACCACACCGAUGUUUAAGAAAUAAAGUAUGAUCUGAGUAGCUCUGACGGUAUCCAAUUCUUUUCAUAAACUUGCUAAACCGUCCAAACCAAGCUUUGGGAGAUUGCUUCAGACCAUAGAGAGAUUUCUUCAACUUACACACCAUCUGUUCUCUAGUAGAAGUACCGUACCCAGGAGGCAAAUCCAUAAACUUAUUCAUGCAAAUCACCAUGUAAGAACACAUUUUUAACAUCAAAUUGCUGCAGUUGCCAAUCAAGGUUAGCUGCUAACGAAAGAAGUACCCGAAUUAUGUUCAUUUUAGCCAUAGGCGCAAAAGUCUCAUCAUAAUCUAUCGCAUGCUUCUGAGUAUAACCUUUUGCUACUAACCUUGCCUUGUACCUAUCUACUGAACCAUUAGAAUUAUGUUUCACAAUAUACACCCACAGACAACCAACUGUCUUCUUCCCUAGUGGCAAUGACAUUAACUCCCACAUAUGAUUCUUCUCAAGAGCAUCCAUCUCAACUUUCAUUACUGCAUCCAUUUCUCAUCCCUCAUAGCAUCAUGCAUUUUACUAGGAAGAGACACAGAAGAUAAUUGAUUCAUAAAUGCUACAUAUGGUUUAGACAACCUAUGGGUAGACACAUAAUUAGCAACUAGAUAUUUACCCUUAGCACUUAGAGUAGGUUCAUAAUGUUUUGGAGGCUGACCACGAGUUGAACGACUAGGCAAGAUUUUGGUUUGAACAUUAUUUGACACAGAAGAACUAUUAGAAAAACAAGGAUUAGGACAUAUCUCGGGUGAUUAUUCAACAAGUGAAACCGAUGAAGAAGUGGGAGAGACAGAAGAGCUAUUUAAAAUACCGUCAGAAGACUGCAACACAUCAUUAGAUUCAGGAUCUGAAAUCACUUCCUUAACCGAUCGGUCGGAUUGUUCUGGAUCUAAUUGAUCGUUGGGUAAAGCACUGCCCAAAGAUUCUUCUCUAACCGGACAAUCAGAUUGAUCUGGUGUGUCACUAAUUCCACUGUUUUCUGUUUUUACCUCGGAUGACUGAUCUGUAGAGUUGGGCUGACCAUUUGGUGAAAUUUUGUCAUUCCUUUCAAGCUUUGUUGAUACACACUCCACCCCUUGUGACUUCUGGUGUCACACUCCCAUUCUAUCUAACAAACAAAUCUUCAUAAUAACUAAACCUCUCCUCCUGACGAGGAGUCACAAGAGGCAAGAAAUAACAUACAUCUUCAUUUAUAGUAACAUCUAUGGUGACAUAAAACCUCUGGGACUGAGGGUGAUAACAUUUGUAGCCUUUCUGAUGAGAGCCAUACCCAACAAAUACAUAAUUAAGAGCUCUAGCAUCUAAUUUUGACCUUCGAUUUUUAUAGAGACGAACAUAAGCAACACAACCAAAGACACGAGCAUGAAGAGUAUUAGCUGAAGGGAUAGAAACGUAGUUAGACAAGACCUGAAGUGGGACACGACCUUGAAGAGGGGCAGAGGGAAGGCGGUUAAUAAGAUGAGAAGCACAUAAAACAGCUUCUCCCCAAAGGUACUUCGGCAUAUUAGCACUUAGCAAAAGAGAUCGAGCGAAGCCAUAUCCAAAAGGUGACGAUUUUUCCGUUCAGACACCCUAUUUUGCUCAGGUGUCUGUGGACAUGAAGUUUGAUAGAUUAUGCCGUGGUGUUGGAAAUACUCACGAAAAAAAUGAUUGACAAACUCCCCCCUUGAUCGGAACGAAAGACCUUAAUAUGAGCAUCAUAUUGAGUACGAACAAGAUUAUGGAAUGUUGUAAAGGCAAAGAAAACAUAUGCUCUCGACUUAAGCAAAACUACCCAAGAUAAUUGAGUAAAGUCAUCAAUGAAUAACACAAAGUAACACAUUCCAGAAAGAGUAAAAUUUUUGGAAGGACCCCACACAUCAGAAUGGAUUAACUCAAACGGAGAACUACUAGAAUGAAAACUUGAAGGAUAGCUAGACCUAUGACUCUUAGCCAAAGCAUAAGUUUCACAAUGCAAACUAGACUCACUCACUAUGAAAACAACGAAGGCAUGGACUUUUUCAUUACCCCAAAAGAUGGAUGUCCCAGACUCCUGUGCCACAACCAUAACUCACUCAACCGAUCAGAACUCAAUGUCAGGGCCAAAGGUUGUUCUGGUGCUUGUGCUUGUCCUGCGUACAUGCAAUCUAAGUGAAACAGUCUCCCCCUCAGGUCUCUCUUGCCAAUGAUCACCCGAGUGCAUAGAUUCUGAAAAACAACAUAUAUUGGAUAAAAGGUCACAUAACACUUAUUUUGUGAACUCAACUGAGAUACUGAUAAUAGAGAUGAGACAAUGAGGGUACAUAAAGGACAUCAUGUAAAACAAUGGACGAUGUUACUUGGAUAGACCCAAUACCUAAGACCGGAAAAGAUGCACUAUUUGCGUUAGAGACAUGAGAAAUAGGAAGAUAAGACAUAGACAUAAAAGAAACAUUUAUCAUAGGUCAUAUGGUCUGACGCACCAAAAUCAAUAAUUCAUGUAUCUCCACCAGUAAAGUUAGCAACAUGUAAAACAACACCAUAUUUACCUCGAGUUUCCUUAGUCAAGGAAACAUUACCCGUUGAAGGAUCUUGGCCUUUAAUGCCACCAAAAUCAGGUUCUUGCACCAAUCGAAUUGCCGCUUUGUCGCUUAGACCAACACGACCUCCACGUCCUUCAAUGUUAUUGCUUCCUCUCCAACCAGAUUUGUUGGAAGUAACGUCAGAUUCUGAACCAUCGAUAAUCUUCAAGUCCACCAUCUUUCUUCUUCUACUCAAUUUUUUUUUUUUUUUCCAAGAAACCUACAACUUUGUAACAAACCCAAAGUACCUCCAAGAUGUGCAGACUAUCUCAAUAUUCAAGAAAGGACAAACUAAUGAUUAAGGAUGAAACUAAUUGCUUCGCAAGAAACCAACCAAGGCUAGCUAUUAGCAAAACCAACAAAAGGGACCAAUUGAUUUGUAGAAAUUACAAAUCAAUUUACAAAGGGACCAACAGAAGUACCAAAUCACCAACUUGACCAAAUGAACCACGCCAACCAAAUUAAAAGGACCAAAUCAACAAAAAAACUGAAUUUGCAGCAGAAAAAGCAAACCGAGUCCAAGAGGAUCUCAGCUCUGAUACAGUCACAAAAAACAUAAAUGAAUGAGAAUUUCUUGAUAAUUCAUUCAUCUCUAAGAAUAUGAUUAAUAUACAUGAUACAUAGUAACCUAUUAAGAAAGAUACAUAGUAACCUAUUAGGAAACUAAUAUUACUAAUAUAAUAUUUACAUUCCUAGCACCACAAGGAUGCGUGACUCACUCCAACAAGAAACAGCCGAGAACUAUUAAAUUAGUGGGCAUUAAUCAACAUCUAAAACCCAUUAGAGUACAAAACCCAGAUCGACUACAGUAGCCAAAACCAAGACAGAAAAUCAAGAAAACAUGGCAUGGAUAUAAAGUGAGUUGGGCUUUCAAACCUCGGCUUCUUCGGCCUCCAAGCAUGAUUGACGAAUUAGAAGAAGCAUCAACGAUCAUAGAGAAACACGCAUACUGUAUAAAAUAAAAUAAAUGGUUUUUCUGGUAACACUUCCACUUCAAACCGCGCCGGUGCAAAACUGCUAUUCUUUUGUAUGGGGAUUAGUGGGCCGGGUUUUGUUUAUCUUUGAUCUGGGCUUGUUUGAUAAUUGCUAUUGCGCUGUCCAAUAAAGCUCCCACCAAAUGUAACCAAACAACAACAAAAAUGUCCCCCCAAAUCUUUUUCAGGCUUUUGUAAUUAGGUUUUUUUAUUACUAUGAAGACAAUAUCCAAUUAUGUUUUUCAGGUUUUUGUAAUUUUCAGCCUAAUUGAUUUUAAUUAUCUAGUUACAUACUGUAUGUUUCAAAUAUAUUUCCUUUCAAAAAAUAAAAAUAACAAAUAUGUAGAAAAACUGCCUUAUUGUUUGAAUGUACUUCAUGAUAACGACUACAUUGUUUCCUUUGGAAUUAAUACCUCCCAACUUCUAAGAGAAAUCUUGAGUUGGCUAACCAGUGUGAAAUUAUAUACGCAUUUAAUAGUUUCUAAAACCAACAACUUGUAAGGUUGCACGUGCUAAAAAUCCGGUACAUUCCGUUUUCUUUCCAUUCCAGUCUUUCGCGACACUUCAGGUUUACUUCGACUCGACUGAAUGAGUAGCUUGUGUUUUGAUGUAGACGGAGGUUCUUGUGUUAUGAUUUAGUUAGGACUUUGUCUCCCUUUCGUUAUCUUCCGCUCCCCCACCAGAAAAUUACCAACCUCACAGUACAAAGAGCGUUUUCAGGGAAUCCAAAAAGACCAAAACAACGUUCGACUUGCAUGUGUUAAGCAUAUAGCUAGCGUUCCUUCUAAGCCAGGAUCAAACUCUUUUUUUAACUAUGAUUGGGCCCUGCAAUGGUAGAACCUGGUGAACCGAAGAGUCUUUCCACAUGAAAUAGGUGAUACUACUAAUGGUACGUUUGACGAAACUUAAUUGACAUUAUUGACUAUGGUCGAAAAUAGUAAAAGACAAAAAGAAAAAAAGAAGCAGAUCAAAGAGAACCUAAAAUUGGACACAAAUUGACAGGUUAGGGCGUUAGGCUUUGGUAUCCGCUGAGUUUGAUGCACCCUUCUGGUGCUCUUCUAACGUGGUUUCGAGCAGUGAUGGAACCAGGAUUUAUAAUCUGGGGGUUUUGAUACAUAAACUGCUAGUUUGAGAAUAAACUUGUGAUUUUUAUGUUAACACAAGAUAUUAUUAUUAUUUUCAAAAAGAUAAACAACUAUAUUAUAUAAUAUACAAAUUAUUAAGCUAAACAAGAUAUUAUAGACAUAUAUGUGAAGAAAAAAGUUAGUAUAUAAUAGACAAAUUAUUCGUCCAUACAUACUUUCAAAAAUAUUCCACCAAAGUUCAUUACUUAUUAUUAAGUUUGUUGUUUGUUGUUGUUGUUGUUGUUGUUUUUUUUUUUUUUUUUUAUAUGAACUCAAAGACAAUUUUGUCAUUUAGUACUAAAGUAGAGGGUACAAUACGAAUCAAUCCGUUGUUGCCAUGCGUACAGAGGACAAGCAAGAUCAUCUGAUUCGUAUGAGAGUUGUAUCCUCAUUACAAAUUUCGGCUCACAAGGAGCCUAUAAUCUAAUAGAAAUAGAUCAUAGGUAAAGUUUCUAACAAAACUAAAGCUAGCAAAAAUAAAGCUCUCCCAUGUGAAAAGCAUGGGCCAAGAGUAAUUGUUCUGCAAUAAAACAAAAACAAUAAAGCUGAAAUAGAAGGAAAGAAAAAGCAGAACUUCAAAAAACCUCAUUGCCCUUCACACUAGGGCUUGGGGGCGUUGCAGAUGGAGUCAGAGAAGGAGUCAAUCCUCUUGAUUAGCACUUCUUCUAGGUUUCUGGUUUUUAGAGCCAAUGAGACGUCCUCUUUUCUUCUUUUGAGCUUCAGUUGUCACCAGAGCCAUCUCAGUUGAAUCCGAUGUGAGGCUGAGAGUCUUGGCCGAGAGAGCAACCAAGAAGUCAGGCUGUUUCAUUCUCUUGGUAUGCACAUGAGCUUCAUGUGACUGCAACAAGUCUAUCAAUACCUUCAACUUCUUGGGGGAGGUCUCACGUGAUGAUGGUUGGCUCCGUUUGCGUCCCUCUCCAACAGUCAAGUCACCUUCAGGUUCAUGCUCCGGUGCAUUUUGGUCAGAAGAUAGAGUGAUCAGGAUCAUUCACAUGUAUAAUAGCUAGGGCAUCAUCUUCAGGUUCACACGUCGGCUUCUUGAGAACAAUAGGGCGCUUGUGCAUCAUCUCUUUCUUUUGAUCAAAGAUUGCAUUGAGGCAGCAAUUGGUGUAGAGGGCAAUCCUGAACCAUGGAAUUGAAGGCUCUAUGCAUCAGAGCUUUGGAUGCAAAGCUGAUCACAGGGGCAGGGUUUGGCAUGUCUGUAUGAGACAGACCUGCAGUGUUGUAACUAGCUCGGCAUUUUCCAUUCUCAUAGAACACCAAGUUACAAGCAUCACAAAUACUCAAACAAUUCUCAAAGUAAAAAUCAAUCUGUUCCACAUAAUUUGUUGCUAGCUUGAUGGUUUUGGAGGUAAGAAUAGGAUCAGAUAGUUUCUUCUCAACCCUAACCCUAACCUUUUUUUGAUCUAAUGAAUAGUUUGUCGUCAUAUUCAAUAUAACGACCAGCAACAGAAGUAAUACCAGGAAAAUUCUCAGGGAUCUCAUACUUAGGUAGAAUAUUUUGAAUACGUACCCAGAAGAAUAAGGAGUCCAUGGCGAGGCUCUUGAUUGAUUUGACGCCAUCAUAAAGUUGGAUCACAACUGGCACCUGCUGGUACCACCAGGGUCCUCCUCGAAGGACUUUGUCCCUAUCCUUGAUGAGAUCGAAGCUAAUGAUAAAGAUAUUGUUCGGACGUUCCUGGAUCUGAAAUUUCCGCUCCAGGAUCCACACCCUUCCACAGAACCGCUUGAGUUCCAACAAGCUUGGCUGCUAGGGGUUGAGUUCAACGGCUUUGCUAUCAAGAAGAACUGCGCAACACCUCUUUUAAGAGGCAGAGAUGCGGUGAGAGAGAUCCACAACCUUGGAAUUUGCCAAAACCAAGGACGCAACAAAGGCUUGGUGACAUCCUCGAUCGAUGCUGAUUGGAUCGAUGAUGAGGAAGCAAAAGACUUGCUCAAAUUCUGCAGAGAAGAAGUUGCAGAGGACGAGUGGUUUGGUGUUGGCGAUGGAGAUGAGGAGGGGAGGAUGAGUUCCGGGAGCUUGAAAGCCAUGGGAAGCAACAAGAUUGGUGAUGGAGAGGCUGUGAGGUUUGGAGAGGUAGGGUUAGGGUUUUGGGAGCACAGAGUCGCUCUUAGGGUUAGGGAGAUAGGUGUGCAAACUUUUAAGUUUGUUGUUGUUGUUUAGGUACUCAUUUGGAUAAAUCAAGAUUUCCUUCAUAGUAAUUAUGUCGUUAAAAAUAGGUUUCCUUCGUAGUAAGUAGACUAAGAAAUGUUUUGUAAUAUUAUCAUUUUGGCCCUUGUCUGAAAUGAUACCCUUGAAUUCUUUGCUAAUUCAUUGGUCCUUGUCCGAAAUGAUACCCUUGAUCUUUCACCCUUGAUUUUUGUUGAUUCUUUACUAUUUUGUUAUUGUAGUGUAUAGAAGAUGUAUUGUUCGUUAAGGUAGCGACGAACUAUUGUAGUGCCAAAGGCAGAACGGCGAUGGAAAUGUUGGUUAAAUCUAAAAAUUAAUCUAAUACCAGGCUUUAAUGAUUAAAUGGUUUUUAAUCAUUUUGUACCAGCAUAGUUUUUAGAUUAAUUUUUUAUAUAUAUAGUUUUAGAUUAAUCAAAUUUUUUAGAUUAAUCAAAUUCUUGAAUGUUUAACCAAGAGGUAGUUCCAUAAGCCAAAUUGGCUUAAUUAAUAUUGAUAUAUAGUUUCAUUUUCCAUAUAUAGCAGUGUACAAAACUAAAAACCAUUUUUCACCCAUUCAUGAGUCAUUUGCACACGACAUGAGGAGCAUCUCCAACAGUAUUGUUAAAUCAAACUUUUUUUUGAAAUUUAUCAACUUUUCGGAUGAAUAUGAGCUCCAACAGUAUACCUAAAUGAUUGAUAAAUUUAAGAAUUGCUAAAUUUAAGGACUGCUAAACGAAAUUGAUAAAUUUGUCAAUUGAGCCAUGAAUUGGUAAAAGAAUACAUAUAUUUUCCGUCUUUUUUUCUCCACGUGUUAGUUUAUAAUUCGUUAAAAAUAUUAUUUAACUUACAUAUAACAAUAACUGCUGGAACCAAAUUCUUAUAUAAUAACUAAAUCUCAUAAUUAUUGCUAAAUUUAACUAUUAUUUUAGUUACACGAGAUGCUGCUGUUAAUCCCUUAAGAGCUGGUUUUCAAAUGGUUCGGGUCUUCAAUUGGUUCCGCCGCUGGUUUGGACUUUUGAGUCCAUGACCUAUUUUCUCUAACUGAUUACAAGAAUAAAAAGAAAAAAAAAGUAUUACAACGGUAAAAUCAAAUCCAAUUUAUUAAACGUCUGACGUCCACGCGUAUGAAUGCUCACCCACAGUAGUACAAAGCUUCCCUCCCAUUUUCUUCUCAAAAAAAUAAAAAAUAAAAAAGCUUCCCUCGCAUUAAGUGUCCGUUUUCUGUCGGAAGAGUGAAGACAAAAUAGAGAGAGAGAGAGAGAAGAGAGAGAAAAAGAAACACAUCGGCGACGAAGAACCUCUGAAAGUUAGGGUGUCUUAGUUCAUCAAAGCGACGCCGUUUCACCACGCCGCAAAUGUGUUCCAUUCUCCGCCGUCGAAUCCUGAGCUCCGUUUAGGGAUUUUGGACGGAUCUGGGGCUAUGUACUCUCUUCGAAUUUAAUGUUUCAAUCUUUUUUUUUCCGAAGUGGGAUUUCAAAAUCGUGAUGAUUUUGCUGGAAACCAACAUGAAAACGACCUUAAGCCAGGCUCGUACUGACCUGAAGAUUAAGGACGGUGAGGCACACAGUUAUCGUUGACUGACACAAUUUAAUCCGUGCUUUCAUUUGAGACGAAAAUGGCUGAAGGCAUUACUCCCUUCCCUGUAACUCUGCAAAUAUACCUUAAAAUGGAAAACUGCUCUUGUCUAUUGUUUCAAAUUAAGCUUUGGCAUAUGUGAGGUUUUCCUUCACAAAACUUAUAUAUGGUGUCUAUUGUUGCAAAUUAAGUUGAUUUCUGAAAUGAUCUUUCUUCAAAACGCUUUUGUUGCCCAAUCAACACACUGUCCACUUCAAUAUAAACCAUAUUCUAAACAUUUAUAGUUAGUGAAGGACCCAAAGUUAUCAAGACGACCUAAUUUAAUUUGUGCUCUGAAUUACUAGUUGUUAUUUUGUUGUAAUCAAGUUCGUGCUUCUCACAUCAUCACAUGCAACAACUUAAUUAACUGGUUUACUCUGAAACCGCAUGUCUUAGUUGCCAAUUGGGUUAUAAUAAUUAUUUGUUAUGUGAAUGUUAAGUUAAUUUGAGAAGUGUUUCUUUGAAUGAGAUGAAAUUGUGGCAGGUCUAGUUUAAUAAUCACAUGUAAGCUGCUCAAUGCAAAAUUCCAUAUAAGAGAAAAAAAUAGGAGGCCGGGACUAGAUGAAAUACUGCAGAUCUUUUGGCUUGUGGAUUUUUGCUACAGGCUAUGCUGCAAGUAAAGGACAUACACGAAGAGGGAAGACAUCGAUCCGAACGAUUUCUAUGCCAAAGCUGUAUUCAAAUUCUUUUACCAUUUCAAUGUUAAACGACCAUAGCCUUAAGCUACUGCAUAUCUUCCCAUUUGACUAGUUAUUAGGCUCUGGUCUCCACUGAGUUUGAUGCACCCAGCUGCCUUCUGGUGCUCUUCUGUCCAUGACCUAUUUUCUCUAACUCAUUACAAAGAAUAAAAAAGAAGAAGAUGUAUAUUAUUACAACGGUAAAAUCAAAUCCAGUGGUCACCCCCACUACCACUAUUAGUACAAGGCUUCCCUCCUAUUUCGUGUGUCUCCGUUUUCUGUCAGAGUGAAGACAAAAUAGCGAGAGAGAAGAGAGAGAGAGAGAGGCGACGAAGAAGUCUCUAGAAAGUUGGGUUCUAUUCAUCAAAGCGACGCCGUUUCAUCACUCCGCAAACGCGAUCCCCAAGCCGAUUAGCGAUUUCAGAUGGUACUGGUUCGUCUCAGCUCUACUCUCUUCAAAUUUUUGUCCAUUUUUUUUUCUUUGGAGGUGGAUUUCUCAACCGUAAUGAUUUUGCAGGAGGAGCUCUUCAACUCGGAUCAGACGAAGCGUGUCGCCGGCGAGCUAGACCGAGCGACCGCGUCGAACCUCAACUCGGCUCCGAUAUGCACCUAUUUUGCUUACAACGGCCAAGACGCCGCCGCUUCGUGUUCCGACGUAAACGCGGCGAGUGCGUCGAACCGGUUCGACAGCGAGGCCAAGGCGAGUCUGAUCAGAGCGUUGUCUCGGGACAGCAAGGCCGAGCUCGCGGCACAGACGAAACGGCUCUUCGGCGAGCUGGACCGAGCCACGGCGUCCAAGCUCCUCCACUUAUGCUGCAACUUCGACUAGGCGGAGUGCGCCUCCGCCAUUCUCGGCUGCGAUCUCGGGGAGGUUCCGCUGCUGAACGAGUGUGACGACUCCGGGAAAUCGCCGCUGCACACGGCGGCGACGGCGCACGCGUCACGGUGCGUGGAGGUUUUGCUUAAGAAGCACGCUCGGACUGAUUUGAGGACCGAGGACGGUCAGGCACAGCUAGCUCUGGAGCUGUCGCUUGCUGACACAAGGUAAGGCCUUGAUACGCAAAUGGCUAAAGCCAUUAAUCCUUCCCUGUAAGCUCUGCAAAUAAACCCUAAAAUGGCAAAUCUGCUUUUUCGUUUCAGGUCCUCUUUUUUAUUAUUUUAUUGAAGCUUUUGUUUGUCUCGGUUUUUCAUCAAAAUAUAUUUACUAUUUUUCAUUUAAUUUUAUUUACCUUUCAGGAUUGAUCUCAAGACUUGGAAUCCGAAAGAUUUCCGCGUUGACGACUUGGUCAUUCGCUUGACUGAAAAGGUAAAAAUCUUAUACUAGUAAAAAGCAAAAGAUUUAUUUUUUACCCUGACACAGCACAGAACGACGUGUCGCUUAUUGAGUUUCCUUUGUUGAUUUUGUGAAGCACACUCUCUCCGAAUGCCUCGUAAGGGAGGCUCUGGCCCUCGGCGGCCGUGCAACGCCGCCGCUGAGGGCGGCAAAACGCGCCUCCACGGCGACGGAGGAAGAAAACUCGGAGAGGAGGAAGCUGUUUCUGAGGGAGAUAGAGCUGCUUCAGCUGUUCGGAGCUGUUGCUCAGAGCGGUGGUGGGGAGAAGAAAGUGACUUCCACACUCAUCCGUGCAGCUCAGGUGAGCCUCCGUCGUUCUGAUUAGUUCUCAGUAAUUUUCAGAGGGCAAUUUUCUUACUGUUUGAAAAAGACGCAAAAUUUGAAGAGAGGGAAACGAUAAUUUGAUCAUGAUUUCUGUAUGUCUUGUGUUAAAAAUCUCAUCUGUGCAUUGUUUGCUGAUUAGGAUGAUCCAAUUGAAUUAUAGGCAUUGCAACUGGCCACUAGAGAGUAUUGUUCUCUUUCUCUUUUGUGUUUGGGAUAAUGUGUUGGGUGGGCCUUGGGUGUUUUCUUCAUUCCCUUUGUUGUUUUCUUGCUUUCAUUGAAUAUUUGGGUGUAUGCACUUCCCCAUUCCAUAAUGUCUCCCAAAUGGAAACAAUCUACUACUCUGUUAGAACUUAAGGUAGACUCAGAAUAUGUAGCGGAAGCAAAUCAAAAUAUAUUGAAUCACAUUGCCUCAUAAAUCAUAAUGAUCACUGAUAAAUAGCUCUUCAUCUUCGAAGUAUUGUGCCUCAGCAUACAUUGUAGGUAAUCCAUACUGGUAGCUUCUGAAUGCAAUCUAGCUGGAAGAAAAUAUGCAUGGUAGUUGCAUGGGAACAAAUUUGCAAUUGUAGAGCUCUGCUUUUUAAAUUUAGAGUGAUCGAUUAUCAUAUACAGUACUUUCAUAUCAUGAUAUGUGACUAUAAUUUGAUAAAUUUUUGAUAGGGAGGAGAUGAAGCUGUUAUCCAGCUGCUUCUGAAGACAAAUUUAGAUGUCAAUGACGCUGAUGCAGAAGGAAAUACUGCUCUUCAUUGGAUCCUUAAACAGCCCAGAUUGUUGUGUCCUCAACAGAUCAAGUCUCUCUCUCUCUCUCUCUCUCACACACACACACAACACACACACACACACACACACACANNNNNNNNNNNNNNNNNNNNUUUGUCCAUUUUUUUUUCUUUGGAGGUGGAUUUCUCAACCGUAAUGAUUUUGCAGGAGGAGCUCUUCAACUCGGAUCAGACGAAGCGUGUCGCCGGCGAGCUAGACCGAGCGACCGCGUCGAACCUCAACUCGGCUCUGAUAUGCACCUAUUUUGCUUACAACGGCCAAGACGCCGCCGCUUCGUGUUCCGACGUAAACGCGGCGAGUGCGUCGAACCGGUUCGACAGCGAGGCCAAGGCGAGUCUGAUCAGAGCGUUGUCUCGGGACAGGAAGGCCGAGCUCGCGGCACAGACGAAACGGCUCUUCGGCGAGCUGGACCGAGCCACGGCGUCCAAGCUCCUCCACUUAUGCUGCAACUUCGAUUCGGCGGAGUGCGCCUCCGCCAUUCUCGACGGUGAUAUCGGGGCGGUUCCGCUGCUGAACGAGUGUGACGAGUCCGGGAAAUCGCCGCUGCACACGGCGGCGACGGCGCACGCGUCACGGUGCGUGGAGGUUUUGCUUAAGAAGCACGCUCGGACUGAUUUGAGGACCAAGGACGGUCAGGCACAGCUAGCUCUGGAGCUUUCGCUUGCUGACACAAGGUAAGGCCUUGAUACGCAAAUGGCUAAAGCCAUUAAUCCUUCCCUGUAAGCUCUGCAAAUAAACCCUAAAAUGGCAAAUCUGCUUUUUCGUUUCAUGUCCUCUUUUUUAUUAUUUUAUUGAAGCUUUUGCUUCCUUUUUUUUUAAUUUUUUUAUUCAAGCUUUCGUUGUCAUCAUCAAAAUAAUUAUUUUUUAUUUAAUUUUAUUUACCUUUCAGGAUUGAUCUGAAGACUUGGAAUCCGAAAGAUUUCUCCGUUGACAACUUGGUCAUUCGCUCGACUGAAAAGGUAAAAAUCUUAUACUAGUAAAAAGCAGAAGAUUUAUUUUUUACCUAGACACAGAACGACGUGUCGCUUAUUGAUUCUCUUUUGUUGAUUUUGUAAUAGCAAUCUCAGCAAUUACGCACGGUCAAACUUUUAAGUGAAAAAACGCCAGACAUUGCUGAGGUGGCAUAUUCAUUGGCUACGAAAGGUCGCGUUGAUUCUCUCACCGCUCUUCUCAUCGUCGCCGCCCAGAAGGUUAACGAUUCCGUCUUGAAGUGGCCCAAAGCGCGGCGGUUUAAGGAGAAGCACACUCUCUACGAAUGCCUCGUAAGGGAGGCUCUGGCCCUCGGCGGCCGUGCAACGCCGCCGCUGAGGACGGCGAAACGCGCCUCCACGGCGACGGAGGAAGAAAACUCGGAGAGGAGGAAGCUGUUGCUGAGGGAGAUAGAGCUGCUUCAGCUGUUCGGAGCUGUUGCUCAGAGCGGUGGUGGGGAGAAGAAAGUGACUUCGCCACUCAUCCGUGCAGCUCAGGUGAGCCUCCGUCGUUCUGUUAAAUUCUUAGUAAUUUUCAGAGGGGAAUUUUCUUAGUGUUAGAAAAAGACGAAACAUUUGAUCAUAAUCUCCAUGUGUCUUGUGUUAAAUUCUCAUCUUUGCAUUGUUUGCUGAUUAGGAUGAUCCAAUUGAAUUAUAGGCAUUGCAACUGGCCACAAGAGUAUUUGUUCUCUUUCUCUUUUGUUUUUGGGAUUAUGUGGUGGGUGGGCCUUGGGUGUUUUCUUCAUUCCCUUUGUUGUUUUCUUGCUUUCAUUGAAUAUUUGGUUGUAUGCACUUCCCCAUUCCAUAAUGUCUCUGGAACGGAAACAUUUUUCUACUCUGUUAGAACUUUAAGAUUACAUUACUAUGCAAAAUAAAGGUAGACUCAGAAUAUGUAGCAGAAGCAAAUCGAAAUAUAUUGAAUCACAUUGCCUCGUAAAUCAUAAUGAUCGCUGACAAAAAGCUCUUCAUCUUUGAAGUAUUGUGCCUCAGCAUGCAUUGUAGGUAAUCCAUAUUGGUAGCUUCUGAAUGCAAUCUGGCUGUUAGAAAAUAUGCAUAGUAGUUGCAUGGGAACAAAUUUGCUAUUGUAGAGCUCUGCUUUUAAAAGUUAGAGUGAUCAGUUAUCAUAUACAGUACUUUCAUAUCAUGAUAUGUGACUAUAGUUUGAUAAAUUUUUGAUAGGGAGGAGAUGAAGCUGUUAUUCAGCUGCUUCUGCGGACAAACAUUGAUGUUAAUGACGCUGAUGCAAAAGGAAAUACUGCUCUUCAUUGGAUCCUUAAAACGUCUAGAUUGUUGUGUCCUCAACAGAUCAAGUACGUCUCUCUCUCUCUCUCUCUCUCUCUCUCUCUCUCUCUCUCUCUCUCACACACACACACACACAUGCAUAGGGUCUAAUUACCUUACUAACUUUCUGUUCUUUCAUUCCCAGAAUUUUAUCGCUUCUUCUUGAUCAUGGUGCUCGAGUAAGCCAAAGGAAUAGAUUGGGGUUAACAGCAUUUCAUAUUGCUGCUGGUAAUGGCAAUUCAGAGGCACUUGAGGUAUCAUAUGUUUCCUAUUCUACAUAUCCAGUUUUCUUAACAAAUCAUCUUGCUUGGCAACCAGAAAUACAUUGGUUAACAGCACCCUAUAUGAAAUUCAGUAGCAGUGACUUUGAGCCAUUGACAGGUCCUUCUGUUGGAAGAUCCGUUUGGCGUCCAAUAUAAGACGGAAAUGAAAGAAACCCCCUUGUUUUUUGCUGUGAAGAAUAAGAGUGAGGACUGUACUAAGCUUCUUUUGACAUGGGGAGCAGAUUAUGAAGUCCUUAAUAAACGGUGAGGAAGAAUGAAAAACUUGUCCUCUAAUUCCAUUGUGUAUGUCUUCAGUAUUGUUCUUCAGAACCUUGGCUAACAUUUAUUUUGUACAUGAAUUUCUGGAAUUACUUUUCAAAUACCAGCAACCAAAGAGCUAUAGACCUGGCAAUGUCUCAAGAAAUGCGUCACAUAUUGCUGAAUGCAAUCACUGUUAGCCUGAGUAAGUUCAUUAUUAAAAAACGUGGAGUAAUAUAUCAAGCAACUGUACCCAUCUUUUGUAUAUUAGAUUUAACUUCCCUAAUUUCUCAUGUUCAGUUGAUGAUGACUUUCCCUACCAACUUAAAUGUACGGCUCUGGAGUUGGCAGAUGAAGAGACCACUACCAAAAGGUGACCCUUGUUACAUCAUCAAAGUUGUUAUGUGUUUCGAAGAAAAAGAAAACAUUUUGUCUGAUAUGCUUGUGUGUCAGUAGGCAUACGUAUGUGUUUUUAUAUCUUGCUUUGUUCAUAUAUGGUUCUCAACCUGUUACCCCUGUGAAUGCUAGAAAUGUCUAUACCAAGGCUGAGGCAGAGGUUUGUAAGUGCAUCAACUCUCAUCAAGAUGGUGUCAGAGGAGCAAAGUGCUUUUAUGCACAAAGUUCUUGGGCUGAUAGAUUAGCCUCCUCUGGGUAUCCUGUAAGGAACAUCACUGAUUCUUGCAAGGUAUUAUAAGUGACUAAAUAAUUUUUGUUGGUAUAUAUGCUCAUAUAGGAUUUAUAUUGUAUUGUUCCAUCUUAAAUGCAAUUUACAGGUUAAAGGCACAACAAACAUUUCAUGGCUUUCACCAGAGUUUGCAGUCAUUGCCAUUGAUUCUCGUGGUACUCACAAUGGGAAAUUAGGUAAAUUUGGUUGUUACUUCUUAUUUGAAGAGAAAUUAUCACAAUUACUACUGUUCCUUCUCAUUUACUAAUGUUCCUUACAUUUUGUAAAAUUUUAGUUGAAGAUGAAUACCAGAAAUUUGAUAAAAUCACCCCCCAUAUACUUGCGACGAAGGUUGGUGACUCUACUCAGGCUGACAAUACAAUUCUGCACAUGAUAAAUACGAUUGGUGAUGAGAUCAGGGAUGGUACAGAUGUGAAGUGUGUGUGGAAUGCGGGCCAAGCCGGACUGUCAAUGGAGAAGGAUCCUAACGCGCCUAGUUCUGAAUCAUUAAUUGCUGGUGUACAAUCAAAGGUAGUCCUAUUGUAUUACAUUUUUUGUAUGUUUGUUAGUUAAUUUUAAUACUCUUUUAACUUGAAGUUUUUUUCAUGUAGGCUACAUAUUGUUGUUAUCUGUAUGAUAUUUACGAGGAGGGUAAGGAUCGUUUACGUGUCUUAAAAGAGGUUCCAAACUGGAAGGCAAUUGGCAGUGGCAGUGCGUUUGCUACAACAGUCAUGGGUCCAAUGUGGAAAAAGUAUAAAAAUGGUGCAGCUCCAUUGUUAAGAAUAGUUCGGAUUCUGAACUACUCCAUCUUGCUAUCCGCUUUGUUUAGUGUGGAAACCGGAGGAAUAAUGACUGGUAUUUCUCACUCUUAUUGAAUAGUCAAUUUUUUCCCCCUUUUUUCCAGCAUCCCUUUUAUCAUACGUCACUUCAGCUUAUACUUAUCAUAUCUAUAUGCUCUCUCAAGUAAUAUGCAAAUAUUAACAUUCUACUGAAUUUUUAAUUUUUUUUCCCAAUAACCAUUUCAUCAUGUCACUCUAGGUAUCUAUACAUGGCAUGGCAUAUAUACAUCCUCCGUGAAAUAUUAUGGAAAGAAAAACAUGCAAAUAUGAAUACAACAGAAGAGGCUACCUCUGUCAAACCAUGCAUGCAUAUUCCAUAUGUGGAAAUAGUGUUAAAAGUGAAGAUUUGAAUUGAUUUUUUUCAUGGACCGAUUGUUCCAUCUUCCAUGUCUUGUUUUUCAAGUUACACUUUUUUCCUAUGGAUGAUUUUGUAUUAUGUUUGUUGCAUCUUUUAGUUGAAAUUGAAUUAAUAUUGUUAAUUGUGUUCUCUACAGUUAUAUGCAUUAGGGCUGAUGGUACUAUGAGCAUAGAAUCAAGCAACACGGUGCUCCAGUUAUAUAUCUGUUUCUAUAAGACCCAAAUUCGGUUACCUCAUAUUGAAGACGGUGAAUUGAGUGAAGAUGCGCCGAAAUAUAUGGAGCUGGCUAAGUUAGAAGAAUUGGAAGGAAGAGCUAUAUUUCUGUUCUAUGAUCCUCAUCUUAUUAACAUGGAUUUUAUGAAGGAAUGGUUGAUGUACGUAUUUCCUCUGAUUUCGUAAUUAAUUACGUAUAUGUUAGAUAAAUGUCACCGACUCUUUUCAAUUUUGUAGGACACAAAAUGGUAUUGAUGAAGAUGAUUUUGGACACCCACUGACGGAGUUGAAGGGAGGGAAGUAUAUGCAUAGAGUUGUUUUCGAAACAACCGAAGAUUGUUCAUCUUUUUUGAAAAAAGCGAGACAGAUUACCCGGAAGACGCCAAUUCCAUUUUCAAGAAUGCGAGAGGGCUUCAAGCGUCUUAAGCAUAAAGGCCAUAUAUUUUUGAUAGCAGAACACACUUUGGAGAUGUUAAAAUCUCUUGAAAGUUCAGAGGCCAUGAAGAAGAGUUUUGAAUAUGUUCUUGAGUAAAGAAAUUUAGAUUGUUGUAUUCUUAAUUUCUUAUAAUCUACAUUGACACCAUAUUUAGCUACAUUAUUUGGGAUUUGGUGCUGUGUUUACUGGAUUGACAUUGACACCAUAUUUUGCUACAUUAUUUGGGAUUUGGUGCUUUGUUUACUGGAUUGUUGAAUUUGUGGUGACAUUUGAUAUGCUGGGUAAAUCACCCUGCGCUGAGGGUAAUAGGUACAACUUGCAUAAACAUGUUUCUGUUUCAUGUCUACACUAAGGAUGCAUAACUUGACUGGAACCGGAGGAGUCACUUUGAUGAGUAAGUUGAAUCCUAACAAAAGAAUUUAUAUAAAAAUAAGAAACUUCAUCAAAACCAGCUGACUUGAAUACUUCAUUGUAUAAAGGAAGAAAGUUGAUGUUGCUGAUAAGGUUCCCAAUAACAUCAAACAUUCUUGUACUUAUCAGCUGAAGUUGUGUACAUGUUCAUUCUACCAAAAAAAAAAAAAAAAAAAAAAAAAAAAAAAAAAAANNNNNNNNNNNNNNNNNNNNNNNNNNNNNNNNNNNNNNNNNNNNNNNNNNNNNNNNNNNNNNNNNNNNNNNNNNNNNNNNNNNNNNNNNNNNNNNNNNNNNNNNNNNNNNNNNNNNNNNNNNNNNNNNNNNNNNNNNNNNNNNNNNNNNNNNNNNNNNNNNNNNNNNNNNNNNNNNNNNNNNNNNNNNNNNNNNNNNNNNNNNNNNNNNNNNNNNNNNNNNNNNNNNNNNNNNNNNNNNNNNNNNNNNNNNNNNNNNNNNNNNNNNNNNNNNNNNNNNNNNNNNNNNNNNGUGUUGAUGUAAAAUAUUCUUGAUGGCAAAAUCCCCAAAAACUGAAACAGACUUUUACUAGAAUAACCACCAAACUUUGCGCAAAGCAUUGGUGAAAUGGAGCCCCUCUCAUCCAUUACAAGUCCUAUCACUGGGACCCUGAAAUUCAAUAAAAUCAUAAAUCAGAAAAAGAGGAACUUACCACAGAACCUAUCAACUUAAAUUCCUAUAUACUUUGAAUGUAAGAUGGUGCUAGAACAUGUUCAAUGAGAUCAAUAUAUACUAACCUUCUCUUUCCAUGCUUCUUCUUGUUUGGUAUCCAAGAACCGUUGGGGGACACCGCUGGAAUUGUUUCACAUUACCUUCACAUCAAAAAUAUCAUAGCGAAGUUGAUAUGAACUUCAUCUUCGAAUCCGAGAAGCUCAGUUACUCUAUUAACAGUCCAUGGACGGAGAACACCCAUUCGGCUUCCUCAUGUCCACCUUUAAAACAUAAUUGAUGUACCAUUAAUCACAUUAAAUUAGCAUAUCCGACUCUGUCCCAAUACCUCAAUUUAUUCAGUCAUUGAUUAACUUCUGUAAUUCUUAGUUACCAGAACCAUGGAUCUUAAUUCUUAAAGAAAUGCUGAUGCAGAAGAAUCUCGCCCCGCAGCUGACACAACCAAUACUGUGCAACUGGAAGUUGUCAAUGGCUGUGAUGUGAAGCUUUUUAACACCUGUUUGACAAACAGACUAUUUUUAGAAAACAGAGUUUAUCAGAUUUCUAAGGGUAAGCAAAGUUGGUAACUAAAUCUGAUAAUAACAAGCUCCUACUUGUAUUAGUAAUGAGCUUCCAAAUCUACAUAGUUUUCCUUUGUUCACAACAGUCAAAGGGCCUAAAAAUAAAGAAAUAUGUUAUGUCAUCUAUAAUAAGAGACCCAUGUUAGAGGUAGUGUAAAUAUAACAACAAAGGGUGUCCAGAUGAGUUUCCCAGCUUCUACAAAUCCAGCAAUAUAGUCUGAUCUAAAGCAUUGUACGAAUAUUUGCUACAGUUGAAAUAUUGAUUGAUAAGUCAGAUAAUUGCUUAAUCCCACAUAUAGUACUCUUCCAAAUAAUCAGCAAACAUAAAAUAGUACAUAUGUCAGAAAAUGAAUAAAACCAUAAAACAGUAACAUAUCCAAAUUCUAACCCAUUUUUUACUGAAUGUUUAAAGCUAAGGGUGUUGAUGCCACCUUGUACUUAGAGGACUUGUGCACUUGAUGUUCAAAUUUCACAGGCAAACCCCUAGAACCAAAGAUGCAAGAAAGAGCUAUCAGUGUCUCCACAACUGUCGGUUAGUCCUCUGAUGGUUAAUCAUCUCCUCAAAACCAUGCAGCGCCAGUUCCCACUAGGCAUUUCUACGCACAAUUACAGACUCCAAGUAUGUGAUUAGGAAUUUUACAGAACUGAAAAUACAGCUUCCUUUUUACAAUUUAUACUGAAAUACAGCUUACAGAAAAUCUAUACUGAAAAGACAUUGGAAAAAUAGAACUGAUGUGAAUAUAAAUUAGAUCCUCGAUUGAACUGAUAAUAGAAACUCUUUUGUGCAUAUUGAUGAGCAGAAAUACAGUAGAUUAUAGCAACAUGCAUGGUUCUGGAGAACUACUGUAUGGAUUUUGAUUUGUAGCAAAAUUCGACACAUGCAGGAGCUGGUCAAGACAAAUUAAACUAAUAUACUGGAGAGAAUAUAAUCAAUUAAACUAAACCAACUGGAUAAAGAGAACAUACUGGUUUGGAUAUCACAAAUCCCGAAUGGAGAAGCUCUUUGAUGAAAUCGAAGCCACCCUCAACUUAACCGGCUGUACAUAUAGCUAUAUUGUCCAAGCUUGCUCAAUCAAGCUAGGUUGAGCCUCUUUUGCUGGUAACAAAUCCAUAAGACUGUCAGUUCCGGGCGAUAGAGGGAGAGAGUAGUCAGUGAAGUCAAUUUUCUGCAUCAUAGCGAACAAGAGUGUUGGCUCCAAAGCUAAUGGAAUUUUCUCAACUUGCGAGUUGCAAAUGAGAAACACAGCACGUUCAUUUGGAAAUCUAAAGAAAAAGGACCUAAAACCGACAUUCGGAUAAAAAGAACUCAAGUUCUGGAAAACCCACAACAACUUCAAAAUGAAGAGACAUAAUCAUCAAUAGGUGUAUGUUCAUUAAGUCAUAGUUCCAUAAGUUGAAAACACACAACAUAACACAAGCCACUCUUUGCCAUCUAAACACUGGUUUACAUAUUAGUCAAGGAUGUCAUCUUCAUCGUCACCAUCAGGCUUGUGAUAAAUCACACCAGGCUUUCGAAACAUGGAAGUCCGCUCAUAAAAAUUGAUCACCGCACGUCCUAGCCAGGUUCCAUCAGGGUGGCCAUGAUCCCUCAGACUACAGUCGCGGCAAACUAUCAUAUAACGCUUCCCGAUAGGUGUGUCCUUGGGAUCUCGAAUAAUCACCAAGUACGGGCAAUCACGUGACAUGUGAACCCCGUCCUUCAUACAAACUUCGCAAUGCAUCACUUUUUCUUCUGACUCCUGAUCUGAAUCUGACUCCUGAUCUAAAUCUGAAUCUGAAUCUGAAUCUACGUCUUCCACUUCCAUCUUUUCCGAUCGGGGCUUCGGAUCCUCAUCGGGGAUAACUGGGAUUUCGAGAGACAUACCGGCUUCCCUACGCGUCGCGAAAAAAUAGAUCUGGUUUGUUCGGCCGAUCUAAUUUAGGUUCUGGAAGAGGGGAGCCUAAAUAUCACAAGAAAGGGCUGCUACGGGCCGGGUCUGCAACUUGGGCCGAAUACAAUCUACAACUUGGGCCGAAUACAAUUUGGGAGGAAAGAGAUUGGGAAAAUGUUUGUGUAGAUAACUCAGUAUAAAACCUUAUAAAUAUAGACAAUUAUAAGUGAAACCGUAGAUUAUUAGGAAACCUAUGAAUCCUUAGAUUACAAGGAAACACAAUCAAACAUGGAUUAGACAUCUAGUUUUAUUAGGAAUAAUCUUCAACGGGUUUCCUUGUAAUCUAAGGAUUCAUACUUAUAAUAAUAGGUUUCCUUAUGUUCUAAGGUUUNNNNNNNNNNNNNNNNNNNNNNNNNNNNNNNNNNNNNNNNNNNNNNNNNNNNNNNNNNNNNNNNNNNNNNNNNNNNNNNNNNNNNNNNNNNNNNNNNNNNNNNNNNNNNNNNNNNNNNNNNNNNNNNNNNNNNNNNNNNNNNNNNNNNNNNNNNNNNNNNNNNNNNNNNNNNNNNNNNNNNNNNNNNNNNNNNNNNNNNNNNNNNNNNNNNNNNNNNNNNNNNNNNNNNNNNNNNNNNNNNNNNNNNNNNNNNNNNNNNNNNNNNNNNNNNNNNNNNNNNNNNNNNNNNNNNNNNNNNNNNNNNNNNNNNNNNNNNNNNNNNNNNNNNNNNNNNNNNNNNNNNNNNNNNNNNNNNNNNNNNNNNNNNNNNNNNNNNNNNNNNNNNNNNNNNNNNNNNNNNNNNNNNNNNNNNNNNNNNNNNNNNNNNNNNNNNNNNNNNNNNNNNNNNNNNNNNNNNNNNNNNNNNNNNNNNNNNNNNNNNNNNNNNNNNNNNNNNNNNNNNNNNNNNNNNNNNNNNNNNNNNNNNNNNNNNNNNNNNNNNNNNNNNNNNNNNNNNNNNNNNNNNNNNNNNNNNNNNNNNNNNNNNNNNNNNNNNNNNNNNNNNNNNNNNNNNNNNNNNNNNNNNNNNNNNNNNNNNNNNNNNNNNNNNNNNNNNNNNNNNNNNNNNNNNNNNNNNNNNNNNNNNNNNNNNNNNNNNNNNNNNNNNNNNNNNNNNNNNNNNNNNNNNNNNNNNNNNNNNNNNNNNNNNNNNNNNNNNNNNNNNNNNNNNNNNNNNNNNNNNNNNNNNNNNNNNNNNNNNNNNNAAACCUUAGAACAUAAGGAAACCUAUUAUUAUAAGUAUGAAUCCUUAGAUUACAAGGAAACCCGUUGAAGAUUAUUCCUAAUAAAACUAGAUGUCUAAUCCAUGUUUGAUUGUGUUUCCUUGUAAUCUAAGGAUUCAUAGGUUUCCUAAUAAUCUACGGUUUCACUUAUAAUUGUCUAUAUUUAUAAGGUUUUAUACUGAGUUAUCUACACAAACAUUUUCCCAAUCUCUUUCCUCCCAAAUUGUAUUCGGCCCAAGUUGUAGAUUGUAUUCGGCCCAAGUUGCAGACCCGGCCCGUAGCAGCCCUUUCUUGUGAUAUUUAGGCUCCCCUCUUCCAGAACCUAAAUUAGAUCGGCCGAACAAACCAGAUCUAUUUUUUCGCGACGCGUAGGGAAGCCGGUAUGUCUCUCGAAAUCCCAGUUAUCCCCGAUGAGGAUCCGAAGCCCCGAUCGGAAAAGAUGGAAGUGGAAGACGUAGAUUCAGAUUCAGAUUCAGAUUUAGAUCAGGAGUCAGAUUCAGAUCAGGAGUCAGAAGAAAAAGUGAUGCAUUGCGAAGUUUGUAUGAAGGACGGGGUUCACAUGUCACGUGAUUGCCCGUACUUGGUGAUUAUUCGAGAUCCCAAGGACACACCUAUCGGGAAGCGUUAUAUGAUAGUUUGCCGCGACUGUAGUCUGAGGGAUCAUGGCCACCCUGAUGGAACCUGGCUAGGACGUGCGGUGAUCAAUUUUUAUGAGCGGACUUCCAUGUUUCGAAAGCCUGGUGUGAUUUAUCACAAGCCUGAUGGUGACGAUGAAGAUGACAUCCUUGACUAAUAUGUAAACCAGUGUUUAGAUGGCAAAGAGUGGCUUGUGUUAUGUUGUGUGUUUUCAACUUAUGGAACUAUGACUUAAUGAACAUACACCUAUUGAUGAUUAUGUCUCUUCAUUUUGAAGUUGUUGUGGGUUUUCCAGAACUUGAGUUCUUUUUUAUCCGUAAUGUCGGUUUUAGGUCCUUUUUCUUUAGAUUUCCAAAUGAACGUGCUGUGUUUCUCAUUUGCAACUCGCAAGUUGAGAAAAAUUCCAUUAGCUUUGGAGCCAACACUCUUGUUCGCUAUGAUGCAGAAAAAUUGACUUCACUGACUACUCUCUCCCUCUAUCGCCCGGAACUGACAGUCUUAUGGAUUUUGUUACCAGCAAAAAGAGGCUCAACCUAGCUUGAUUGAGCAAGCUUGGACAAUAUAGCUAUAUGUACAGCCGGUUAAGUUGAGGGGUGGCUUCGAUUUCAUCAAAGAGCUUCUCCAUUCGGGAUUUGUGAUAUCCAAACCAGUAUGUUCUCUUUAUCCAGUUGGUUUAGUUUAAUUGAUUAUAUUCUCUCCAGUAUAUUAGUUUAAUUUGUCUUGACCAGCUCCUGCAUGUGUCGAAUUUUGCUACAAAUCAAAAUCCAUACAGUAGUUCUCCAGAACCAUGCAUGUUGCUAUAAUCUACUGUAUUUCUGCUCAUCAAUAUGCACAAAAGAGUUUCUAUUAUCAGUUCAAUCGAGGAUCUAAUUUAUAUUCACAUCAGUUCUAUUUUUCCAAUGUCUUUUCAGUAUAGAUUUUCUGUAAGCUGUAUUUCAGUAUAAAUUGUAAAAAGGAAGCUGUAUUAAUUUUCAGUAUUUCCAAAUGUUUGCCCGUACCUGAACCGUGACCCAAAUCCAAUGUACACAGCUGUUGGCGGGGCUUUAUGAUAGCCUGCAUCCACUGCUUUAGGGAGAGGAUCAUGGCCACCCUGAUGGAGCCUGACAAGGACGUGCAAUGCUAGAUCCGAGGUUCUUUUAUGAAAAGCCUUCAGGCCAGUUGACCUACCUGCCGAUGAGAGUGAAUACUUUGCCUGACUUACUGUGGGUGCUUCUCGUUUCCAUCAGUCCUAAUUUCAAUGUCUUCUUAAUACAGAUUAUUAGUAUAAGCUGAAUUUCAGUUCUGUAAAGGUUGCUAAUCAUGUACUUGGAUUCUGUAGUUAUGCGUAGAAAUGCUUAGUGGGAACUGCUGCUAUGCAAGUGCACAGUGCACUACAUUACCAUGAGAGGCAAGACAGUUGAAAUGAAAAAGCUCGAUCCCGACACUGGUUUUGAUAAAAAUCACCAACUUGAGAGGCACACUCAACAAGCCAACGUAUCAACGAUGAAAUCACCAACGUAUGCACACGAACUUAUGGAGCGUAUCAACAUGCAGUCUUAUAUAAAAUCAUCAAGCACACACAAAUAAUCUUCCUAUUAAAAAAAAAAAAAAAAAAAUCUUCAAUUUCAACAACAAUCGUCAAUGAUAUCAGUCAAAAUAAGCACACCAAAAUUAAAGCAUAAUUAACGUACGUUUCAUGUCUACUACUGCUUACAUGUAACUAGCUUAUAGUAAAUCAGUCACAUUCAUGGGCAUCUCAUCAAUCUGGGUACUGUAGUACUGUUCAAUGUCUCUUAAGAUCCUGAUAUCAUCGUUCUUGACAAAGUUGAUUGCAACACCCUUGCUUCCAAAACGACCCGAACGACCAAUCCUAUGAAUGUACAGCUCUCGGUUGUUUGGAAGAUCAUAGUUGAUAACCAACGAAACGCUCCGAACAUCGAUUCCCCGAGCCCAAACAUCUGUUGUGACGAGGACGCGUGAUUCAGUGUUCUUGAAAUCUUUCAUUAUAGCGUCUCUCUCUUUCUGAGGCAUGUCUCCAUGCAUUGACGACACAGUAAAGUUAUUGCUCCGCAGCUUUUCGCUAAGCCAAUCGACCUUUCGCUUUGUGUUGCAGAAAACAACAGCUUGUGUGAUCGUGAGGGUGUCAUAGAGAUCACAAAGAGUAUCAAACUUCCAAUCCUCUCUUUCAACUGAAACAAAAAAUUGCUUGAUUCCCUGCAGUUUUAAAUACAAAGUUAAUAUUAACAUAUAUUUCAAGAAAAUAGUAUUCAAAUAAAAACUUGAAAGCAGAAUAUCAUAUAUACCAAGCUGUUGUAAAAUUAUAUAUGUACCUCUAAAGUCAGCUCAUCACGCUUGACCAAGAUCCUUACAGGAUCAGUCAUGAACAGUUUAGUCAUCUCGAGAAUCUCAUUCGGAAGUGUAGCCGAAAUCAAGCAAACUUGGACGUCAGGCGAAAGAUAGCGGUAGACGUUGUAAAUCUGAUUCUUGAAGCCUCUGCUCAACAUUUCAUCAGAUUCGUCGAGGACUAAUAAUUUAAUUUGUCGAGGACGUAGAGUUUUCCUGUCGAGCAUGUCACAGACUCUACCAGGAGUGCCAGACACCACAUGAACACCGUUCUCUAGCCUUCUGAUAUCCUCACCCAAGCUUUUGCCUCCUAUGCAUGAAUGUACCUGAAUAUUUAGAUAAUUCCCCAUUGCCAUUAUCACUUUCUCUGUCUGGGCUGCCAAUUCCCUCGUUGGAGAAAGUAUCAAUGCCUGAACCCUGUAACAUAGGGUAAAUAAUUAGGCAUGUAUUUAACAAAUAAUAAGCCCCAGUUAACACUAACAAUUCAGAACUUGUAUCAUGCAAAUAAGCAAACCCUAGCCCUAACCCUAACCCUAUGUAGUGAAGGACAUAAAUGAAUCAACUACUCCUAUAAAAAAAAAAGUAGAAGAAGGGUUUAGCUAGCUCGGAAAGGAUCUCUUACUCUCUGGAGGCGGUGUCAACCAUUUGGCAAGCGGCGAGUGCGAUCAUUGAUGUCUUUCCGGUACCGGACUGUGCCUGAGCGAUAACGUCCCUUCCCUCAAUAAUAACUUUGAUGGCCCGUUGUUGGAUAGCUGAGGGCUUCUCAAAGCCAUGGUUGUAGAUGCCUCGGAGGAGCUCGUCUUUAAGGCACAUAUCUUCGAAGCUUGUCAUCGGCUCUAUCCCUUCCGAUUCCCAGGUUACAAUCUCCAGCUUCUUCUCUGUGGUGUUCUUGACACCCCGUUUUGUUCGGCUCGACCUCGAGGUUGCUGUUGAUGCCAUGCUUAAAAUAAAACUCGCGACUAGCUAGGGUUUAUUAAUCUUGAGGAGUCCCCGGGCUCCUUUAUAUAGAAUAUUUCGUAUUAUUCCUUAUUGUCUGAGAAAACCUUCCAAAUCAGACUCGUAAUAUCUUGCAAUCUUCCAAAACCAUGGCAGAAUGGAUCUAGAUUCUCUGCUUGGAUUUAUGUUGUUUGAAUUUGUUUUUAUGUCUUAUAACUAUUAGAUAUAGCAAGGAUGACAUAAAGAUAACAUAGCGGUCUUAGAUUGUACUUGAUCCUUGGUGUGUUUGGAUGCGGGUGAAUUUCCGAGAAUUUAAUCAAAAAUAAGGAAUUCAAAAUUUCUUAGGACGGUUUCCCUCGUCUGGAUUCUUAUCUCAUGAAAUUUCCACAGGAAAAUAAUUGUGGAAUUUGGGAGCUUAAAUUCCUGACUUGAAUUCUUUACAAAAUAGGCGUCAUUUGUCAAUUCUUUUAACUGAGGUUAGCCUAGAUACAAAUUCUUGGCAUUUUAAGACCCUAUAUCAAGAAAUCCAAACAAUGGAAUUCUCGAUUAAUAAAAUUUAAAUUCAUGGAAUUAUAACUCCCAUGAUUUCAAAAUUUCUAUGGACAUUAAACUUACUUUAUCCAAACACAACGUAGAAGUAAUCCAAACAAAUUCAAACAAUAUAAAUCGAAGUAAAGAAGCCAAAUAUGGCAGAAUAUAUCGUUAUAACAUAUGCAUGGCUCAUUGGCAAAAAUCUACACACCAACCUUGAUUUAUUUAUUUUAUUAAUUAAAAAUUGGCACGAACAAUCGGUAAUCUGUCAAUGGUUAUGACUAAUUGUACUUCCAAUAAGAAAAUCCAUGACUAUUCUAAGUAGAAACAAACUCAUGAUUACACAUCUAUGAUAAACUUUCUGGGGAACAAACUUAUAAACAAAGAAACUUAGUGUUUUUUAGGACAAAUUCAUCUUCUAACUCUCUAUUAGCCUACAUGCAAUUGUGGCACCAACAGAAAACCACUUCUUAGGAAACAAGUAGAACCAUCUUCUAAUUCAUCAUCUUCUCGAAAGAUUAUUACCAACUCACGAAGCAGUCUUGACCCGAAAUAAUUGUUCAUUGACCAUGUAUCGACCCAACUGCCCUAAAAUGUCCACCUGUUGGGCUAGGCCCACCCUCCCUCCUAGCCCACCAAAUCCAUCAAGUCAAGUUUGAGCCGAGGUUCGCAAGCCCAAGCCCAAAUUGGCCAGCUAAAACCUUACACCAAGCCAGCCUAACAACCUAUGUUGUUCUUGCAUUGAACCGUCUGGCCAGUCCAAAGCAUCUCGCUUGCCGGUUCGACGCUGAUCAAUCAGACUAUCGUCGAUUUGAAGCCGAACUUGACGUAGAUGCCAACUUGAUCCGCACGGCUCUACUUCCAACCGUCAUCGAUCCAACUCAGACCUAUACCAAUUAAUAGUUUGAUUCAACACUCCUUUUUCCCCUGACGAUGCUGUACAAAUCGCCCACACCCCAAAAAUUGACUUGGUAAUAUGUUUUUUUAAAUGCGAAAGUAAAUCAAAUACAAUACAUUACAGACAAUUGCCUCUUAGAUAACCAGUUCCUAAAUCAUCAAAUUAAAUGCAUUGGGUGACUCUUCUCGGAAGUUUGUUUUCCCAUACUCUUUCUUUUGUGGUUUGGUGGCUUGUGCUUGCAAUUGUCGCAAAGUUUGCUUAUCUAUAAAUGUGUUUAAAAGAGAUGAUGCUGAAACCUUGUGCAAUUUUCUUGAUUUCUUGGACAAUUUGCUGAAUCCUUCAAGGUAGGUUAUUCUUCUCAUUAACUACAUCAAUGACCAUUUUUGAUGAAUCCCCUUCUACUUGGAUGUGUGUAACCAUCAAUGACUUGGUAAUAUGUUGCUAACGUUGCAAUCUCACUUCAAAUAUAAAAUAAGAAAUGCAGCAGGUGAUAAGUCAUACAAUCCAACGGAUCCAAUUCGUCUCCCCUCACGAGUGUUGACUAUCAAGAAUCAAACAGAAAAAGAAUUUCCACAGCGGCGGACCCCACCGCCCUCCCUACCACCACCGGUCCACCACCACAGUUUGCACUUCACACAGAAAGACUCGGGUCUCUCUCUCUCUCUCUCUCUCUCUCUCUCAGAAAAUUCGAGAUCCCAUUUCCUCACCAAAACCAUGGCCUUCUCGUCCUUCAGCGCUCGCCGCGGAGGCGCGUGGCCCCACUCGCUCCUCCCCUCCACCACCGCCUCCUCCAAAUCGAAGCACACCCGAAAGCCCCGGCGACGCCUCCUCCUCCGCGACUUCCUCUUCGCCAACUUCUUCACCAUCGGCCUCUCCGUCUCCCUCUUCUUCUUCUUCCUCCUCCUCCUCCGCUACGGCGUCCCGCACCCGAUCACCGCCGGCUUCAAGUACUCCAGGUCCCCGAUCCGCUUCUCCAAGCCGCCACGUAAGCCCGUCGCCCGAAAACCCGGCCAAAACGACGACGUCUCCGGCGCCGCCGUGGACAUCACCACCAAGGAGCUUUACGACAAGAUUGAAUUCUCCGACGUCGACGGCGGGCCGUGGAAGCAAGGAUGGAGAGUCGGUUACAGAGGCGACGAGUGGGACUCUGAGAAGCUGAAGGUGGUUGUGGUGCCGCACUCGCAUAACGAUCCCGGUUGGAAGCUCACGGUGGCUGAGUACUAUGAGAGGCAGUCCAGGCAUAUACUCGACACCAUUGUUGCUACGCUUUCCAAGGUCAGCUACCUGUAAUUUCAGUCAAUUGUGAUUCGUUAGGUUUUCAGAGCUCUAGAGCUUCGAAAUGCAUGCACUAAUUGGUUUAGUUUUCGCUGCUCAAGUCUCCGAUUGUUAAGUUUGUAUGCACUGAUUGGUUCACUUUUUCAUGUUCUAGUUUCGGAUAAGCUCUUUGUGGUAUAAUGUGUCUAAAAUGUGAUUGGUUUUAGUUGGUUUUUGAACUUAAUAAGUUGUGGAGUCUUGGAAGAGUGAACGGAAAGCAUGGUAGAACAAUUUUUUGUGUUUAUAAUUCGGUGCUUCUGUAGGGGAUUGAGUAGAGUGCGUUUUGAAUGUGUAGGAUACUCGGCGCAAGUUUAUAUGGGAAGAGAUGUCGUAUCUGGAAAGGUGGUGGAAAGAUUCCGCUGAUGACAAAAGAGAAUUGUUCACGAAUCUGGUAAAGAAUGGUCAGCUAGAGAUCGUUGGAGGUGGCUGGGUGAUGAAUGAUGAGGUAAUAUCUGUAGACGUUUUGUAGAAGUUUAAUUGAUUUCAAAGCCUAAGGUUCUGUUUAUGCACAUUUACAUUGAGUUGGAGUUUAACCAUGCUCCUAGUGCGUGAAGUGCUUGUGUAACCAAUCCAUAAGUUUGAAGCUUAUCGGUUCCUGUUGUUUAUGCAGGCUAAUUCACAUUACUAUGCCAUAAUUGAACAGGUAUUAUCAGUUCUCUUUUGUAAGUUUACACUAUCUAUAGAAAUGCAUUUGUUCUGCUUAUAUACAUCUUUCGUGUCACUGAAUUGCUGCUUUGAUAUUUGGGUAAUGGAUGGUCAGAUCACAGAAGGAAAUUUGUGGCUGAAUGAAACAGUAGGUGUUAUUCCUAAGAAUUCUUGGGCAAUAGAUCCCUUUGGCUACUCAUCUACCAUGGCAUAUCUUCUGCGCCGUAUGGGUUUUGAAAAUAUGCUCAUUCAGAGAACCCAUUAUGAGCUUAAGAAAGAGCUUGCACUGCACAAGAAUUUGGAGUAUAUUUGGCGUCAGAGCUGGGAUGUGGAUGAAUCUACUGAUAUUUUUGUCCACAUGAUGCCCUUUUAUUCUUAUGAUGUUCCACAUACUUGUGGGCCAGAGCCAGCUAUUUGUUGUCAGUUCGACUUUGCUCGUAUGCGUGGCUUUAUGUAUGAAUUUUGUCCUUGGGGAGAUAAUCCGGUAGAGACCAACCAAGAAAAUGUGCAGGAGCGGGCACUUCUACUACUAGAUCAAUAUAAGAAGAAAUCAACACUAUACAGGACAAAUACACUUCUUAUUCCUCUUGGAGAUGAUUUUCGCUACGUUAGCAUAGAGGAAGCUGAAGCUCAGUUUAGGAAUUAUCAGAUGUUAUUUGAUUAUAUCAAUUCUAAUCCCAGUUUAAAUGCUGAGGCGCAUUUUGGAACUUUGGAGGACUACUUUCGAACCCUUCGUGAGGAGGCUGAAAGAAUAAAUCACACACGUCCUGGGGAAAUUGGUUCCGGUCAGGUUGGAGGUUUUCCUUCUCUUUCGGGUGACUUCUUCACUUAUGCUGAUAGGCAGCAGGACUAUUGGAGUGGUUAUUAUGUAUCAAGGCCUUUCUUCAAGGCUGUUGAUCGAGUACUAGAGCAUACACUUCGUGCCACGGAUAUGAUGAUGGCUUUCCUGCUUGGGUACUGUGGGAGAGCACAAUGUGAAAAGUUGCCCAUCGGGUUUUCUUACAAGCUAGCAGCUGCUAGAAGGAAUUUAGCUCUUUUUCAGCAUCAUGAUGGUGUGACUGGUACCGCUAAAGAUCAUGUUGUCCUGGAUUAUGGGAUGCGGAUGCACACUUCCUUGCAGGACUUGCAGAUUUUCAUGUCUAAAGCUAUUGAGGUGUUGCUUGGAAUACGCCAUGACAAAUAUGAUAUUAACCCUUCUCAGUUUGAGCCAGAACAGGUGAGAUCUAAAUAUGAUGUUCAGCCUGUUCAUAGAGCGAUCAUGGCUCGUGAAGGAACCCGCCAAACAGUAGUCCUUUUCAAUCCCUCGGAGCAGAUAAGAGAAGAGGUUGUGAUGGUUAUUGUUAACCGUCCUGAUGUUACUGUUCUAGACUUGAACUGGACAUGUGUCCCAAGCCAAAUAUCCCCUGAAUUGCAGCAUGAUAAAAGCAAAAUCUUCACUGGAAGGCAUCGUGUCUACUGGCAGGCUUCUGUUCCUGCUCUGGGGUUGCAGACAUAUUAUAUAACUAAUGGAUUUGCUGGAUGUGAAAAGGCGAAGCCAGCAAAAAUUAGAUACUUCUCAAAGUCUGGUUCUUUCUCUUGCCCAACUCCAUAUCCUUGUUCGAAAGUAGAAGCUGAUGUGGCUGAAAUCCAGAACAGGCAUCAGACACUCACUUUUGAUGUCAAUCAUGGUCUAUUGCAGAAAAUAAGCUAUAAAACUGGGACCCAAAAUGUUGUGGGUGAAGAAAUAGCUAUGUAUUCUAGCUGGGGAAGCGGAGCAUAUCUUUUUAAACCUGAUGGCGAUGCGCAGCCUAUCAUUGCAGCAGGUGGGCAGAUGGUGAUCUCUGAGGGACCUUUGGUGCAGGAAGUAUAUUCUUAUCCAAGUACACAAUGGGAGAAGAGCCCCAUUUCUCAUAGCACUCGUCUCUACAACGGAGAAAAUACUGUACAGGAGUUUCUCAUUGAGAAGGAGUAUCAUGUUGAGCUUCUCGACCAGCAGUUUAAUGACAGGGAGUUGAUAGUUAGAUACAAAACAGAUAUUGACAACAAAAGAGUAUUCUUUUCUGAUUUAAAUGGCUUUCAGAUGAGCAGGAGAGAAACCUACAAUAAAAUCCCCCUUCAGGGCAAUUACUACCCUAUGCCUUCUCUUGCAUUCAUGCAGGGAUCCAAUGGUCAGCGGUUUUCUGUUCAUUCCCGGCAGUCAUUGGGUGUGGCAAGCCUUAAAAAUGGAUGGUUGGAGAUUAUGCUUGACCGUCGUUUGGUAAGAGAUGACGGACGUGGUCUUGGACAAGGAGUGAUGGACAACCGUGCGAUGAAUGUAGUCUUCCACAUCCUUGUAGAGGCCAAUAUUUCUUCUGCAUCAAACCCAGUUUCUAACCCAUUGCCAUUAAACCCCUCUCUUCUCUCCCACCGUGUCGGUGCUGACCUGAACUAUCCAUUGCAUGCAUUCGUUUCCAAGAAGCCAGAGGAUUUGUCAGUGCAACCACCCCUGAGAUCAUUCUCACCCUUAGCUGCACCCUUACCGUGUGAUCUGCAUAUUGUAAGUUUAAAGGUUCCCCAACCUUUAAAGUUCUCUCAGCCACCACUUGAAGAUUCUAGAUUUGUCUUAACAUUACAGAGACGAAGUUGGGACUCUUCAUAUUGCCGGAAGGGCAGGUCUAAUUGCACUAGAUUUGCUGAUGAAACUGUGAAUUUGCUCAACAUGUUUCGGGAGCUCACUGUAUCGAAUGGGAGACCAACUUCCUUAAAUCUUCUACAUGAAGACACAGAUAUGCUUGGGUAUCCUGAGCAGUUUGGAGAUGUUGCUGCAGAAGGACAAGUCCUCAUUUCCCCCAUGGAAAUACAGGCUUACAAGAUGGAGUUACAGCCACACCAGUGAGUGUACUAGUAGUGGAUUUCAUUAUGGCAGUCUUCAGGACAAUGCUUCAAUGGGGCUCAUAGCCAAGAGUGAGGAGACGUCACAUGCUUACAAGUUGGAAUUACGGCUACCAUUGAAUGUUUUGAUUUCUCAGAUCCCACUAUUAACAUAAUCAAAAGUGUGGGAUUAUAUGUUUGCUGCAAAGUCUCGGGGGAAAGACAGUAAAUACGAGUGGUGAUACAUCAACUAAUCUACCAUCCAGGUUUAGCUCCUGCUGAGCAAGUUUAUUGGGUUACAUGAACUUGGAAUUCGUUUUGUUGUGAAAUAGCUGUUCCCAAUUUUGCUUCAAGAUAGUCGCUUUCGUGUUUACCAAUAGCAGAGUUUUGAGUUCUGAGUUUUGUUUAGAUCAGUAAAUGGAAAUGUGUCAACUCUGUACUGUUCUAGUUUGAUCUAUGCGCUGUUUGUUGGUCCAAAAUGCAUCCUGUAUUUCACAAUUUUGUAGCAAUCAGAACAGCUGCGACUUUCUAUAAAAAUAUGAUCAUGGAUAUACCACUAGGCGGUAACUUGGUAUAAAUAGUUGUGUUUUGAUUCCCCUAGUAUCAGACAUUGUUCUUCUUGAUCAAUUUAUUUUGUAAUUGAGUUUGUAACAGGAUCAUAGUAAUUAGAAUCCAAAUCGGCAUGAAAGUACUACCAAGAGAUGAUCCCUUCAUCGAGAUAUUUUAGCUAUCAGUUUGUGCAGAUGAAAUUGUAAAACAAAUUUAUACAAAUAUCAAUUGAACCUACGCUUUUUAAGUCACAAAAAUUGGUGUGUUCUUUCUUUACUUGAGGACCGUACUGAUGAAUUAUAUUGCUGAAUAAGAAUGUUGCCUAUAUGUUUCUUGUGGCUAAGAACGAUGUUGUUAUUAGUUAGCAACAACAAUCAGGAGUAAUGGAGAGUAAAUGAUUUUGUGUCGAAGGGCUUCAUCAAAACAGAAGACGAGAUGCCUAGUCAAGCCAAAGUCAUUUGGAAUUCGUUAUGUCAUGUCUUCUUACAUACGCACAAUAUCAAGUGAAGGUACGCUUAUUGGUCACAAAAAUUGGUCCUCUUUCUUUACGGGAGGAUUGUAUUGCCGAAUAAAGAAUGUUGCCUAUAUGUUCCUCGUUGCUCAAUUAUACAAUAUCAUUUGUCCCACAAAAAACAAAUUAUACAACACAGAUGUUAGCCAAAAUUAUUCAAGAAGUGGAUGUAGGGGUGCAAACAGAACUAAGGAGGCAUUUGCAAUCUCUCUCUCAACCUCUACAAAAUGAUCUCCUCUUGUACACUAACGUUAAGAGUCUUGUGUGGGAGAACAAUGCUGUUAAUCACCACAACUUCGUCUUCAACAGUUACUGCUUCUCCUGCCAAAAGAAAAGGAGAGCUCAUAUGAGAAAUCUUCAUUAAACUGCACAUCAUCAUAGAAAGUAAAUAUAAGAAACCAAGAAUGCAUACCAAGGAUGGUAAUUCCAAGCUUUGCAUUGAAGUCUCCUUCGGCCUGAACCAUUCAAUUUAGUUAGCAACAAUAAUCAGGAGUAUUCAAGACUAACUCAUAAGAAGUUAAUAACUCAAGAAAAACUGUAAGCUACUAAUCUCAUUCAAUAAGCUUUACUAAAUUUAUAUUUUAAUUAUCUCAUUCAUGACUGGCUUCAGCUUUUAUGUCCUGGAAAUAAGCUUUUGGUUAUCUGGGAUUUCUCUUUUCAAGAUGUUUCCUUAGCAUAUAGUUGAGAGAUGAUCUCCCUUAAGUUCACAUCUAACCGCCUUUUAUUAUGCCACGAUGCAACUACUUGACUAGACUUGCCUGCACACGCGACCAUUUCCCAAUAGUUGACUUCCAUCCAACAAUAGAAUGUAUAACAACUGCAUUUUCCUGUCAUAAAAAAGUAAAAAGUAAAAUAAAAUAUAAAAAACCUUUUAGUUUUAAAUAUUGAUUGAAACACCAACAUCAAAUUGUGAAGUUCUAAAAUAUCAAUGGGCACAGCUUCAAUACCUUAAUUUCCACAUCAUCCAAGACGAUGCAACUUAUAAGUCUUACUCCUGCACCUAUCCGAACAUUUGCCGAAAGAGAUACAUUGGGACCAAUCUGUGCACAAAAGCGAAUCACACUUCAGAAGGAAAUGUCGCAGAAUUAAAGUGGUAGUAUCAGUAAAAAGUUGCUGUAUGCAUCCUGCCCAGCCCUACUUUAUCUAACAUGUGCCUGUGCAACUGUAAACAAGGACAGCACAAAUUGGGUAUGCCAUAAACACAAUACAAAGACAUGACAUGGAAGUGGCACUACCUUAGCACUAGGAUGUACUUUUGCCGAUGGAUGAAUAUAAACAUCACCAACAAUUGUCGCAUUCUUGAUUCCAUCUCCACUAGCUAAAAGAUGUGAAGAGGUGAAUCGAAAUUGAUAAAGAUACAAAGACGAACACUUCAAUGCCAUCCUGUAAUGUAAAACAACAAUUAUUAUGAACUAACAAUGGUAAUAAGUUAUAGAAAGGAACAACAAUCAAGUCAUAAGGUAACAGGCUCUACCCUGGAGUCUUGAUCUGUUCCCAGAAAUCCAUGGUCUCAUAAGUAUAUAACUGCUUCUUUCCAGCAAGAGGUGACAAAAUAUCUUGAUCCAAUCUGACAAAAUCUGUAGGAAGAUUCCUGUUGAAGAAAAUGUAUAUUAGAUCAAAACAGACACAAGGAAAGGCCAUUGAUAAUCAAAAGAUAUGGAAAGUAAAAAUACCAUAGCAUUGUGAUUGUUUUGUGAGUGUGCAUCAAAAUAUGUCCACAUCAUGAUGAUACACACAUUGCAGUGACAACAUUCAAUAAUAAAUAUAUGUUGUAAUGCUUUCAUGCCACAAGAGUUGAAAUUCCAGGGGAUUACAAAGAAGGUAGUUAAUUAUGGAAACUUAAACAAAAAGAUGUCAACUCAUAAACAGGUUGUUAAUUAGAUACUACCUGGGAACCAUGUUUUGCACCACACAAUAGGGAAACAGUUCUUCUAUGGUAACCUGGUAUAAGUUCGACAUUUAAACUUAAUAAGUAAGAAACCAGGAGAAGGCGAACCUUGUAGCAGACUGAAGGGCUUCAAAGCUGGAAAUACGGCGUAAAUUGGCUGAAACGGACAAAAUAAUGUCACUGUCAGAAAGGUGGAGACAGUUUAUUGCAUAUGGCAGACUGAAUUAAACAAUCAGGUGUGGAACAAAGUCAAUGAUUGCAAGCACUAUCACCAAUUCAUUAGACCACGUAGAUCUUAUAUGACAUAUGAUGCAGACAAAGCAAAAACUUUGCUGUUUCAUUGCAUCUUACCGAACAGAUUAACUUAUCAAAGCUACAAACAGAACCUGUAUCAGUCACAUGGCUGUUUAAUUUGAAUCAUGAUUCAAGCUUCAACACAUUAUUGAUUUAUUCAAUGGAGGUUCCAUAUUUGCAACUAAAAUACAUCAAACAGAACUUACAAUCAAAUAAUCUUUAACAGGUGCUACUACCUAUUGAAAUAUUUCAUAUAACGGCAAAGAUAUAUGCAAAGAAAACACCAAGAACAAGUAUUUCAUAUAAUAGCAGUAGUGACUCAGUUCUACGGAUGCAAUACAGGGUGAGGCCAAGAUUGUUUCUAGUCAUCACAAACCAAAAAAAAAUUAAGAUUACUUGAGCUGGAGAUUAACUCAAGGUAAAAACUAGCCAACAGCCAAAUUGAACAUGUACUAACAAAGACCAACCUCUGCCUUCCCGGUGACUGGAGACAUCUUCAAUGGCAUUAAAGACUUCAGGGGUGAAUACAUAAACACCACAGUUUAUCAAAUCACUCACCUGCAUUUCCAAAAAUAGUCAAGGCUUAGAAAUUGUGGCUGGGUACAAGCAACUGUAAUUAAGGUCAUCAAAGCACCAAUAAAAUGAAUAACAUCAGAAAACUAACUGAACUAUAUACAUACAAAAGUCUCUGGUUUCUCGGUGUAAUGCAACAGUUCUUUGGUGAUCGGAUCGGCAACCAACUCACCAAACUCGUUGGCAGAUUCAGCAGAAACCUGCAGAUACAGCCCAAAAAAGAGAGAGGAAAGAAUAACAUCACCAAAGGCAAAGUAGAAGAAAUUCAAUAGGGAUAGAAACCAGCUUGUCAAGACACCAACCUUGAUCACCAGCAUUGUACCCAUUCCACCAUAUCUUACAUGAGCCUCUGCAAAAUCAAACAUCAUCCGCAAGCAGCAUUAUGAAUUACUCCUUCCAAGUCAUCAUCCAUAACUCUAACCAACAACAAUUCCAUUAUAACCAACAAUAUAUCGCAAACCAAACAUACCAAGCAUAUCUGCAAGCGGAAAGCUGCAGCAUACAUCACAAUUCAGCAAAAAGAUAUGCGACUGCCAAACAAACACAAUACACAUGUGAUCACAACAUUAUCUCACACACAAGACUACUAUCAAACAAGAGUUAAGCAGAGAAGCGAUACCGGGCUGUCUUCCAUGAUCAAAUCUCUGAAGUAAUAAAUCCCACCAGCUGAGCCAUGUGGUUUAUCCUCUUUCAAGUACCUCACCGGCACUUUAAGCUCAUUCGAAAUCGAAGAAACAUAGAGUGCAAAUUCACGCUCCUCAUAAAACCCAAUCAGAAAAAUCUGAGCCAAAUUGGGUAUCUACAACACAACACCAAACAUUCUAAACAAUUCACACCCCUUAACCAAUAAUGCUUGCAAAAUCAAAAUCCCAAUAAGAAAACAAAAAAACAAACCUUUUUACAAGCUGAGAUUGGAUGAUGAACCAUGGCUUGCCCGGCCAACGGGAAAAGCGGCUUCGGCGUGUUGAACGAUAGAGGCCGGAAUCUAGUACCUGACCGGAAAAAUCAAUAAAGCUCAGAAAAGGUUGAGAAAGAUUGAAACUUUGAUGAAAUUGGAGGAAAUUGAGAUGACCCAGGUACCUUUAGUGGGGCCUCCGACCAUGAUUACGGCGACGACCUUCUCUCCUGAGCUGUCCAUGCCGGAAAUGGAAACCCUAGAUCUUGAGCUUAGGAGAAGAAAGUGGAAGUGAGUUGGGAUUGGGAUGGAAGCAAAGUGUUUGAGUUGAAGGUGGAGACUUGGAAGAGAAGUGAGUUGUGUUCGAGUGUCCAAACUCCGAGGAGGUUUUAAAUAUCUGUUAUGACUUUGAUGCAGGGGGAUCCCGAGAGAGAAUAUUAUUUGAACCACCAAAGGUAUUGACCAAACGACGUCGGAAGGCUCACGUUGUGUUUACGUAAAGAUUUUGGAAAGUUGAUUUUUUUUUUUUUUUGGAGAGAAUAUUGGAGUUUGAUCAAGAAAUAAUUUCCACUUGGUUAGGAAAGAGACGCCGUUAUGAGAGGUAACAAGAUUCAUAAGGUUGUUGGAGGCUUGAAGCCUCAGUCAUUUGAGUGUUUAGUGUAGAUCUUCCGGGAAACCACUCUGAUCUUCAGGGAAGCCUCAGUCAUUUGAGUGUUUAUUUGUUGGAGGUUGUUUAGUAAUUUGGGCUGUGGACGAAGGCGUUGCCCUGGACCCUGGUAUUCAACUAGGCCUAACGGUUGUCAAGUCAGUGCUGGCACAAUUGUGCAUUGUUUUGAUUGGGAACUUCCGGAUAACAUGUCACCAAAUGAUUUGGAUAUGACAGAGGAGUAUGGAAUUACGGUUCCAAGGGCCAAGCAUCUAUUGGCUAUUCCAUCAUAUCGCCUUUGCAAGUGAUCACAAUUUGUAUGUAACGCAUUUUCGUGGUAUUAUCUUGUUGUUCUGGUUUUCUAUUCUAUGUGACCACUGUUGUAGCAUAUCUUGUGUUUGCUUUUCUUUUGUAUAAGGGAAACCAGUCAUGUAACAAUAUGCUGUAAUUCAGUUAAAUUUAGGCUGGCUGUUUUCUCCUUUGUUGAUGGUAUUAAUGGUUAUGUUUUGACUUUUGAGGUUUGCUGAGUAUUUUCUUCCAUUGUGAUUUGGUUUACUUAAUUGAUUCUUGAAACUGUUAUCCAGAAUAAUGGGUUUUUUUUUGGCCAUAUGUAGUGAGGGAAAAUGUGCAAGUGCAAUUUGGUGUGAGCAGGCUGUCUAGUGGUCUGGGACACUUUAUUUGCCAGUAGAGAGGUGAUUCUUCCAUUAGUGUUGUUGCUUUUACUAUUUUACAUCAAUUUAUUUUUACAGUUUUUAAAUUUAUUUCUGAUUCAGAAAUACCAAAAGGUUAAGUUGAGAGUUCAGUAGAAGUAUGUGACGUGAGUCUUUUCAAUAAUGUAUAUAUGCAUGACUUUAUAACUCCAUUCUAGAAAUAUAUAUUGAAGAUUUAUAUAAUCAUUACCAUUAGGUUGUAGUGUUUUACACUUGACAGUAGUCAUUUACUGCCGGAAUAAUUUGACAAUAAGUUUGGAUGUGUGUGAUAUCCCUGUCUAUGUAUCCCCGUCCUGCUAUCCUCAUACCUCCUGAUGAUUUCUUUGGAAUAUAACUUUGCUUGGAAUGGUGGUGGUGCUUUGGUUGCUUUAGCUUUGCUUUUCGUUGGGCUUUCUUUUCCUUUUUGAUCCUUUGGCUUUAGGCCAAUGUUCAUACCACACUAAGGAUAAUAUUAGUCAUCAAGUUAGUUAAAGAAUAUGCCAAGGGUGGACACUUGGUUUACCAGACUUCAAAUAGAAACAGAAAAGAUUUCACAUAUAUAUCUAGUGCUCACAAAAAAAAAAAUCAUACUAAAAAAUAAACACAAACCAGACGCUGCUGGUUCUGUUGUUCUCUUUUGUCAAAGAUCGGAAUUAUGGCUGAAGGUGUUGUCGCAAUUGUGACCGAAGGGAUCAAGCCCCUCGGAGAGCUCAUCAAUUUAGCAAAUUCUUGUGUGGAGUCGGCAACCAAAUUGAGCUUGCACAGAAUGAGCUGCACUUGAUCCGGGGAUUUCUAAAAGACGCAGAUACGAGGCAACAAGAUGAAGAACAAGUACGCAUUUCUGUUAAGCUUAGGAUAGGUUUUGUGUGGAAGGAAAGAUGUGAAAUUCUGGCUUAGGAAACAGUGAAAAUUGGAUACCGAUGAUUUGCUUCCAAAGUUGAGGAGCCCAGUAAGAUCACAAUAUCUUUGAACAAUGGAAAAACAGAUAGAUUCCCUCUGUAAGCUAGCUAUGGCGAAAGUGACUAGUUGGGGCCGCGAUAAUCAUAAUAGCAAAAGGAAAAGUACCACUCACAUGGUAGGGUACACCUUUCGGCCUUAUCGAUCACAAUGUCGGAUAUUGCAUUAUUGGAGGUAGCUACUAGCUACUGUAAAGAAUCUUUGCAUAAAGAAGAACUUUGGUUUGGUUUCCCAUACACCCGUAGAAACAUCAAGUUCACCAAUUUGAGAGGAUCAGAGAUAUGGCUGAAGGUGUUGUCGCAAUUGUGACCGAAGGGAUCAAGCCCCUCGGAGAGUUCAUCAUUCAGCAAGCGAAAUUCUUGAGUGGUGUCGGCUACCAAAUUGAGCUUGCGCAGAUUGAGCUACAUUUGAUCCGGGGAUUUCUAAAAGACGCAGAUACGAGGCAACAAGAUGAAGAACUAGUACGCAUUUGUGUUAAGCUUAUCAGAGAUGCUGCUUAUGACUUGGAGGAUGUCAUUGAAUCUUUCGCCUUGAAGGUGGCUAUCAGAAGUAGAGGUGGUACUGUGAAGAUGGUUCUCAAAAGGUUUGCCUGCAUCUUCAACGAAGGAGUUCAUCGAUACAAGAUUGGGUUCGAAAUUGAGGAUAUUAUGUCUAAACUUUCUCAUCUAAGGUCGAGUUUGCAAAGUUACAACAUACGGCAGACAAGCGGUAGUGAAAGUGUUGCUUCAGCUUUUAAGAGGCAACGAGAUCGAAGGCUAACUUAUGGACAUGAAGUUGAAAGUCAUAUUGUUGGGUUGGAGGAAAACACUGAUAAGCUGGUGAAGGAGUUGGUGAGAGAAGGAAAGCGUCACCGUAUUGUGUCUAUUUGGGGGAUGGGCGGCUCUGGAAAAACCACUCUUGCAAAACAGGUUUUUCAUCAAGAUGAAGUUAAGCGUCAUUUUCAUUGUUUUGCUUGGGUCUGUGUAUCUCAACAAUGUGAAGGAAGGGAUGUUUUGGAAGAGAUUUUGAUUGAACUCACUUCCCCAACAACAGAGAAAAGGAAAGAAAUUUCCAAAAUGAAAAAGGAUGAAAUAGCACGGGAGGUCUGUUGUAUCCAAAGAGAAAAGAGAUGUCUGGUGGUCCUUGAUGACAUAUGGACUCUAGAGGCUUGGAAUUCGAUAAAAGCUGGCUUCCCAAUCAAUGAGGAAACAGAGAGCCGGAUACUACUUACCAGUCGCAAGAAAGAAGUUGCCUCGCUUGCAUCUGGAGCUGAUCAUCGCCACCAACCUCGACCUCUUGACGAAAAACAAAGCUGGGAACUAUUUGAAAAGAUUGCGUUAUCUGGAAGAGAUGAAACAGGUAUGUCUAUUUUCUUUUUUUGCACCAAACUAUACUUCUAUCUAUACAUUUCUAGCUUAAGGUAGACAGUUUUUUGUUACAUCAAUAUAGCACCUGUCAAUCUAUAUCUUUCCCUUACUGAGUCAUGAGGAUACUUGUUUUAAUUAUGCUGAUAAACUAACAAGCAAAACAAUAAGCAACUAAAAUAAUGAUUUGAUUUCUUUCCCAGAAUAUGCAAAUAAAAGAGAAUUAGGACAGAAGAUGCUUGAGCAUUGCUCAGGUUUGCCAUUAGCUAUCCGUGUGCUCGCUGGUCUUCUAAGUAGACGAGAUAAAGUUGAGGAGUGGCAAGCAGUUCUUAGAAAUGUUGAUAAGUACAUAAUGAGAGGCACAACUGUCCUUGAAAGAGAAAUCUCAGGUCAGGAGUAUGGUGUGUCGUGUGUCUUGGCAUUGAGUUAUGAUGAUUUACCAUCUCAGUUAAAACUCUGCUUUCUAUACUUGGCCCAGUUUCCUGAGGAUCAUGAGAUACCGGUCAAAAGAUUGACCCAAUUAUGGAUUGCAGAAGGGUUUAUAACUUCAACAAUAGAUUUACAUGGUUCAUUGGAAAUAAUGGAAGAUGUAGCAUAUGAUUGUCUCACUGAACUGGUGGAAAGAUCUAUGGUUCAAGUUGUAAAUUAUGGUUCAAGUGGGAAGGUGAAAACUUGUCGUCUCCAUGAUCUUAUGCGAGACUUGUGCUUGCAAAAGGCAAAAGAGGAGGACUUCCUCGAUGUUGUUGACUUUUCUACGGGUCGAAGACUAACUGGUAAUAAGGUUCGAAGACUAGUCCUUUAUCUGGACAACAAAUCUGAAUGUGAGUUCAGCGGUAAGGAUGGAAGAAAUGGCCACAUUAGGUCUCUAUUAUACUUUAACCCCACAUACUUCGGACAAAAGCGGAGCAAAAGAAUUAUAAGAUCAGUAUUCAACGACUUCAGAUUGCUUAGAGUCUUGAAGUUUGAAAAUAUGGGUACAGAAUAUGAGUUACCGAAGACGAUUGGGAACCUAGUCCACUUGAGGUUUCUAAGUCUGAGGAGGAGCGCAUUUCGUGCGUUGCCGUCAUCUGUAUAUAAGCUGAUACUUUUGCAGACUCUAGAUCUGCGUGGCUCUCGUUAUGAGAUCAAAAUCACAAAUGUAUUUUUGAAUAUGGAGCAACUGAGGCAUUUAUAUUUACCUGUGAAGCACACUGUAAGCGGUCGGAAACUGUCAUUUGCAAAGCUGUGCAAUUUGCAGACGUUGGUCAAUGUUAGAAUUGAAAAUUGUAAUUUGAACGAUCUUGUUCGGCUACCCAAUCUGAAAAAAUUAGUCGUAAUUGCAUCACGAUCUAGUCAGUUGGAAAAGUUGAAAGAAAUGUUGGUAUCAGAAAGUAUAACAUAUGAGCAUCUUCGGUCGCUAUCUCUGACGGAAGACCAAAAUAGUACUGAGGAGGAUAUACAUAUACCAAUAGACAUAGUAUUAAGGUGUCCUCAUUUAUACAAGCUGCGACUGGGAGGGAAAAUGUCAGAGUUACCGGAACAGCUCCGGGGCUAUCCAGACCUCACCAAGAUAACACUGUAUAGUACAGAACUGAAGGGUGACCAGAUAGAAAUACUGGAGAAGCUGCCAAAGUUAAGGGUGCUUUACCUUGAUUACAUGUCUUUCGAGUCAGAAACAAUGGUUUUCUCCCAAGGAGGCUUUCCUCAUCUGGAAUUUCUUACCCUUUGUUAUUUGUACGAUCUCAAGGAGUGGAGGGUGGAGAAAGAAGCCAUGCCUCUUCUUCACAGAUUGAGCAUUACCUUGUGCCCGAAAUUGCGGGCAAUUCCAGAUGGGCUUCAGGAUGUUACUACCCUCAAGGAAUUAACGAUUAACGGGAUGCCCAGAAGAUUCUGCAGUAGGGUUGACGAAGGAGGAGAGGAUUUCUACAAAAUCAAACAUGUGCCUUCUCUUAUUAUCACAAAUAUCGAACCAGAAAUGGAGGAAGCUGCAGGGGCGUCUCAAGUGGUAGCGGGUCCAGCCGGUGACUCUCAUCAGGAAUCAACUGCGGACGGUACGUCACUAAAUGACUCAAUCAUAUCUUAACCAUUUACAUUUAUUUUCAUCAAAUCCUCAAAUCGUAUGAUAGCGGUAUGUGAUUAACAUAUUCCUGCUUGUAAAUCUUGAUUAUGAGCAGCUCCUCCUCCACCUGCUGAUGAAAAAACAGAGGAAAUACAAGCUUCUUCCACUUCUAACCUCCCUUGUCAAUAAAUCCACAAGCCGCUGCUUUCUCAAUAUUUAUUCGCAACUUCAGCCACACUGUACAGGUAUGGCUCUUUCUUCUAGAUUAUGUUUUCGUUUGAAUUUGAUUUUUUACUGUAUAAUUACUAUACUUAAAGGUUUUGGUCUGGAGUGACUUGUUUACUUGUAAUAUCAGGUUCACUUUUCAUGCUGAAACUUUGUACUGAACUGUUUACUGCCGUGGUUAGGCAUAUACAUUACGCUGAAUGUCUGGGUUUUAACUUGUUAAAUUUUGUGUGUGAAGGAAGUUGAAAGUUUCUGACGACAAAGCCUACGUAUAAAGUUGGAAGUCUGCGACGACGAAGCUUUCACAUACUCACGCCUAAGCGAGACUAAUGGACAACACCAUUCUCUUUCAAAUAGGGCUAAUGAACAAAUUCAUGCAAAUAAGAUGAAAGUACAUGUAUGUGAUAGCGAGGCUAAGCUUAUUGAAAAAAAUUGCGUUUCACUUCAAAUGAGGUGCAAAACCACAGAGGAAUUUGUAUAUUGAUUGCAAGUAGUUACAUAUCCAAUAAGAUUAUCACCCUUUCAAUGUUUCUUCAUGUUUCUUUACAUGUCAGCAAAAUUACAUACAACCAGAAAGAAAUAUGCAUUGCUGAUCAAGGAGAAAAAUAUUUGUAUCAAAAACCUGAGAAGUAUGUUUGACAAAAUCUAUCUCGUUCUGUUGAGCCCUCUUCGGAGCUUCAAGAUGUAUCCCAAGAAAUUCAAGGACACUGCUAUAAGCACUGCAGAACCCAGAAGUAACUACCAACAGCUACUUGAAGUAGUUUAUCAACCAAUUUUAAGUAAUCUCUUUGAACACACAAUAAACAGGUGAGGAUAGAGAUCAGAAGUUAUAGUGCUAUCACUCGACACAUUCCAACUGCACUGUUAAAUCCUUGAUUCCAGCAUCAUGUAACAAGUGUGAUACCUGAGCUUUUGCAGAACCUUUGUCAAUUUCCGUAGAAACAUGAAGAUGGAGCGUACCCACUACAUCUGAGUUUGUGAAACUCCACACAUGCAAGUUUUGAAUACCAGAAACCCCCCUUAUCUUCCUAACAUCAUUAAGAGCUUUUCUCAAAUCCUGCUCGUGUGCCCUGGGAAUUCUUUGGAGCAAGACUUCUGCAGAGUUUCUGAGCAAUGGGAUAACAGAAGAUAUAAUCAAGACUGAAAUGAAUAUCGAGCAGGCAGGAUCAGCGACAAGCCAUCCCUUGUACCUAAUUAAGAGCGUUGAUAUAACAACUCCAACACUUCCCAAAGUGUCAGCCAAAACAUGCAGAAAUAUUCCUUCCAUAUUGUGGUCAAUGUGGUGAUGUUGAUGCUUGAUUGAUUUUUCUGGCAGUAUAUUCAGCUCGGAACCACCAUGCUGGUGACUCUGGCCAUGGUGGCCAUGGCCGUGGUGGUCGUUCUUGUGGUUUUGAGCAUGGUGGUCAUGCUGGUGACUGUGGUCAUGGUGGUCGUGCUGGUGGCUGUGGUCGUGGUGGUUGUGCUGGUGGCUGUGGUCGUGGUGGUCAUGCUGGUGACUGUGGUCGUGGUGGUCAUGCUGGUGGCUGUGAUCGUGGUGGUCAUGCUGGUGGCUGUGGUUGUGGUGGUCGUGCAGAUGAUCUUUGCAGCCAACAGAAUUACCAUGUUGGUGAUCGCUGUCACACGAUUCUUCAGCGCAUUCUUGAGAAAUGGCUAUACACUCCUCAAGCUUUUCAUGACCUUCAUGAUUAUGUGCAACAGACUUCUGCGAAUGUUGAUGAUUUUGGGAGUGCGAGCAUGAUCCAGAUCCACCAUGGGCAUGAUGAUGCUCCUCAUGAAAGAAGAUCAAGCCGACCACAUUGACAAGAAGCCCUCCAAUCGAAACAACUAGUAAACUGCUAGUUGACAUCUCUUGAGGGUCCAAAAUCCUCUCGAGUGAUUCCAACACUAUCAGUGCGCCAACCAAAACCAGGAAAACAGCAUUUGUAUAUCCUGCAAGAACCUCAAAUCUCCCACAGCCAUAAUUAAACUGAUUAUUUGCAGGCAAACGUGAAAUAUACGAAGCAUAUAACCCAAUUGCCAGAGCAGCACAAUCAAACAACAUGUGACAGGCAUCUGAUAUCAGCCCCAGACUAUUGCUCAAGAACCCAGCAAUGAACUCCACAAACAUGUACGCAGUAUUGAUCAGAAGGAAAAGUGCAAUCUUCCGAGACUUCCUCUCACUCAAAAUAUGCCUAACAGGCUUCAUAACAGAUGCACUAAAUGACUCGGACGACUCCAUUCCCAGUUCAAGAUAACUCGUAUCAAAAGGAUCCAACUCCCUAACAGCAAUGUAAAGCAACAUACCACAAAGCAACAGUCCCCAGAGUGACAACUCGGCAAAAUAGAACAGCUCCAAUACAACAGUACACAAAAACGUCACCAAAUACUCCCUCCGAAAAUCUUUCGAACUCACGGACUUCUCAUCACUAUAACCCUCACUCAAAAGCACACCGAAAACAACAGUGUUUGCCAGAGGCCAGCCCAAGUUCCCAAUCGAAACUCCAUCCCCCUCAGCUUCAUACACGAAAACACUAACAACAGCAGGAAUAAACAACACAACAGUAGUAAAAAACAACGAAAUCACACGAACCCUCUUCCUCCCCAACUGCCUAAUACUCCCCCAAUUCAUCGAAACCCUCUCGUAACACCCCAAAAAUCCACACAAAAACGGAAGCAGCAUUGGCCAAAACCUCACGCAAUUCUUCACUCCCAAUUUCGGCGCCGAAAACGGGAAGCAUUCAAUCCGAUCCCAGCUCAUAGACAACAAGAACAGCCCAGUAACAAGAGCAAGAAACCCACGAACCUUGGAAGAAGACCGAUUCCGAUCACCACCGCCGUUACUCUGCUUACUCCCCUCGGCCAAGAACCGAGCCGCCACAUUUCCAGACAUCUCGGCGAGGAUCAUGGCGGCGGCGCCGCAGUAGCGGAGAGCUUGGAAGCGGAGGAGGAAGACUCCGGCGAGGAGAAUCGAUUUCAAGACAAGGAGUCUGUGCUGGGAUUGAGUGAUAUGAGUGAGUGAGAAGAUGGGCUGGUUGUUGCUGGGCUUGUUGUGAAACGGGUCCUUGGAGGCGGCGGAGGAGGAGGUGAAGAGAGAGAAGGCUAGGGUUAGGAGGAAGGAGAGGAGAGAGACGAGGAAGGAGAAAGGGAAGAGAGAGAAAGAAGGGGAGGAGCGGAGGAAGGGGAGGAGGGAGUAGAGUGAUCGGAGGGAGAGGAGGAGGAGGAAGAGGAAGGAGAGAGAGGAUUUACUUGCGGCGGAGGAGGAGAGGGGUUUGGGGUUGAGAGAGGAGAGGCGGUGUUUGGAGGGAGUGGCGGAGGAGGGGGUGAAAGGGUAAAGUGGGUAUUGGCGGGAAGUGGUGGGAGUGGUGGAGGCGAAAGUGGUGGGGGUGGUGGGGCGUUGAGGGAGGGAGAGGCGGUGGGGGCGGUGGUGGUGGUGGUGGUGAUCGGCCAUUUUGGGAUUUUGGUGGUGUUUGAGAUUUGGAGAGCUAGCUGCUUCGACGUUUGAGAAUUUUCAAAGUCAGUGAAAGAUCCGAAUGAGGGGGUCAGGGACCCGGAUUUGGGUCCGAAGGGGGGAGACUUUUGACGGCGGACUGGCGGAGUCUAUGGUCAACGUUUUCUAGAGUGUUGGAGACUUGAGGGUCUUUGGCUUGUGGUUUGGGUCAGGUCUGGGACGGGUAGGGACGGUUCAGUAACCGGCAUGUACCGAUCUUGAUACAAUGAUAUCGAUGGUGCAAUCAGGUUUGGCCGUUUGGGUCGGUUUGAGAAGUGAAACUUCGGGCAUUAGUACCAAACUGUCUUGAUCCUGAUCGAUUCAUGACAGUUUGGACCAAUCAUAUACUCUCAAUUUAAACUUUGAACUUAAGUACGUUGUUUUGCAUGUGUUUUCAUAUAUAAAUUUAUAAGUUUAUAAGUAACUUAACUGUGUAAACUGUAAAUAGAGAGAAUGAAAGCAAAGUAAGAACUUAGAGACAUGAUGAAAACUCUAAAUUAUAUGACUUAAGAAAUUAGGAAAUUUCUCAAUUACGUCACUAAAAACUUCAAAGGUCUCACACUGAUACUAUGAGAUGGUUCGAAUCCUUAGAGAUUUAGAGAUUAAGAAUGUAAGAGGUUUUGAUGAUGAUUGAGAGAAUGAGAAUGAGAGGUUGUGAGGCUUCGAUCGAUGAUUGAAAGAGGCUUGGAUUCAUUUUUAUAAAGGGUUUCGAGACUCAAAUGCAGGUUGAUGUUGUUUUAGGGUUUGAGAACGCGAACCAAAAUUCUUGUUUUGGGGUUGAUUAUGACGACAGGUCGUGCAAGCCUUUUAAGUGAUUUGUUGAAUCAUGUCGAGUCGGUUAACUCAGUAUAUAUUUGAGUCAUACUAAUUCUGACAUGUUACAUACUUCGGGAUUCACUUUAUUUUGGGACAACUGAAAGUUGAACUUGAAUACUGACCCACUCGGUUUUGGGUCGGGUUAGUCGGUAUCAAGGUUGGUUUAUCAGUUUUGAAUCCUUAGCCCUAGUUUGGGCAGAUUGGGAAAUUGAAAAGAAUUCACUAUUGGUCUAAUUGGUUCUUAUUGAAGACUAAGUUUGGGCCUGGUUCGUUGUUUUGGGGAUUUGUUUUGGACUGUAGAAAGUGCAUAAUUGGCUAAAUGAGAACCUUUGAUUGCCACACACUACUCAUGUUGAUGUUGAUGAGAAGUAGAGGGCUAAAUCUGAUUUUGAAGAAGUUAAUUCUUGUUUGAAGAACUUGAGCAUCGAUAUGGUCUCCUCGUUCACAAGCUUAAGAAGAAGUCGGGUUAGGGACACUCCCCGAUCACAAUGCACCGCAUCAGCAAAUUAAAGACAGUUUGCUAGCUAGGCCAAAUAUCCGAAAGCGAACGAUUGAAGUAUUCGGGGCUGUGGAGGAGGGGACUAGGAUGAAGGACUACUGAAGGGUAUAUGAAGGUUGAACCACGUAUAUUAAGAAUAGCACCGUCUAAUCUGGGUUGCCAAAGGAGAUUGCAUUUCAGAAAAACUAUGAUUCCUUUCUAAAACCUAGCCUUUGGUGUUCUAUAUAUCAGUGCGCGCAGAUUCUGCUGCCCGGUUUCUCAUACAUCAUCAUGAUUCAUGAAUGCAUGUACAUUCAGUUUUCUGAGUCGGCCGGCCAUAACCUGUAUGUUCAUAAAUAAAAGCCAUAGAAGAUGGGGAACGAAAACACAAACACACAUCAGUUUUUCCAGUGCAUGUCAAUUUAAUUUGAUUGACGUAAAGUCGUAAAAAAUAUAAUGUCGACAUGCAUAUCUCUCUUUUGCUUGACGUAAAGGAAACGUAGAGUAAUUAAAAUGAGAUAUGUGAUCAAAAGUUGGUCUUUCUUUUUUAUUUGGCAUCAAAAGCUAGAUCAUGGAUUCAUGAUUGAAAGCGAGCAAGGCACUAUAAUCAGCUAUUAUUGUUUAUAUCACAACUUGACGUACGUAACUUGAAUUAUCUUGUUCCAUAAAAAGAAAACUCGAAUUAUCUUAUCUUGAGCAAUGGAAAUUAGACAAAGUUCGUUAAUGUUUGUAAAAGGAAAAAUAGACAAAGCAGAUGUGUACUUCCAGAUAUCUAAAAUAAUGCAUGUCCUUCCUCCCUCAUGUAACAUGCAUCUGCAUUCUAGCUCUUUAACACAAAAGAAUAAGAAUAAUAUAUGCAGGAAAGCUUAAUCAUAAUUCUUCAGGCCUAUAUCAAAGAAUUUCUUGCUUCCCACUUACGGUGGACUCGGACAAGAACCAUCGACUGAUCGACCACUAGAUAUCCAGUUCUGAAAUUUCAAGAAAUCAUCACCGAACUGCCUCAUUGACGCCUUAACCAUAUUACCAUCGGUUCGACAAAGCAGAAUGAUCGACCAGAGAAUUAAAGAAGUGAAGUUAGGAAUGUUGCUAAUUUGCUAUGAACUACUGUCGGCGAAAAUGGAAAACAUUUCUUUCAUGCAGCCUCCUCCUGCCCAUGCAUAAUCAUUCUUAGAACAACUUCAUUUAUGUCUGUCUAUUCGAUCUAGAAGAUUUUAAAACCAACAUACAAUAUGCACGACUAGGUCUAAACCAAACCGGACCAAAGCCAUGACAUCGGAGAUAAGUUUCAUAAGCUAAGCUAAACUAAAGUACUAUAGUUAGAUUGUUUUGUGCAUGAAUAUCCAAGCAAGUGUGCGCACUCAUGUCUCUCGAUGUUGCUUGCAUACGUGUGUCAACUCAACAAUAUAAACCCACACAGAGCUAGCUAUAAUGACUUCUGGGUACCAAAGACCCGCUAGCCGACCCCAACUCGAUCUACAAUUUCAAGAUUAAGAUUCUACAAAUUGGUGUUCUAUAAUGACUCCCAUUCGAUGGCUCCAAUUAAUGAAGAACAAUAAAAGUAGGACAAUAGUAACAACACUAAUUCAUGUCUGCCUAAAUUAUGAUGAAGAACUCGUGCACUACUCGAUCGAUAAAUAUCUAGGCCUAAAAGAUCCGUCAUAUGUCGUUUACUGUUAACUGACAACCUAGCCCCCCAAAGUUAUUUCACUUCACUUCUACAAAUCACUAAAUGUUAAUCCAUAACCAUAAAGAAACUAAGUGCUAUCCAUCACAGGAAACAACUCACCGCCAAAUGAUCACCACAUAUAUGUUCCAUUAACUCCUAGACUGAAUAUACAGACCAACCCAUGCCACUUAUCCUCGUCACCCAGCACUGCAACUCUUUCCCAGUUUUUUCUCCAUCCAGCUUUGCCCUAAUUUGCCAUGUGUUCUACUUGAGCUAGCUGUGUGCUAACUGUGUGUGAGGAUGAUGUCGGAUGUGUGGAGCUGUGUGCCCUAUGCAUGCUUUGCCCUCAUCGAUCACUGAUAUUGGAUCUCUGUCACUUAGCUAUAUUACCAGUGCCCCGAAACGUAACUCCUCAAACCGCAUUCACGCUUUGUUUGCCAGAAAAGAGAAGAAAACAAACUCUAACAAACUAGAUCAUCAUGAGAAAACUCAUGCAUGAUGCUUGGUUUGAGCAAAUUCCGAGUAAAAGAGAAGGCAAAGCAUGUAAAAAUGGUAAAAGCUAGUCAUGAUCUUGGUGAAAAAGUAGAAAACGUAUGCAUGCAUUACCCAAUUAGGUUUAACCGUUUAAGCAGCUAACUGAAGCUGCUCCGGUUGGACCCUCAGACAGAAGUUGCAAUGCUGCGUAGGAUGAAAGAUGAUGCUUUGCUUUCUCUUCAGAUCUUGUGGCAGCUUAAAUCAAUAAUGUCAUGCUUACUGUUACAAAAGAUUAAUAAUUCCUGGUGUUUUUGCAGAUUUCUAGAGCAAGAAGGAGCAUCCUACGUGUCGAAGGAUAACUCCACGUGUACCAUUAAGUGGCACAUCCAGGUGAUUCAGUUCCUACAACAGUGAAUCUGCAUGAGGCAUAUUCUUCUUUUGUUGCGUCCAUCAGACAUUAUAAUUUAGCUAGCUAUUGGUUACGUGGCCACAACAGAUCGAUUCAUGCCUGAACUAAUGCAUCGAAAUUAAACAGUGGGAUCAGCUUUCCAUUUCUUAUAAAUGGUGCAAGCAUUGAGGGGAGCUUAGCAAUCUUAGUGGAUUUGCCUUGUGUGUCCAUUAGUCCAAAGCCUCUUUGAUAUUGUUUGUUGGUAAAAGGAAUCGAAAGCAAAGCAAAGAAGACAACAAUGAUGUGCUAGCUAGUGUUUUUUGUUGGCCUUGAUAUUGAAAAGAACAAGCAGUGAUCUGCAGCAGCUGACAGAAGAGGACAGGAGCUAACUAUAGCUAGUUUUGGUGGCAUACAGUCAUUUCCUUCUUCUUCAUAAUCGAUCUCAGAGACUCAUCACCUUCAUUCUCCAUCAAUCCCAUGGCUGGCACAGCAAGAAAGAGACUCGGCAACUCAUGCAUUCUUCUCAUAAGUAUUCAUCAUAUUUCUUCUCUCUUCCUAAACCUUUUAUUUUCAACCAUUCUUAUAUGUGAAUAUCGUUCUUUAAUAUUAAUUAAAUGAUCACUCUUUGUUAAUUGGUGGUUUAUGUGUCUGUUUGUUUGAUGACAGUGAUUUCUGGUAUGGAAAGAUUUGCAUACAAAGGAGUGGCAUCCAAUCUGAUAACUUAUCUAACGGAUGUAGUAAAGAUGAGCAACUCUUCUGCGGCGAAGACGGUGAACAGUUGGUGCGGAUUCACAUCCAUGGUUCCACUCUUGAUUGCACCCUUUGCUGAUUCUUACUGGGAUAGAUAUUACACCAUUGUAGCUUCUUCUCUUGUCUAUGUUGCCGUAAGUACUAACCACCUCUCUUUUCUUUCUUUCUUUCUUUUUUGGUUGCAUGUUGGUCGUUAAUUACCUCUGUUUUUUCUUUUGUAAAGUAUUUUUUUUCUGGUCAGUAUAUUGUGUCCGCUGAGUGCUCAAUUAUUAGUAGGAGUACGAUUAGGAAAACCAUUAUUAAGAUAUAUGGAUCAUGAGUCAUCAGUCAUCUGCACUAAGAUUAAAGCUUUAUAUUGAUGACUUGCGGGUCAAGAUUAAUGCAGAUUACUGUGCAAAUAAGAAGAGCCUACAAUUUGAUUGACCCAUCUUAAGAUGAUUUACUAGGGGAUUGAUCGAGAUUGAUAUACAUUAUGUGGAUAAUAUGAUCGAGUUUGGUGGCAUAAUGGUUGUUUAACAUACUAUAAAAGUGUUUAUUUGUUAAUUGAAGCUCCAUUAGUAACACCGACAUGCUCCUGUGACGAAUAUUGGACUAAUUGAUAGUCUAUUUGUUCUGGUUUUAGGGGCUUGUGGCAUUGACAUCAACAGCAAUAAUGUCCCGGGCAUCCACGGAUCAAGCAAACAAAACAAGUUCAUCUUCAUUUCUGUUUUGGUCAUUGUAUUUGAUUUCUCUUGGUCAAGGUGGGUAUAAUCCAUCUUUACAAGCUUUCGGAGCAGAUCAACUUGACAGUGAAGAGGAAGAGUUGCCUACUAGCGAAGAUGACAAAAAACCCAACAAAAAGAGUUUGUUCUUUCAAUGGUGGUACUUUGGUGUUUGUAGUGGCACCGUCUUGGGUAUCAGUGUUAUGUCCUACAUUCAAGAUAAUUUUGGUUGGAUACUAGGUUUUGCUAUUCCCAUGAUUUCUAUGGUCACAUCAGUCGUAGUUUUCUCGUGUGGAAGCCGAAUUUAUACAUAUAAACAGAGGAAUGAUGAUUACAAGCCUGUUGUGAGCAUCCUUCAAGUUAUUAAGGCAGCUGCAUGGAAAUUACUGAAUUGCAAAGUCAAGUUGCCCAAUGAAAAUAAAGUUACUGAGCUAGAGUAAGUUUUUUUCUUUAACUCAAGUGUUGUUCAGAUUAUUGUCCAUGAACUUUGAUCUGAUGCUAUCCAAUUUUCUUAGGCUUCAAGGGAAACCGCUCUGUCUUCGGAACUUUGGCAGCAAUGAAGGCUUGAACAAUGAACAUCCCAAAAGCAGCGUCUACAAGUUCGAAAACGCAAAAGUUAUUCUUAGGCUUUUGCCCAUUUGGCUAAUGCUGUUAAUGUUUGCAGUGAUUUUCCAGCAACCUUCGACAUUCUUCACCAAACAAGGCAUGACAAUGAAGAGGAACAUUGGAAGCAAUUUUCUGAUUCCACCGGCAACACUACAAAGUGCUAUUGCACUUUCUAUAGUCCUAUUGAUGCCUCUUUAUGACAAAGUUUUGAUCCCAAUUACUAAGGUCCUGACUUGUAACGAAAAGGGUAUCACCGUAAUGCAAAGGAUGGGAAUCGGGAUAUUCACUUCGGUCAUAGCACUGAUCAUUGCAGCAAUUGUGGAGACAAGAAGGCUCCAUAUCAGCAGAAAGAUGGAAAUGCUAGGAUCUCAAUCUGAGACAGUUCCACUUAGCAUAUUCUGGUUGCUGCCACAAUACAUUCUUCUAGGAAUUUCAGACAUUUUCACUGUGGUUGGGAUGCAAGAGUUCUUCUACUCUGAAUUUCCCAUUAAAAUGAGAACAAUGGCCUUUGCACUAUACACCAGUGUUUUUGGGGUUGGGAGUUACUUGAGUGCCUUUUUGAUAUCCACAGUUGAGACCAUCACAAGUUCAAAUGGAAAUAAGAGCUGGUUCUGUGAUGAUAUGAGUGAAGCUAGGCUAGACAAGUACUACUGGUUUUUAGCAGCAUCAAGUGCACUGAGCUUUCUGUUUUUUGUGAUUAUUUCAUCAUGUUACACAAGUAAAAGGGAUUUGGACUUGGACAGUAAUGAAAGUUGUAAAUAAGCUAGCUGGUUGUUUUGAGUUCAUGAGUUAGUUUCAAUGUACAAAGAGUGCAUUUUGUUAUUCAAGAUUCAAAGUUCAAAUAAAUUAGUAUAUCCAUACCAUGCCUUCUCUAUGGAUAUUUAACUUAUUUACUGCAUGGAUUUGUCCUCUUUCACGUGUUUGCUACUCUUAAUUUUUAGCGUUUAAAUUGUUAAAUGAUUGUUGGAAACCUGUAUUCAACAUUUUUUUUUUCCUCAAACAAAGAUAUAUAUAUGAUAAUUUCUUCUUCUUACAAGGUUAAUUAUAAGGGUUACUAAACGGUUUUUGGCUUUAUGUCCCCCUUAGGUAUCUUCUUUUUAUCUAAUAAAGUUCUUUAUUUGCCAAAAAAAGGUUAAUUAUAAGGAAAAUUAGUAGAGAUACUAUAACUUAUCUUAUUCCAUGUUUGUACAAAUUAAGGUACAUUAUUUUUCUGGUUUGAAGAGCAGAUACAUUAUUUCAUAACAUGAAAAAUUAAAAGCUGACUUUGGGAGAACAUAUAUAAUCAGAAAAGGGUGAUGAUACAUGCAAUUCACAAUUCUUCAUUUCUUUGAACUUUAGAACUUUAGAAGUAUCUGAUCGAUCGAGCAGGACUACCCGUUGUAUAAAGCUUUUAUUCCUGCAAUAUCAUCCGCAUGCAAACCUCUUACAGUCGCUCCCGCGGGGAGGCUAGGGGCCAUGGCAGCUCCACUCACUGAACUAUGUGCGAGUCCCAGAAGGUGCCCUAUUUCAUGCAAAGCGCAACUCUCGUAGUCAAAGGCACCAGGUUUACCACCAACCGCCCAAUUCUCAGCUGCGUCGAUGUGGAAUCUUCCAUCCGUCGGGUAAAACGCAUGAGCCAGAACUCCGCCGGGGCCAUCAAAUGCAUUCCCGUCUCCAUGAUCACCCUUGUGAAAACUGAUCUUCAAAUCUGCACUAUUGUAAUUUUGAGCCUGGCUGAAAGUGAAUUGACUGUUCUUAGCCCAUGUUGUGAAAGCUUGUGUGAUAGCACCCGUGGCUUCGGAUGGGGUGCCCAUGAAAAAACCGUAAGUGAGAUGGUAUUUAGAGGAAGGCCAUACUGGUUUUCCGGGGGGAAACUCGUACUGAAUACCGGUAAGAAAUGAACCUGUAAAACAAUAUCGAGUGAUUAAUCAAGGCUUGAGGGCAUGCAGCCGUCACCAGCUCUUUAUUCGUUUUUUUUUUUAAAAAACUAAUAUCGUAUUGAUCAAGUCUUAAUUCAAGGGAGUUACUGUAUGCAUGCGUUUAACAAUUUUGAUGUACAUAUGAGUACAUGUACAGCUAGUAAUGUGUUUUUGAUCAGCAGUAUAAAGUUAAGAUCGAUGCAUUGACAAUAUAAUUCUCUAGUAAGAUGAAGUACGUACGGUGCUGGAAAUUUAUCUUGGCUGAUCGCAUGGAUGUGGUGCCAUUGAUGAUGUCGGGAAAACCACAACGAGGCAUCAUCAUCUUUGAUAUGGUUCCGUCAUCCAAUGUUCCGGUGGGCUUCAGGUGGAAAUUGAGCUGGUAAGUCUUGACGGCUUCCUCCAGGAACUUGUCGAAAUCGUCGUCAUCCGUGGAUGUUGUUCUUGUAGUUCAAGUAACCGAACUUGUGAAGGUAUUUCUUGAGGUCAUUGAUGCCCUUGACCUUGUCACCUUUGUGACAACCCUUAAGAUGCUCAAGGAAGGCAAAUGGAGAUGAAGGCUGAGGUUGCAUCAACUGGGCCGUUGCGUUAGAGAGGAACCAAAAGAGGGCGAGGAGGAGAGUGACUGUGAAAAGAGAAAAAUUAGAUUUUGGUGCCAUUGCUCUGAGUAUGGAGGUUGCAGAAGUAUCAUAUUCGCAGCAGUAUUUAUAGGCAAUAUUAUUGAUGCGUGAAUGUAAAGAGAUGGUGUGAUCGAUUACGUUUUCUGUUGAGUUGAUGUACGUACGUCAUGCAUAUAGAGCUUUUAGCUUAACAAGCAGAAAACAUAUAAAAAAAAACGUUCUCACCAGAACAUAUUGAGCUCAACAUUUGGCAACUUUCAUUAUCAGUUAGGUUUCAGCAGUUAGGUUUAAACUGUUAAACCAGAGAAUUUUGAUGACAAAAACUAGCUUGGAAACAAUCAUUAUCGAUAGAGAUCAUUAUUGAUGCACAAAGCCACAAAUUAUUCAAGUACCAAAUCGCCCCUCUAUAUAUAUAGAAAACCAAUCAAUUUCCAUAUGAUCGAGUUCACAGUAUGAGAUAACCUGGACUGACAGGACGAUAGAUCACUGGGAAUAUAUCUGACAUAGUGACAUUCCCGAUCGAUAGUCACUUGACUCACUUGCACACAGAGGUUCUCUUUCUUCUUCUGAAAUUAAACAUGCACGUAGAUAUACUACGCAUAAAACUCUUUUCCUUCUCUCUCUCUCUUUCUCUCUCUCUCUCUCUCUCUCUCUCUCUCUCUCUCUCUCUCUCUCUCUCUCUCUCUCUCUCUCUCUCGCUAAUAGAUCGAUGAUAUAAGAGAGGAGUGACCUCUAUCACUAUGUUUUAUUAAUUAGAGAAGAAUAAGAACAAUAGGAGGGGGACCAAAACCAAUACCUCCAACAAAAAAUGACCAACGCAAACGAAUUUGAGGACAAAGUAAAUGCUCAAAACAAAAGGGGAGGCACACUCACAACCCCAACUCGAUCAGAAGAAAAUGUACCAAAAAUUUCCAAAGGACUGGCUGUUCAUGUACGACUCUCUUCAUUAUUUCUUAAUCUGAAAGAUCUCAACACCGGUAAUUCAGGUACGCACGUACCUUAUUUGAUAAAGGAAAGAAGAAUUAAAAGAUGAAUAUGGGGGAUCCAGCUAGUGCUACUGGUUAAUUCUCAGACGUUGUAUAGAGCCUUGAUACCUUGAACAUCGUCUCCAUGCAAACCUCGUGUCACUCCCGCAGGAAUACCUGAGGACAUGAUAGCGCCCUCCACUGAGCUAUGAUCGAGUCCCAGAAGAUGCCCUAUUUCAUGCAAAGCCAGAGUCUCCAAGUCAAAAGCACCUGGCUUAGCACCCACAGACCAAUUCUCAUCUGCGUCGUAGUGGAAUCUUCCGUCCGUCGGGUAAAAAGCAUGGGCAAGGACACCGCCAGGGCCAUCAAAUGCAGAUCCGUCUCCAUGAUCACCCUUUUCAAAACCAAUCUUCAAAUCCGCAUUCUCGUAAUUUUGAGCCUGGCUGAAGGUGAAGUGAGUGUUCCCGGCCCAUGUUGCGAAUGCCCGUGCAACAGCCCCCGUUGCUUCCGAUGGGGUGCCGGGGAGAAAACCGUAAGUGAGAUGGUAUUUGGAGGAAGGCCAUUUUGGAUUCCCGGCGGGAAAUGCGUAGUGAGCAGUGGUAUGGAUAGAACCUGUAAAACAAUAUCGAGUACUUAAUUUCGUUAGAUGUAAUGAGGAGAAAUGGUAGUUGAACAUGCAUGUACCUUUCAUUUUGUUGUAUACUUGUAUAUAGUGGUGUAUGUUCUACGUACUUAUAACUCAUUGGGAAGUAAGAUGACAAAGUAAUUGUACGUCUAAUAAGAAGAAAUAGCUAGAUAUAUACCAUGGUGGUGCCUUUUCUUGGCUGAUCGCAUGGACGAGGUGCCAUUGAUGAUAUCCGGCAGACCGCAACGAGGCAUCAUCAUCUUCGCCACUGUUUUGCCGUCCAAUGUUCCGGUGGACUUGAGGUGGUAAUUGAUCUGGUAGGUCUUGACGGCUUCCUCCAAAAGGUCAUCAAAUUCAUCGUCGUCGGAAUGACUGUGGUUCUUGUAGUUCAAGUAACCGAACUUUUCAAGAUACUUUUUGAGGUCAUUGAUACCCUUGACCUUAUCACCUUUGUGGCAACCUUUGAGAUGGUCAAGGAACUCAAAUGGGGAAGAGCUCUUGUUGUGGGGAUGGGAAGCAGUUGCAUAUGAUAGGAGAGUUAAAAGUGCGAAGAGGAGAGUGAUAGCGAAGAGAGAAUAUUUAGAUUUGAAUGCCAUUUUGCUCCUUUUAACUAGCUAGCUUGUUAUGUUGCUAAAGCCUCUUAUGUGUAUUGCUAUUUAUAGGCUUGUAACAUAUGAACGUUCAACUUUUCCAUAUUGCGUCUUUCUUAACAAUUACCUGCUAGGUCCCUAAGGUUCGAGAUGACCGACCAAUUGGGAGUAAAUUAAAGAAGAAGAAACAUUAAUUAACAGACUAGUCUCGGAGAAGACGUCAAGUAUUUAAUUUGCAUGGUCAUUCCAUCUAAGUCUGCAUUUGCUAGAAGCUUAGAACUAGUCUUGCCGUUUUCCUUACUCCCUAAAUUAAUCAAUUAAGGAGUGAUUGGUGGACUACAUAUAUAACCCUAGGGUUCCAUCUAACCCUACAUAUAUACAUUACAUAUGUAACAUUGAGAACACUUGAAACUUAAAAGUUGCCUCUCAAAAUUAAUAUAUAGUCUGGCGCAUGCUACGUCUUAAAAAAUAUAUAAUUAUAUAGGGUAUGGUUCAUGAAUAAAUUAACUUAUAUAUACAUAGAACAGAUCUACAUCUUUUAUGAGUUUUGCUACUCCAAAUUUUAUGGUCUCUGUUGAGUGACGUAUUGUGUGUGUAUGUAUAUAUAUAUAUAUAUAUAUAUUUAUUUUGAAACAUGGACGUGAAGACUGAAGCUUUUGAUAUUGCAACGAAAAAUAACAGUUACAACAUAACUUACCCGCAAUGGCAACGAUAGAAAAGGCCACGGUAAAUAGCCCGAAAACAACAUAAAUGAAACUACUAUAGAGUUCUAAGCAGAAAAUAAAACUAAAACUAAUAAUCCUGGUUUAUUAGACUUAUCCCGGAACCACCCUACACAUAUGAGGUAUCUCCGGGGCCUUCUUCCUCGACCAUCAACGCCAUAACAGCCGGCAUGGACUCCAAGAUAGUAGCAAGAACAUAUCCAAACCAGAAUGAUAGCAAGCCCAAGGCCCAAACCUGCAACCUAGCGCUGCAGAAUUGAGGCCCAAAGCCCCCAAAAAUUCAUCACCACCGUCAGCCACCACCACACCAGAAAUUGCAUUUCCGGUCAACCCAGGGUUCUUCGGCAACCGUCUCCAAUAGGCAUCAUCACCAUCACUACUCUGGCCAGCCAAGACGAAAGCCGAUCCCGUCGGAAUCACCAUCGCACAUGUCGACCAUACCUUCAUCCUUGCAAGAUCCGAAUCCAGAUCUCCAACACCAACCCGCUAGCCGCUAGCUCCGCCAUGGAGGAACCAUCAUCGCCGACACCGUGAGAUCAUGUGCCAGUCCAGAGCACCGGAGAAACCACUCGGUAGGAGUCGGUAAACGACCCCUCCACCACCGCAAAAAGAUCAGAAGGAAGAGUGAUGGGGUUGAGUCGCGCUCACUCCGUGCCUGAAGCCAACCGGGGCUAACAACACAAAGCCCACCACCUCCGUCGUUCCAAAACCCACCGCCGCUGUCAGAAGAGAAGACGAGGGCUAGGGUUGAGAGGAGAUCGCGCGACCAGACGAGAGAGAGCCAUGAGUGACGUAUUGUUGAGUCUUGUAUUUAAAAAGAAUUCUCAUACUGCAUGUAAAAGGAUAUGGUCAUUAUUUCUUCAUUAAGAGUUCAUCUUUAUUAAUACAGAAACUAGAAUCCUCACACAAGCUAGUUUAUAGUUUUAUACAAUGUUGUACACAAAGGUACAUUAUUUUUUCUGAUAACAAGAUAUAUAUUAGAAGUCGACUCUGUUGGAACAUAAUCUGUGCCAGGAGAUACUACUCCUCAAACCUUGUACAAAGCUUUUAUUCCUUGAAUAUCAUCCUGAUGCAAACCUUUAUAAGCCACUCCCUCGGUGACAGUUGGAAACAUGACAGCUCCCUCUACUGAACUAUGUCCAAGUCCCAGAAGGUGCCCUAUCUCAUGCAAACCAACACUCCCAUAGUCCAUUGCACCUGGUUUAGCACCUGCAGACCAAGUCUCCUCUGCGUCGUAGUGCAGUGUUCCUCCCGUAGGGUAAGCUGCAUGGGCGAGCUGUCCACCAGGCCCAUCAAAUGGAUCCCCGUCUCCAUGAUCACGCUUGUGAAAGCUGAUCUUCAAAUCAGCAUUCUGGGGAUUGUUGGACUGGCUGAACUUGAAGUGGGUGCUCUUUUGCCAUAUUGCGAAAGCCUGCACGAUAGAACCCGUGGCUGCGGAUGGGGUGCCGGGGAGGAAACCGAAAGUGAGUUGGUAUUUAGAGGGUGGCCAUUUAUAAUCUCCAUCAGGCAAUGUGUAGUGAACUGUGGUAUGAAUUGCACCUGCAAAACAAGUACUUGAAUUCGUUAGACGUAGUGGUCAAGUCUUAUUUCUUGAAUAUAUAUAACUGAAUGCAUGCUAUUUACAACUUGAUGUACCUAAAAGUACAGUGAUGUUUUCUUGAUCAGUAACUACUGACCGGUAAAAUACUACUAACAAACUAUAUAUAAUUAAGAUGAUAAUCUCUGUUUUUACUAAGAUGAAAUAUGUACGGUGUUGGUGCUUUAUCUUGGCCGAUCGCAUGGAUGUGGUGCCAUUGAUGAUAUCGGGCACACCACAAUGAGGCUUCAUCAUCAUUGAUAUAGUUUUCUCGUCCAAAGUUCCCGUGGGAUUGAGGUUGAAAUUGAGCUGGUAAGUCCUGACUGCUUCCUCCAGGAACUGGUCGAAAUGGUCGUCAUUAGAGUGGAUGUGGUUCAUGUAGUCCAAGCAACCGAACUUGUGAAGGUACUUCUUGAGGUCAUGGAUGCCCUUGACCUUAUCACCUUUGUGACAACACUUAAGAUGGUCAAGGAAGUCAAACGGAGAUGAGUUGUUGCUGCUAUGGACUUCCUUUGCCGUUGCAUUAGAGAGGAAAGAAAAGAGGGUAAGGAAAAGGAGGAGGAGAGUGACUGUGAAAAGAGAAAGAUCAGGUUUUGGUGCCAUUGCUCCAAGUUAAGAGUAUGGAUGUUGCAGAAGCCUCGUAUUCGCAAUAGAAUUUAUAGGCAAUAGUACAUUGAUGUGUACAUGUAAAGAGAUGGUGUGAUCAAUUACGUUUUCUAUAGAGAUGGUGUACGUACGUCAUGCAUAUGAAGCUGUUGAGCUUAACAAGCAGAAAUCAUACAAAAAUGUUCUUACCAGAACAUGUUGAGAUCAACAUUCGGCAUCAGUCGUCAUGCAUCAGUUAGCAGCCUUAAUUCAGAGAAUUUUGAAGAUGAAACUAGUCUCGACGUGUAAACAUUCAUGCAUUAUCGAUAUAUUAGAUCAUUGAUGCCAAAAUCGAGAAAUGUAUAGGACGUUUACACCCUCGGUAUAUAAAACCAAUUUUCCAGAUAUAUGGAUGAGUUCACAGUAUGAGAUCGAUAGUCUGGAAAUCUGGAUGAGAGAUCACUGUGAUAUUCUAGUCAUCUGACAUUGAUUCUCGAUCGAUGGUCACUCUUGCUUCCAUAUGCAUGAGUACCCUUUCUUCUUUUGAAGACUUGAAGUUAAACACGCACAAAUCGUUUACUGAUUAUUUGAUAAUUAGUACCAUCACUACCAUCACAUCUGUUAUCUCCAAUAGAUUGAUUGAUGAUACGGUUUUUAAUGUAAUAAGUUUUUGGACAAAAUAAUUUAUAUGGGUAAUUUUCAUAAUUUUUUACGGUUAAUAACUUUACAGUGAAUGCAGAUGCAUGGACAUAUACACUGAUGCAUGAAAAUUUUUCUUUUUUCUCUUUUUUUUGUGUGUAAGAGAUUGAGAGGAGUAACAAGUAACAGUACGUAUCUCUCUAUCACUCUUUCAUUAAUUGAUUAAAGAAGAUCGAAGAGGAAAGACAGGAUGAAGGAGACAAAAAAGCAAUAACUCCAACAAGAAAUUAAGACUAACAAAAAGGAACUUGAGAAGGAAGACAUCUCAUAUUCUCACCACACCAAAAGAAAAUUGACCAAAAUUUGCCAAAGAUUUGGUAACAACAAUGCUUGAAUUGUUUGAUCGAUCAAGCUGGUGCUAACUAGCCCUGCUCCUCAUACGUUAUAUAAAUCCUUGAUACCUUGAACAUCAUCCCCAUGCCAACCUCGAGUUACUCCCGAGGGAAGAAUCGGUUCCAUGAUUGCCCCCUCCACUGAGCUAUGUCCCAGUCCAAGAAGGUGCCCUAUUUCAUGCAGAGCCACCGUCUCCAUGUCAACAGCACCUGGUUUAGCACCAGCAGACCAUGUCUCAUCUGCGUCGUAGUGGAAUAUUCCAUGCAACGAGCUAACAGCAUGGGCCAGCACUCCGCCAGGUCCAUCAAAUGCAUGCCCGUCUCCAUGAUCACCCUUCUCAAAACUAAUUUUCAGAUCCGCAUUUUCGUAACUUUGGGUGAGGCUGAACGUGAAGUGAGUGCUCGCAGCCCACGUUGCGAAUGCCCGUGCAACAGAGCCUGUGGCUUCGAUCAGAUGGAGUGUUGGGAGGAAAACCGUAAGUGAGAUUAUAUUUAGACCACUUGGGAUUUCCUUCAAAAAAUGAGUAGUGAGCAGUGGUAUGAACUGAACCUGUAAAACAAUAUUGAGUACUUAAAUCGUUAAACAGAAUGUUCAGGUGUUAAUUCCAAAGAAUUAAUUAUUGUAUGGUUUAAAUUUUGAUGUUGAAAUUCAAUAGCAUAAGGAGAAAUUAAUUAAUUGCAUGUUGUAGAUGCAUGUGCAUAUAAAUUAUUGUAGGACAACGUAAGAAAGUUGGAAGCUAGGACAACGUAAUAAGAUGAAAUAACUCGAUACCAUGGUGGUGCCUUUUCUUGGCUGAUCGCAUCGACGAGGUGCCAUUGAUGAUGUCCGGCACGCCACAACGAGGCGUCAUCAUCUUCAACACUGUUUUGCCAUCCAGUGUUCCGGUGGACUUGAGAUGGUAAUUGAUCUGGUAAGUCUUGACGGCUUCCGCCAAACGGUCGUCGAAAUCGUCGUCGUCCAAAUGACACUGGUUGGUUUUGUAGUUCAAGUAACCGUACUUUUCAAGGUAUUUUUUGAGAUCAUUGAUACCCUUGACCUUUUCACCUUUGUGGCAACCUUUGAGAUGCUCAAGGAACUCAAAUGGGGAAGAGCUCUUGUUGUGAGGAUGAGAAGCAGUUGCAUGAGAGAGGAUAGUAAGAAGGGCCAAGAGAAGUGUGAUAGUGAAGAGAGAAAGAUUAGAUUCUGAUGCCAUUGCUCCUUUUAGCUAGCUAGCUAGCUUGUAUUGUUGCAAAAGCGUCUUAUUUGUAUUGUUAUUUAUAGGCUUUGUAACACAGAAGAACGACGGUGAAACAACGAUAAUCAUGGCUAUAUUUUCCAUUUUCCGGUCCUUCCUUAAUAAUAUAAGGAAGGUCCGCGCCGACUCAUGAGGUUCGAGAUGAUCAACUGGGAGAGAGCACAGUAGAAGAACAUUCAUUCAAUAAUGGGGAAUAUAUAGGCUAGUUCUUGACUCGGAGAGAACGUUAAUUAGUAAUGGUCAUCUGAUCAAGGUCACCAUUUGCUAGAACAAGUCUUGCAGUUUGGCUGCUUGCUCCGUAAAUUAAUCAAUCAAUUAAGGAGUGACUGGUGGACUACAUGUAUAAUUACGAAGACCUGAUUAAAGUUCAAACUUGCCAACUUCAUCUUAUCUAAUCAUAAAGCGCAUUACUUAGAAAGCUUCUCUCUCUCAGCCAAACCCUAGGCGGUGGCUGUUUCUCUCCAUCAAAGUGAAUGAGAUGGCCAAAGAGGACCAUGUAUCUAGUGAUAGCUUGCCCAAUUGAAGUUUUGGAGGCGUUGGGGUGGUUUCGAUGGCCAUAGCGUUUGGUGGCUUUGCCGGAUGAGGCGUCGGUGGCUUGAUGGCAUGGUAGGACUUAUAUGCUUGCCGGGUAAAAUAGAUCGCAAGUGAUUAAUUAAUUAAGGGUGCGUCUAUUGCCACCCCACUGUCCACUUUGCUCACCCCACAAUCUGGUUGAUUUAUUAAAAGACCAAAUUAUCCUAAUAUAGAAUUACAAUAAAGAACAAUAUGUUGAUACAAUUAUAAAUCCUUUUUCUUUCUUUUUUAUCGUUUUGUUUUCUUAGUACGUGCUUGAAACUGAAUUUUUUCAUAAAACCCUAAUAAUUUUAAUUUUUCUAUGUAGAAUUUAUGGUCUUCAAUCAUUUCUAUGGAAUCUGAAAACACCUUACAACCAGAAGACGAGGUAAACUGUUUUCUUUCUCUUGUAUUUGUUUUUUUUUCUCUUGUUUUCUUGUUGAUGCUUCAGCAUAUAUGAAGCACUGCAUAUAUACGAUGCUUCGACACUCAGGUAAAGUCUAUAUAUGGAUUCUUUAUCGCAGUUGUAUGACAUGGAGUGUUCAAUGGCAUGUAUUAAGAAGCAAUCUUAUUAAUUCCAAGUUCUUGUGCUUCUCCUUAUUAUCCCUGAACCGAAACACAACUAUGAGAUGUACAACAUAUUUCUACAUACUUUUGAUGAGGAAGAUAAGCUAGGAUUUUUUAUUAUAUAAAAAAAUGAUAUAAGAAAUCAAAAAACAAUAUAUGUAGGGUGAAGAAAGUAGAACUGAGAAAAUGGUUAUUUUAGGUAUUGUAAGUGGGUAAACAAAGUAGACUUACAAUCAAAAAUAUAUAAGUGGGGUGUAAAGAGAAUUUGGGGUGAGCAAAAUGGAUUGUGGGGUGGCAAUAGACGCACCUUAAUUAACUUGUAAUUUCAGUUUAAUUAUUUGUAAAAUAAGUGUAUAAUAUACAUAUCUGUAACAUCUCCAACGUGUUAACUUUCUACAUCAAUUAUCCAUAAAAAGCUAGCGAUCUAAUGACGUCUGUUUGUUGUAAUUAAUUGUCGUGAUGAGAUUAAUAUAUCAUAUAAUAACUCAUUUUAUGGUUAUAUACAUGCAUAAUUCUCUUUUUUCUUUCUUGCUGAAGGAACGAGGUGUAUAUGAGAGAUGAGUUAACAGUCUCCCUAUCACUCUGUUCUUUUCUAUAUUGAAGAAGAAGAAGAAAUAGGAGGGGAGUACGUCCAAAACCAAUACCUCCACAAAAUAAAAAAGAGUAACAAACACGAACUUGAGGAGAAAAUAAAAUGCUGCAAAACGAACAGAAGCACAUCUUGAUGCCCACAUGCACUAACUAGAUCAGAAGUUGUACCACAAUUUGCCAAAACAUUUGGCUGUUCAUGGAUACAAAAACUCUCUUCAUUAAUUAUUUCAAAUAUGAAAAAUCUCAAUACAGGGUAUUCUCAGGUACCUUAUUUAAUUAAUAGAGUGGUACAACAACAAAACUUCGAAUGGUCUGGUCGACCUGGUACGUGCUAGCACCGCUACUCAUACGUUAUAUAAAGCCUUGAUACCUUGAACAUCGUCCCCAUGCAAACCUCGAGUCUCUCCCGUGGGAAGAGUCGGUUCCAUGAUAGCUCCCUUCACUGAGCUAUGUCCCAGUCCGAGAAGGUGCCCUAUCUCAUGCAAAGCCACCGUCUCCAAGUCAGUAGCACCUGGUACAGCACCCACAGACCAAGUCUCAUCUGCGUCGUAGUGGAAUAUUCCGUGCGUCGGGCUAAAAGCAUGGGCCAGCGUUCCGCCAGGUCCAUCAAAUGCAGCCCCGUCUCCAUGAUUACCCCUUUGAAAACCGAUCUUCAAAUCCGCAUUCUCGUAACUUUGUGCCUGGCUGAAUGUAAAGUGAGUGUUCCCCUCCCAUGUUGCGAAAGCCCGCGCCACCGCGCCUGUGGCUUCAGAUGGAGUGUUGGGAAGAAAACCGUAAGUGAGAUGAUACUUAGAGGAAGGCCAUUUUGGAUUUCCUUGGAAAAACGAGUAGUGAGCAGUAGUAUGAAGUGAACCUGUAAAACAAUAUCGAGCUUAAGUCGUUAGACGGUUAAUUUGUUCAAGUUUUGAUCCAAGAGAAUUACGUACUGUAUGUUUUAAAGUUUGAUUUUGAGACUCAAUUAAUUAAUGUUUUUGAUGCAUGUACAUAUAAUUUUGGGUAUGUUAUACAAUUAUUGGACAACGUAAGAAAAUCAGAGGCACAAGUUAGAGGGUCUAAUAAGAUGAAGUAGCUCGAUAUUACGUACCGUGGUGGUGCCUUUUCUUGGCUGAUCGCAUGGACGAGGUGCCAUUGAUGAUAUCUGCCACGCCACAACGAGGCGUUGUCAUCUUCGACACUGUUUUGCUGUCCAAUGUUCCGGUGGACUUGAGGUGGUAAUUGAUCUGGUAGGUCUUGACAGCUUCCUCCAAAAGAUCGUCGAAUUCAUCGUCGUCUGAAUGACUGUGGUUCUUGUAGUUCAAGUACCCGUAUUUUUCAAGGUACUUUUUGAGGUCAUUGAUGCCCUUGACCUUAUCACCUUUGUGGCAACCCUUGAGAUGUUCAAGGAACUCAACUGGGGAAGAGCUCUUGUUGUGGGGAUGAGAAGCAGUUGCAUAACAGAGGAGCGUAAGAAGGACGAGGAGGAGAGUUAUAGUGAAGAGUGACAGAUUAGACUUGGAUGCCAUGGCUCCUAUUAGCUAGCUAGUUAUGUUGCAAAACCCUCAUGUUUGUAUCUUUAUUUAUAGGCUUGUAAUAGAAGUAACGACGGUGACCCAGUGAUCAUCGCUACAUUUUCCAUAUUGCGGUUUUCCUUAACAAUAUAAGAUGUGACUUUGACUGGUAUUACAGUAUUACUAGCUAGGUCGGUCCUGAGGUUCGAGAUGAUCAAUUGGGAGUAGAGGAGAAGGUGCUCCUAACUCGGAGGAUACGUUAGAUUUCGAUGCCAUUGUGAUUUAGGAUGGCAUGUGUUGCAACCCCUCGUAUUUUGGUUGCAAUGUAUAGGGUUGAUUACAAUAUAAUCUCUUGUGAACGUGAAAUGAUUAGGUCUUGAUGUUUGAGAUGAAUUGGAAGAAAGUACCAAAAGCAAGAACACAAAUAAUAGAUAACUCCUAACGGGGAGAAGACGUUGGGUUUAGUCGUCAUUCUAAGGGAGACUCUUGCAUGCAUAUAUGUACAACUUGGGUGACUGAGACUGACUCUCUAAAAUUGAAUCAAUUAAUAGUCGACGUCGUUGCCUCGUCGGACAAGUUAAUGAGUUGUGCUGAGGAACUAAUGAAGGAGCUAUCAUACAAAAAAUUAGUUGUAAUGGACAAUUAUAAUAUUCCCAGAAACAGAAAGGCAGAUGGAGCUCAUCAACAAGUCUCUGUUCAAUUGGGGCCUAGCUACUGUGGAAAUUUUCUGUUCUAUAAUUUUAGAGGAUGUUCAGUCAUCGCCGGCCAGACGUAGACAGCUUUGUCCGCUACUCCAGUAGGUUGAUUGAGUACAUCAACUGGAACACAUCGUAUAUAUGCAUGUACUACGUACGUAGUCGCGCUCAGUUAGUCAGUUACUUGUGCUUACUGGAUCCUUAGGUUAAGUUCGCUGGCUACGAUGCAUGGGCGGAGCCAUUUCGCACCCCUCAACUUUCUUGGUGAUGUGUGAUUUCCAACUAAGAGGUUAUUGGUUUUCAUAGAGUUUCUAGUUAAUUACGAUUGAUUUCACCCCUAAAAUAUUUGGUAAUUACUUAUGGUGACCAAGGGAAGCAAAGAAUUUGCAUUUAUUUCUUUCCUAAUUGGUUAAAAUAUAGCAUUAUUCAUGACUAAUAUUAGUUAUCUUAAAACAAUGAAGCUUUAAGUUUGGUAUAUGAUUCAAUUAAAUUACUCAAUUAUCUCUUUGAAUAAGCGUAAAAAGGAAAAUUUAGUUAAAAAAAACUAGUAAUGAAGAUAUGUCGAUUGAAUCGCUUGUACGUCUUCUAAAAUGGGCGGGGAAAUGAUUAUCGAUAUAUAUCUUAAUGUACACUGAAAAUUAUACUUGAUUUAAUAUAUCAAUAAAGUUUUGUUUUUCUUUUUACUGUAUAUUAGCCGACCCCCUAAACGUAAAUUUCUAGCUCCGCCCCUGCUACGAUGUAAUGUAAUAAUGACUAGUGAUGAGCAAGCUGUAUGUAGGCCAAUUAUAACUUAAAUAUCUGAUAACUCAAGGCUAGCUCAAGGAAUGAAACAAGAUCACCUAAACUCCAAGCAUGUCUAAAACGUACAUCGUUCGUGUAUGCGUAUGUGUUUCUUUUCGGGGGCUUUGAUAUAUUUUCCUGCUGGCAUGGAUUCAUGUCUGAAUAAUCUACUCAGUCUACUUCCCAUUUUCUUUUCUAUGAUUAAUUAACGUGGGUUGCUAAAAUUCAAGUCCAAAUUUUUAGUUGGUAAGCAGAAAUAUCAGUGAACAUACAUCCAUAGCAGGAAACCUGCAACUGAGCUCAUCAAACAGUGACAAAAUGAUCUGCUCAUACGCAAUCUUUAAAAUUAUACAACCCGAUGGCAGUUGACACCCUAGCUAUUUGAAAUUUUAGAACUGUAAUCUGUUUAGAGCGUCUAACAUUCAUCCAAUUUAUUACAUAUAGGAUCAUCUACGAAGAUUAGAGAAUAUAUAUCUAGCUACUCAUCAAUCAUCAUGAAUCUUUAAUCCAUACAACAACAAUGUCAAUGCAGCUCCAUAGUAACAUGAGGUCGUCAAAGUCUUGAUGCCUUCCUCCACGAAAUCAUCUAACUCAUCGGUAUUGGAGUCAUUGUGGAUCGGGUAUUUCAACUCCAAGUAACCAAAUUUUUCAAAGAAUUUUUGGAGUGCACUAAUGGUUUUGACCUCACCGUUGUGACGGGAUGAUGUUUCGUUGCUAGUUUCUUCUGCAUUUGUACGAGAAGAGAGACAAGAGGGUGAGAGAGAGCAGAGCUUGCAUGAAGAGAGAAGUGAGAUUAUAUUUUGAAGCCAUUGUGGUUUAUGAUGGAGUGUGUCGUUGUUGUUGGGAAAAUGGAUACAAAUUUGCCGAUCACUUUUAUUUGCCCACCAAAGUGUCAACUCUCUUAGCCUAUUGACACAUAUCUAUUUUAUUAUCAAAAAUAAAAGUAAAUUAUUUCAUGUGUCAAUAAGCUAAGAGAGUGGGCACUUUGGUGGACAAAUAAAAGUGAUCAGCAAAUUUAUAUAUGUUGCAUGCGCAAAAGCCUCAUAUUUUUAUUUCAUUUUAUAAGAAAGAACUACAAAUAGUAUAUAACUUCUACCAUACGUUAGGAUUUAAUUUAACGCGGUAGUCUUUCUAAAGGACAGUUUGUAGGAAGGCUAGUUUUGCAUAAAUUCAUAUGAGCGUAUAGUUUGGGUCUCCAACUUUCUUAACCGAGCAGGUGAAGCCAUUAAGAUAGAGGUAAGUUCUGGUUUUGGGAGCCUAACACUGAUUACCUGGUGAAAGGAUGAACUGGUAAUUGGUUUCAGCUCUAUCAAAAAUUCGAAAUAGAUUUGCAUCAUUUUAGUCUUCUUUUCUGAUGUUUAAGCUGGAAGGAAUGGUGACUGCUACUCUUAGAAAUAUCUGAAUGAACACACAGACACAACUCUACAUGUUCAAGUAUUCAAAAUGGUAUGUAGCAGUAAUGUACUAAUUCAUUUGAUACAGUCAAGGUAACUCCAUGUUCCUUGGUUAGCCAAUUGGCCAUUGUUGCACAAUGUACAUCACAAGGCAUAGCAAUUUGGUGACAGGUUCAUGCUGAGAAACAUGGCUAUUGUCCUCAAAUCCAUAAUUUGAAGCAAUGGAACAAAAUCAAGCAAGCAAUAGAAGCUAGUUUCAUCUAAACUAGUGAAAUGAGGAAUUAGGCAAACUUCUGUAGCUAAAACAGAAAGUCAAUAUUUACCCUGCUCCUAUAUACAUUCCCUCUUCCAGCUUAAACACCAACUAUAUAAGUAGAAUUUCAAUUGUCCUCUUUAUGAUAUUUGGGAUGGGAGAGGUGCACAAAGAUAGAUUUACGCACCAAUAUUUCAUACUCCAGUGCAGAGGAAGAAGUAAGUUAGUCCUAACAUGUCAGUCGACCUGAGAAUCUACACAGAAGCGACAGAACUAUAGCAACCAAAUUGCAAACACAGAACAACACACUUCCAAUUACUUCAUCACAAACAUUAUCAAACAGUAACAACAUUUGAUCAUCUUAUCCAUAUAUUGUAUAUAACCCAAUGGCAGUUGACACACUAUAAAGUUGUUUAAAAUCAAACACUCAAGAAUUAUAACAACUGUGCAAAGUGUCAACAUUCAUCCAAAUCACACUACAUAAGCUCAUCUAUAAAAUAUAUCUAGCUACUCAUUAUCAAUGUUCAACCCAUACAACAACAAUGGGAAUGCAUGCACAACUGAUGUAUCACACUGAACUAAGCUGAAAACCAGAACACCCCAACUCACUUGUAUGAAAUACAUGGAACAAGAACGAAAAACAAAAUGUGAGAGUUUUACAUUCACUACAUCAAAACUGGCGAGAUUUUACCUCAUGUAUGCGCACCAUUACCAUUCACAUCCAAUUCCACUUCCCCGCCAGCCUUGUUCCUAACCACUUUACCCUCUUCUCUAACCUCCUCCUCCUCCUCAUCAGAAUCCAAAGUAAACUGCCCCUGACUAUCAAUCUGAUGCUGCAUUUCCGCCCCAAGCGGCUUAUACCUCGAAAUAUCACCCCCACCACCACCACCUCCUGUCUUCCUCACCACAACCGAAUACACCCCAACAACCAAAACCACAAUCAGAGCCAAAUGGCAGUUAAACUGCAGCGUCGCGAUAGCUCUCGCCCUAUGAUACUCCGGAUGGCCCUUACACUUGACCGUAUAAUUCCCCCUGCUCUUCUCCUUCAACACGCACCCGUGCGCCAUCCAACGCGUGUAAAUCGAAAGCCCCAUUUGAAAGAACCACAGCCCCUGCAGCACCAGCCCCACUCCUCGAACCAAGUUGGGGAUUACCGAACUAGAGUUGUUGCGCAAUUGAAGAAGCGUGCCGAACAAGCAGACGAAGAUCGGCACCAGCAGCAUGUCGAAGUAGCGGUUCUCGAUUCCGACGGUGUCUUUUCUCCGGAGAUAAAAGUACAUGAACUCUUCGACGAACGCGAAAAGGCCGAUCAGGUUGAGGAGGGAGGAAGGGAAGGAGGAGUUGUUGAGGGUGAGGAGGCCGGUGAGGGAGUAGAGGAGGAAGAGGGCGGCGAUCGCGGCGACCUGGAGCUGCUGGGCCGACCCGACCCGGUCGUGGGAGUUGACGGCGUCGAAGAAGGAGAUGAGGGAGUUGAGGAUGAAGAGGAAGGAGAGGAGGGAAGCGGAGAGGAAGUAGAUGAAGGAGGAUCUGGACGGCGUCGUUUGGGGUUUGGAUUGGGGGAGAUUGGAGGGUGGAGAUGAGGUGGUGGUGGAAGCGAUGGCUUCGAAUGUGCCCAUGAGGAUGAGGCCGAAGCCUGCGGCAGCGAAGGUGAGGAAUCCCAUGGCUUGGUUCCUUCCUUUCUCGGGUCAGCAGACUUUGAUAUCUGAGACGAUCGGGGUCUUGUGGCGCCUUGUUGUGAAGGGUGCGUGUCAUGGUGGACUUUUUCUUUUUGUUUUUGUCAGCGGAAGCAAUGUAUUUAGAUGGUCCAAAAAAGACGACUUAAUACAACCUAACAUAGUGGACUAUAACUCCAGCGUUAUUCGAGACGGUCUGUUACAUGCGUUGUGCAAUGACAUCCGGCGAGUCUAAGUUAGGGUGAUUCUAAGUUUAUUAUUGACCUUAUUAAUAAUAGGUCCCCCUCUCCGUGGAGACUCCUUACUCUUCUUAGUGAUGUUGGCUGGAUGGCUUCUAAGUUUGAAGAGAUCACCUUUAAGUAUGUCCCUUGGGAAGUAAAUUUUGUGGCUGAUGCAAUGGCUAGCUUGGGGCAUCAGGUCCCAUAUCCAACUCUCUCGAAUCGCAAGCUCCCACUCUCUGCGUUUAAUGCUUUUAAUUUUGAUCGUUUUAAUAUAAGCUGUUGUAGAGGUUUCUCUUUGUAAUUUCCUUUUUCUCAUAAAAAAAAACAUAGUGGACUGUUGAGUAUUUUUUAUUUGUGAUGAGAAAAAUGUAAGAGUAUGAGGAGGAUGGUUCUGUGAAAACGGGAGCGGUCUGGUGUAGUAGGCUGCCUUCAGAUGGAUCCGAUCAUGGACGGGCACGUCGGGUUGGUUCGAUUUAGCGGUUAAUACAAAGCAAAACCACGACUAUCUUUCGUUUCUAGCUUAUUUGAAUGAAAUGAUGUUGCAUACACCAAAAGAGAAAAACAAUGAAACCAAACUAGAGAAACAGAAACAAAAUGCCUUAGCUUCAACACUUUCUGUGAUAAAAUUAGCUUCUAUGUGUAUAUGUUGAAAGAUGCAAACUUGAACAUAAGAAACAAAAAGCUACAAAAUAUUUGAACAAGUGACUUCAAACACUAUGAUAUAAUGUAAUAAAACGGGUGAGAGCUCGGUUAAAGUUUCGCCUAAAUAGACUAUGAGGUCUUAACCUCACCAACCUUUUGGAUUAGAUCCGAUACUUCUUAACUAUAUAAUACUAUGAUGACACAUGUAGUUAUUCGAAAUGUAUGACACAUGCAUUAUGUCGAAAUAAGCAUAUGAUCUAUGUACAUAACAUAUACAUAAUCAUCAUGUGUUUACAUAUACAAACAUGCAUGAACGUAAAAUCUAUAGAAUUUAUAAACUAAUGACUUAUUUGUAAAUAACCUCGAGUUCAAUUACUUAGGAGGGGAUAGUAGAUAUAUUAUUGAUUUCAUAUGAUACUAUACGACUCAUAUGGAGGAUAUCUUCUUGUAUCAACAAUUCAUUCAACUUCAUUAUCCACGUUUCAUUGGGUUCUUCUAUCUCAAGCAAGUACCUGUCACCAGUAAACUUCACUCAUCUUAUCAGUUAUGGUCUUGACUUUGUGAUCUUGACAAUUCAUGUGAAACAUCUCUAACAAGACGAAAUCAUUGAAAUGAAAAAGAAAAUAUAGAAGGGGAGAGAAAAAUGUGGGCUGGAUAAGAUAAAGGCAUUAUCCGGAUAGGCCCAAACCGAUACAGCGGACCCACCUCCUUGCUAUCUUCUACAUUUCUAUGUUCUAUGAUUCGCUACACACAACCAUAUAGUCACCUUGCUCUAGCAAAUUAGAAAUGAUCAAAAUUGCCUCUUAUUGGUUCAGCUCUAGCUGUAGAAACAACUCCCACUAGACCGCGUUGCAGAGGAUACAACCUCCCCGUGAACUUUCUUGUGUAUAAAUACUUGGAUUCUGGUCCGGUACUGUACAAACUCGUCUCCUUUAUUUCUGUUCACGAAGACCAAGAUCAAAACCAGAGAGUCAUGAAGAUUACAGCGCUUGUUCAUUUGGUUUCUGUAAUCUACGUGGUUUCUGUGUUGCUGGGUAUGCAUGAAGCUGUACACGGGAGGCUUCUAUCAGCGAAGGAUAAACCCAGCCCCAAAAAUGCUGCUGCUACUGCUCGUUGGCUUGUCUCUCAGAACUCCUGGGGUGUCUUGAAGUAAUUUUACUCUCUAUCUCUAUCUCUGUGCUUCUAUCUUAUUGUUACAGUAAUAAUUGAUCAGGGCACCUCAGCUUUCUUAGAGUAACUGGUUUUUUCUGAGGCUGCUGAUUGAGGAGGAGGAAUUAAUUUAUUGAAAUUUUUAUUGGCUAUUUGAUUAGUUAGAGAUUCCAUUUUGUAUGGUAAUGAAAUCGGGUGUUUAGGUACAUAGAUUUUUUUUUGAUUGACUUAGUUGGAACAAGAUGGUUGCUAUAAAUCAGGUUGAAGAAAUAAAGACAGGAACUUUACUGUUGUUGAAAUUUUUCAGGAUGUCAUCCUAUCAGUAAGAUCUGAAAAGAUUAUUCAUUUUGGCUGAAAAAAAGAAGAAGUGUGAUAUGGAAAGUGAAACUGUCUGCUGCUUUCCAAGCUUGUAAAGAUUUUGACUUGUGUUUGCUUAUGUAUUAUCUUUGUGUUUGGAAGCAUGGAUUUGAAAUUUGAAUCUUACUUCUGGUUUCUGUGUUUGCAGUACCAUCUCAGGUGAAUUGGGAGGAGCACCCUUUGGGUAAGAUUUUAUCUUUUAUAAUUUUGUGACUAUUGUCUAUGUUAUCCUAGUCCUCAUCGAUGAUGUGUAUGUGUUUCAGCUUGGCUCUUUUAGAUAAUAUUACUAGUUUUGGUGUCUUUUUUGUCACACAUUAAGUUCAAGUAUAGCUCAUAACUGAAUAGUAUUAGAACUGGAUUGAGCCCGAACCCUUCUUUCUUUGCGCUCCUUGAAAGAAAAUAUUGUCCAAAAAAUUCAGAUCACCAUUGACAAAUGACAAGACAGUGUCUGUGUGUGUUACACAUAUCGUUCUCUGAUUAACAGCUUCAUUCCUAUGCCUUGCUGGACAAUUGUUUUCUAUUUGCCUCAGAAUCUUGUAUCACUUGUUUAUUUGUUACUGCAACUCCUAUGAUGUUUCUGCAUCAAAUUGAUCAUCAAAUACAAUGCAGGAAUGUGGUUUCAUUUAGCGAUGGGGAACCUGGAAAAGGCAGCGGUAUCCCAUACUUCUACUUGACAACUCUUGAUCCGACUGCAAGAAAUGCAGGGAAAGACCAAAGGGCUUCAUUGACAAUUAGUGAGCAUCCUAUUGGAACCUGUGGCAAAGUUGACCCUGAGAAUCCCACCUGUGCAAAGAUUACACUUACAGGAAAGGUGUGUAGCAACUUUGAGUUGAUUCAUUACAUGCUAAAAUAACAGAUAUGUAAAAAGAGGUAUUACGCUAAGUUUACUGACCCAGAGUUUCUGAUUUUAGUUGAGGUAUGCCAAUGGAAGUCCCAAAGAAAAAGAAAUUGCUAAAAAGGCCUUGUUCUCAAAGCAUCCAGAGAUGAAAUGUAAGUACACACAAUAUGGGGUAGAAACACAAUAUUACAUCUUUUGUGUCUAUAACCACCUUCUCACCAUUUCAUUUGUUGCUCAUGAACUAUAUUGAUCUUUAUUAUUGUUGGAUGAUUAACAGACUGGCCCAAGGGUCACAACUUCCAGUUCUUCAAAUUAGACAUCGAGAAUAUCUUUUUGAUUGAUUGGUUUGGGGGUCCAAAACCUCUCACAGUGGACCAAUACCUUCAAGCCAAAUUGUAAGUGUCAAGAGGACAAAAUAGAGAAGAUAAUAUACAGUAGAACCAAAAACAUGAAUGUAAUCUGAUGAAUAAAUGAAGAAAUAAUACGGUUUAGUGUCUCAACUUUAAAGUGUUUAUCUUUAAUUUCCUUUUCUUAUCCUACUUCCUGAAAUUGAUUUUGGUCCUCUACAGGACAGAACAUGCCUUCAACCUGUGAUUGAUCAUCCGGCUGUGGUUCAGCUUGAAUUCGAAUUGUUAUGAGUUGGAUCAUUUGGAUUGUGUACAGUGAACCUGUGUAAAUGAAAAGAAACAAAUGUAUAUAAUCAUGUAUUUCUAUGAAUUGUCACAGAAAUCUGCUAUCCUAUAAUUUGAUAAAAUAACAGGAGGGAACAUUAUUUGUACAAGGGAGUUCAAUUUUCUGUGUUGUAAGCUGAAAAAAAGUGAUACAGUGGAAAUUGGCAAGCUCUUCAUUUGUGUUUGAUUCAUAUAUUCCACCUUAUAGAGAUUUUCUCAUGUAAGGACAUCCUUAUUUAUUCUUAUGAUGCGGAUUUUCACUUUAGUCUUUAGGUACUAAUGUGUAGAUCAUCUAUACAAAUUUUCAGUCAAUUUGAUAAUCAUUAAAACACUCAAACUCGAUUAAACCAAUAGACAAACUGAAUUCUGUUAAACUUGAGCCGUUCAUGUUUAAAACAGGAAAAUACAAUUUUGAGGGCCUUAACAAUUAUUAAAUUAGAAAUCUGCACCAUAUGAAUAAAUAAAGACAUCCUUAGUAGACACAAGACAAAGUGAAUAUUCAAGAACAAACAUCCUAUGUGGAAUCAGAAUUCCUUAUUCGACUAGCAUUACACCAAGACACACACAAAGUGAAUAUUCUAGAACAACAUUCUAUUAUCAUAAAUAUUUUUCACAAAUUUAUGUUCAAAUCAACGACAUUCUACUAUCAGAAGAGACCCAAGCCCCAACAUAACGUCUGUGUCACUCAUGUUCGAAUCAUAGACAUUCUAUUAUUACUAGAGCCCCAACAUGACCCAAUAUAACGUUCGUGUCACGUCCGCGCCACGCUGUAUGUUUCCGCUAGACCAACCCAACUAGAAUUCAUUGAAGUUGAUUAUGAGCUUCAUUUCAUUUUAUUUUGUUAGAAAUUCUUGCGUGCAUGACGUGUAUUUACACGACGCAAUUUUAACCGUUUAUAACAAUUCAUAUGUUUGACCACCAUAUUUCUAUAUUAUUUCAUCUAAUUCUGACCAUCCAUGUAUGUAUGUGAACUCAUGUGUGACAAUUCCACCCAGAAGGUUCCUUAUUUUAUACAUAUAUAUAUAUAUAUAUAUAUAUAUAUAUAUAUAUGAUGAUAUAUGAAGAUAUCACGAGCGAGUCACGUGAGUAAGGAUAGAGAUAGAUAGUCGUUACUGGAUUCGUUAACCAUAUCACCCGCCUGAACUUGAAGUCUUCACUCUUCACAAUCACCAACGAUGCACCUCUUCAUCUUCGUCUUCAAAUUCUAAGCUCCCCCUAAAAAUGUUGCACCCCCUAACUCACCUUCCCUCCUCUCUCCCGCCAAAAACCCUAACCGACCUCCACUCCUUCUCCCCCUUCUUCUCCUUCCCCAAACCCCCCAAACCCUCCCAAUUCACCAUCCGGAGCUCCGCCGCCGACUCCAAAACCCUCGCCGCCAAUUCCGCCAUCCAACGAAUCGCGGAGAAGCUCCGCAGCCUCGGGUUCACCGAAGACAACAAUAAACCCGACUCCAAACCCGGCCCAAGCUCCGCCGGCGAAAUCUUCGUCCCUCUGCCGGAGACUCUCCCCAAGUACCGCGUCGGCCACACUAUCGACCCGAGCUGGAGCACGCCGGAGAAGCCGGUCCCGGCGCCGGGGACCGGGAGGGCGAUUUCGAGGUUUCAUGAGAUGAGGAGGGAGCUGAAGAGGCUGGAGGAGGUGGAGGAGAUGGAGAGGAAGAAGGAGGGGAAGAAGAAGGAGGAGAAGGUGCCAACGUUGGCGGAGAUGAGCUUGUCUACGGCGGAGCUGAGGCGGUUGAGGACGGUUGGGAUUGAGCUGAAGAAGAAGGUGAGAGUUGGGAAGGCUGGGAUUACUGAGGGGAUUGUGAAUGGGAUUCAUGAGAAUUGGCGGCGGUCGGAGGUUGUGAAGCUUGUUUGUGAGGAUUUGUGUAGGUUGAACAUGAAGAGGACUCAUGACUUGUUGGAGGUAAGAAUCCGUUUUCGCUAUUUGAGUUGUACAUGACUUUUCGAUAUGGGGAUUGUUUGUUUGCAAUGUGUUUUUACUUGUUGCAGAUUUGAAUUAUAUCGGAAAUGUGAUAUAGUGUGAUUGUUUAUAUAACGGAGUUAGUUAAUUUUAGUUUUUGUUGGUGACAUUAUCAGAGGAAAACUGGAGGGUUGGUUGUUUGGAGGUCAGGAGCGAAGAUAAUUUUGUAUAGGGGGGUGAACUAUAAGUAUCCUUACUUUUUAAAGGGUAAAAAGCGUGAAGAUUCGACAAGUGAUGAUUCUGGUGAUGCGGUAGUUAAUGCUGGAGGAACCGAUGAAGCAAACUCUGUGACAGGACCAAGUCCAACUGAUGAAAAAACUCAGCCAGCCUUAAUACAAGGGGUUGGUUUGGCAAAUAGGUUUCGGUUUCAGCUUCCAGGCGAGGCAGAACUUGCUGAAGAAGCUGACCGCAUGUUAGAGGGACUUGGUCCGCGGUUUAAUGAUUGGUGGGGAUAUGAACCUCUACCGGUUGAUGGGGACCUUCUACCAGCUGUUGUACCUGGAUACAGGAAGCCUUUCCGACUUCUUCCGUAUGGCUUGCAACCUAAGCUAACAGAUGAUGAAAUGACCACAAUAAGGAGACUUGCCCGACCCUUGCCAACUCAUUUUGCAUUAGGUUAGUUUGGAUUAUGAUGUCGCUACUCUUACUCUCUUCAGCCAACAUUUGUGUUUACUAGCUUUUCUCCCUAUACAGGAAGAAACAGAAAGCUUCAAGGGUUGGCUACGUCCAUUGUCAAACUCUGGGAAAAAUGUGAGAUUGCCAAAGUAGCUGUUAAAAGAGGGGUUCAGAACACUAAUUGCGAGCUGAUGGCUGAAGAGUUGAAGGUGUGAAUAUUUCUUCAAUGUAUCUAUAUUCUAUUUAUUGGAACCAGAACGCAUUAUGGCUGUUGCUUAACUUAGAACAUGUUCUUUGGCAGAGGCUGACUGGAGGAACUCUGAUUGCUCGGGACAAGGAAUUUAUUGUUUUAUACAGGGGAAAGGAUUUUCUGCCUCCUGCAGUUUCCUCUGCCAUAGAAGAGCGGAGGAAGGCUGUAAUGUAUGCAGAUAAUCGGAGUAGGAAGUUGAGGAUUUCUGCCACAACGGCACAGGAUCAUGAAUCCAGGACUGAACUGGAAACCAAAGAUGAUCUGACCGGUGGUCUUCCAUCUGAAAAAAGAAAGCUAAAAUCUACUGAGGCAGCUGCCAGUAGGGCCAGCAUUAAAUUGUCCAUGGUAUGACUUUCUGUGAUGCUACAUUUACAACACUUUUGGUUCAGCUUUUUUGUCUUACAAAUGGCACAUAUGCAAUGAACAGGCUUUAGAAAAGAGGGAAAAAGCAGAGAAACUUCUAGCGGAGCUGGAGAAAGCAGAGAGUCCCCAGCAACCUGAAAUAGAUAAAGAAGGUAUAACUGAAGAGGAAAGAUAUAUGCUAAGGAAGGUUGGCUUGAAAAUGAAGCCUUUCCUACUAAUGGGUGAGUUAUACUAUCUUUUUUCUUGGACUCAGCAGCUGUUCUAUCAUUGAUUCCUAUUAUAGGACUGAAUCAUAGGCCAUAUUAAAAAUCCAUCAAACUAUGCGGCUCCUUCAGCAUGAUUGCCAAGAAAGAUUAAUAAAGUCUCUUAAAAUGUUCAGGUCGACGAGGAGUAUUUGAUGGGACAAUUGAAAACAUGCAUCUCCAUUGGAAAUAUAGGGAGCUCGUGAAGAUUAUUUGUAAUGAGAAAAGCAUUGAAUCUGCUCACCAAGUAGCACAAACUUUAGAGUCCGAAAGUGGUGGGAUUCUUGUGGCAGUGGAGAGAGUAAGUAAGGGUUACGCAAUCAUCGUGUACCGUGGAAAAAAUUAUAUCCGGCCUGCUAAUUUGAGACCUCAAACACUUCUGACUAAACGAGAAGCACUGAAGCGUUCUAUUGAGGCACAGCGUCGUGAGGUAGAAUUUGCGUUUUAUCUAUUUGUCAUUAUCAAUCUGCAUCCACUAACUUAAAAUGUUUAAGGAAAAAAGAAAGAUAGAAAGAAUCAUAUGAUGCAAGUCCAUUCAUAGAGGCCGGAUUAAUGGCCAAGUUGUCUAAUCCUAUCAAUUCUAAUUCCCCCCUCUAGAUUGAUUUUGGCUGAAACACUGCCUUUUGAUCUUAGAAUGACCUGAAAUGAAAGAUAACGGAUAUAGUUGCAUUGUCAUGUAAAAUCUAUAGGACAAGGAUCUUGGAACAAUCUUGACUGUUUUUGAUGUUGAAAGCUAUUUCAUAGUCUUUUGUAUUGUUCUUACUUUUAUCAUGUCUACUUCAACAUCUGAUUCUGUUUUCUUUUUUCCUGCUGUGAAAUGCAGUCCUUGAAACUUCAUGUUUUAAAGCUUAACAAGAACAUAGAUGAAUUGGAGGAAUUGGUGGUGAGCUUUCCUAUUAUUCUAUAAUUCAAUAUUUUUACUCUAUCCUUUUUGCUUUUUUGCACAUCAAAGAGACAAUUAUACAUUAUUUUCCUGAACCAGGUUAAAGGCAAGGACUCAAACAAUAUGCAUCCAGUUAAUGAAUCAAAGGAAUUGGUGAGCUAUCUGAUGACUAUAUACUUUGAUGUGCAUCAGAUAUUUAGCUGGAUUAUAGUUAACAGUUUUUUUGCGCCACAUAAAUCAGGUCAGGGAGGAGGUAAAUAAUGUUGAAUCAGAAGAAUGUAUGCAUGAAGAGAAUCUCAAGGUAAAGACUACAAAGUAUGAUAAUGUCUCAGACAUCUGUAUAAUAUUUGUAACUUAUAGUUUUGUUCUUCAAAAGUGAUAUCUGAUAAUCUGAUAUAGUGCAUAAAUGUUUUUCAAGGCUAGAGGCAAACAAGAAUCUCAUGUGACCAACAUGAAUUUAAAUGAUGGAAUGGUUGCUGUUGUGAAAGGCCACUUAGCCACACAACAGGGUGAGGGGUAUGGUCUCUCUUCAAGUUGUGAUGGAGAGGAGACUGAUGAAGUGGAAUCAAGGUCUUCGAAUGGAUCAGUUACGAUUGAAUCCCAGGAAAAUUUGUUCAAUAAUGUAAAAGGAGAAGUUGGAAUAUUGAACAAGGCUAGAGACAAACAAGAACUUGAUGGUAUAGAUGCGGAUGCGGAUUUAUUUGAUGGAAUGAGUCCUGUCAUAAAUGGCCAGUUAGCCACACAGCAAGGUAAGGAGAUUACUUUCUCUUUGGCCUACGAUGAGGAUGGGCCUGGUAAAGUUGAAUCAGUAUCUUCAGAUGAAUCUGUUACAAGUAAAACCCAAGUGGAUUUGUUCGAAGAUAUAAAAGAAGAAGCUGGAGUGUUUAUCAAUGCUAGAGAUAACCAAGAUUCGCAGGUGACUCAGAUGGAUUUAAAUGUUGGAACGGGUGCUGUAGUUAACAGCCAAUUAGCCACUCAACAGGAUAAGGAGAUUUUCUCUUUUAUCUGUGAUGAGAAUGAGAGUGGUAAAGUCGAUCCAGGAUCUUCGGUUACAAUUGAUUCCAAUGCAACUUUCUUCAAGGAUAGAAAUAGAGAAGUUGAAGGUUAUGUUUGCCGUGAAGAUGUUAUGGUAAUAUAAAGAUGUCGUAUGCUAGUUGAUAUUAGUUUAUCUUCUUUUCUUUGGCAACCUCUUAUGUUGUCUGGUUUUGUGGUGAUUCCAGUCAAAAGGUCCAAGCAGUUCUGCUAUUCUUGACAAUCAGCAUCGUGUUUUUGAUUAUGAGCUGGAAUCAUCAGGUAGAUCUGGUAAUACUAAAUCAAAAUCUCCAGUUCCAACAAUGGUAAGAAAGACAUUAAAUGAGAUGCCCUCGAGAGCUGUGCAUUUGUCCAACAGUGAGAGGCUUCUACUGCGAAAGCAAGCCCUGAAGAUGAAAAAACGCCCUGUGCUUGCCGUUGGUAAUUUGUUUUCCAUUUUGAGUUUUCUUAUUUCCCUCUUAUUGUUAAACUAUUCUUGCUAAAACAGUUGUUAUUUGAUAGGAAAUGUACUGCACUGAUUUCUAGUUUGUACCUGAACCUUACUUUCGCACCAUGGAUUUUCUUUUUCAUGCUUAUUUUGAAAAUGCUAACUAUCCCUGACAUUAUAUUGGUUCAUGAUUACAUGUCCUAGUAUAUAGAUUGCCAAAAUCCUAAUCUAUAUGCAACCUCAUUAUUUCUGAAGUGUGCUGUUGUUAUCACUUCUUAGGUAGGAACAAUAUUGUAACUGGUGUUGCGAAAGCAAUCAAAGCGCACUUCGAGAGGUAUCCUCUUGCCAUAGUAAAUGUCAAAGGCAGAGCAAAAGGAACUUCAGUAAGGGAAAUUGUUUUUAAGCUGGAGGUGCGCACAAAAAUUCCUCUCUUUUUCUCCCCUAGUUUAGGCUAUUCUGUGCUUCCAUUUAAACUUGUCUGAAUCUCUCUUGUUUAGGCUAUUCUGUGCUUCCAUUGUAACUUGUAUGAAUUUAUUGUUUCUCUUCCACAGCAAGCAACAGGUGCGGUUUUAGUCUCCCAGGAGCCAAGCAAAGUUAUUCUUUACAGGGGUUGGGGUGCAGGAGAUAGUCCUGGAAAUAAUGAUAAGAAGAACACAAUUGGGAAAAAGGUUGCUCCUGUGUCUCCUGAACUCUUGGCAGCAAUAAGACUCGAGUGUGGUUUACAGAACCACGAAAAGGAAGAUGCAACUGCUUAGGUUGGAUCCUAAGCUUGUACCAGAAGUUACCAACUGCAGAGACCAUGCACAUACAAUACCUAGUUAGCAAGAAUUCACAUUCAUUCACAUCAUCAACUUGAGCCUGAACAUAUCCGGAAACUCAUCUACCCCUUUUGGCAUCUCCAAUCCAGGAAUCUAUGAGAUCAUAUCUUCGGAAGAUUCAACAAGCAUCGGUAUGACUUGUAUGCUAAAUAGAUUGUACCCUAUCUGUAUAUAGAAUGCUGUCUUGACAUAUUCAGUGGCUGAUCUGCUACAUUGGAAAUCAGAGAGCUUUGUUUUGGGGUCAAAAUGAGGGUAAUUCACUAUGCACCCUUCUGUAUGUUAAUCUUGAACAUUUUUGUAAACAUACCUAGAGACUGAAAUAGAAGCACCUGUUCUCUCAUCCUAGAGUAAGGUUAGCCAAAAACUCCUGGUAAGGUCGGUCAGGUGCAUCAGACAAUGAGAUAGUUGUGUAGACCCAUCGACUACGACAUAAUAUUGGCCCAUACUCGCUGCAGGCAUGCCUUUCAUUCUUGUUGUCGAUUCUAGGACCAUGUCCCCAACCCCACUUUCUUCUUCCUUCAACAGUUGAACUCCUUUUUUGUCUUUUUACUUCCGUAUUCUUUGAAUCUUUUCUAGGUGGAGGAUUGUGUAAUUUUUGUUAUUCUAUGCCUUCUUCCUGUUGAUAGUUGAGACGAUACGAAGAGUUAAUUAGCGUAAUGAUAAUUCUCUCUAUGUUUAAAGUUGUAUCGGGCUAAAAAGGAGGUAUAAUCUUGUCUGGAAGACAUGUGAAUAUGAACUGCGACUAGUUGUUUUCUAUCAUUAGUCCUGUGUACGUCCAUCUUUUUCUACUAAUGUGUGAUGAACUACAUCCGUAAUUUAGUUGCAUACAACCGUAGCAAUGAAAGAAAAUGGUGAAAAUUACAUGGCUUCAGGCCUUGGUUUCUUUUGAUAUUGAUAAGACUCUGAAGUGUUUCAAUUAUACAGAUAAUAUGAUGACCUGAAAAAACUGAAGCAGCUGAAACCUGAAGCAGCUGGCAACCCCUGGCAUAACAAAUGGGCAUCAGCUAAACUUAAUGCAAGAUAAGUUCUCACAUAGAAGUUACGCAGUACAAUACACACAACAUUGUUAUUAGUAAAAGUGUUGGUAACAUAUUCAACCGUAAGGUGAAGGUGUUGAUUAUAACUAAAUUACGUAUUGAAAUAAAUAUAACCGUCUUCUUUUUUGUUAUAAAUAAACUACUAUAUCAUCGCUUUGCCUUCUUGUCAUUGUACUGGCUCNCCCUUUUUUUUUUUUUUUUUUUGAAUAUCAACGACCGUAUCAUCAAAGACUCACCAGGUCCAGAAACUAAUCCGCGUCGAGAAAUACUUCCUCAUUUAGUUUUACUUAUUUUCCGUCGAAGAAAAACUUUUGACAUAGGACAUUGAUUCUAAUCAAUUAAUUAAUCAUACUUGCAAGUUUAAGAUUGAUCAACCAAAACAUGCAUCUCAACUAAAUCAAACUGAAACUGCUGCUAGUGUAAUUUUCAAAGAGAAAUAUAACAGAUUAUGAGCUUAGUCGAAGCUGGCGCAUGAUAACAUGGACUUGGCGCAUGAUAACAUUGACUAUGACGCCGGAGCAAGAAGCUAGUCAAAUAUGUAACUGUACUGUGUAUGACAUUGGAGAAAAAAACACACUAAUUUUCUCAAUGGUAGAAGACGAAGUUUAACUUGCCCAAAAUCGCAAUAUUGUUUCACACGCGCUUGGAGUUCAGAUGAGACUGGUUAAGCCACACACUUUCUCUCUCUCUAUCAUAUGUCAGAUAGAGAGAGAGAAGAGAGAAAGAGAGAGGAGUCUUGGGCUUCAUAAAUGAAAAUCAUCAUCACACACACUUUUUCUCUCUCUAUCAUAUGUCAGAUAGAGAGAGAGAAGAGAGAAAGAGAGAGGAAGAGAGAGGUAGGCACAAAAAACCUAGAAAUUUAGCUGCCUUUCUUUCAACGCCAGAGGCCAAACGCAAUCAUGCUGUCUUCUCCUUACCUUCUUUAUCGCCAUCAUUGCUCCCACUCCAUCUUCUUCUGCUCCAACCCCUCCUCAACCACCCCACAAAGUCCAGACCAUCAUCAUUAUCACCAACAAAGGAGAAAGAAGAAGAAGAAGAAGAAGAAAGCUUUUCAAGGAAAACCAGAAAGAUCUACCCUAGCUGUUCUCAGCUUUCUCUUUGGUUGCCAGUGAUGAACAAGUGAAAAGUGUGUUUCUGAUCCGACUAUUUCAAAGAUUUUUUCAAGUCUUUGCUUUUGGGGAAUCAAGCAUCAUGGUCCGACUCUACUUCGAUUUGCUUGUGUAUGUUCCAUCAAAGCUGCAUCAGAUCGUUUCUCUAGUUCUUGUAUCGAUCGGUUUGUAGUUCUCUCUCUUGUUUAUGUGAUCCUUGUAGUUGGGAUCUUGUUGGAUAAGGGUUUCUGUCAUUAGGUUACUUAAGAACAAUUAAGUUACUAGCUAGCUAGCUAUUUGGUUACGAAGAAGGUCUUAUGCUCUAUCUCUCUGAUCUGUGUAUGGAUUCCUCUUGUUAAUCAUCAGAUUUGGCGUCUCUUCAACUCAACGUUAGCUUGAAGAUGAUUGAAUUUGUGUGGUUCGAAUUUCCUGGUGAAAUGAUAAUAAGAUAUAUAUUACUGUUGAAAUCCAAUAAUUCUAGAUAUGUAUAUAUGUGAAUGCGUGGUUUGGUACUCUGGUUAGUAUGAACUGUAUGAUUAGUUUCUACUUCAACUUCCUGAUGCAGAAAACUUGAUUAGCUAGUGUAUGAUUGAACCAAAGUAUCGUACUCGGUUAUGUUAAUUAAGUCAUGAGUUCCUUGAAAACUUUUCUUUCUAGCUAGAUCCACUCCAUAAUCCAUAGUAGGGUUUUCAUUUAGA
Molecule: long non-coding RNA, 93483 nt
Filed under: Fragaria vesca (wild strawberry)
Lineage: Eukaryota; Viridiplantae; Streptophyta; Magnoliopsida; Rosales; Rosaceae
Description: long non-coding RNA (FVES_LNC001733)
Source: RNAcentral